This 108520-nucleotide long non-coding RNA is filed under the name Malus domestica (apple). RNAcentral describes it as "long non-coding RNA (MDOM_LNC005482)". Lineage: Eukaryota; Viridiplantae; Streptophyta; Magnoliopsida; Rosales; Rosaceae. The record is from RNAcentral.
AAGUUGCAUCUUCCAUUACAGCAAUUGCAAAUGAGAAGAUAAAAGCAGAGAAGGAAGCAAAUGCUGGCAAAAAGAAGACAGGUGCGUGUCUUUGCUUAUUUCAUUCUUUGCUAAGAGUAGAAUGUCUCAUGCUUCAUUUUAGUUUUAUUUAUGAUUUUUCAUCCACUUGAAAACCAAAUUAAUGUCCUAUAUGUGAAGAAAAGAAAAGGAAUAAGGAAUUAUAUUGGGUUUGUGUUGAGAAGCAUCAGCCGGAGGCUCUUAGUAUUGUGGAACCGAGAAACUAACGUGUUUAAAAAAUGCCUUUGCGCGUUUGAUUCAGAAAACUUGUUUAGGGUAUUGGUCAAAGCAACCCCUGUGCUUUCUGGUUUAGGUGUAGGUGUCACCAAUAAGUGAAAGCAAUGUGUUAAAAAUGCCUUGCAAGUUUGAUUCAGAAAACUUGUUUAGGGUAUUGGUCAAUGCAGCCCCUGUGCUUUCCGUUUCAGGUGUAGGUGUCACCACCAAGUGAAACUAACAUGUUAAAAAAUGCCUUGCACGUUUGGUUCAGAAGACUUGUUUAGGUUACUGGUCAAAGCAGGCCCUGUGCUUUCCAGUUUAGGUUUAGGUGCCGAAAUAGCUAUGGUUUAUGUAAUCAGAGUUGAAGGUAUGACAAUGCAAUCCACUUUGGAUCUUUGAGUCUCAUACCAAUCAAUUCCUUUCUUUUCCCAUUCUAUCCUUUAAAAAAUAUGUUCAACUGAAAAAAAAAUAAAGAAGAAAUAGAGGAAUUUUGUUAGUGCUAUUUUCGAUACUUAUGUAGAGCAACAUAGUUAUGGCCUUUAUCUUUACCAAGUGGUAUUCGUUUUAAGUCUGAAAAGUAUCCUGCAUCAGAGAGUUAAGGAACCUUGCGAGGGCUUAUAAGUUGGGCUACUCCCCCUGUUGCCAAUUGGUUUUAGGGUGGAACCCCAACUUCCUUUAUGUUAUUCAGAGCAGGUUUGUCCGCUUGUGAAGCCCAACAUACACGUGCCGCACAUCACCCAAUCAAAUUGUCCACGGGUUUGGAACAAAAAAUUUCCACAGCUGUUAAAAGCAAUCUGAAAACCUAAUGUUAAAAAUUGUCUGCGUUAAAAAUUGACCACUUCACCCAUUUUGAGAACUUGUAGUCGAGGGUUGCCUCUGUGUUAGGCUUAACUUCCUUCAUAGAGCCUCAAUACUUGUUCACUACUCCCAGUUAGAAUUAUUUUAGUGUGGAACCAUGAUCUCUUCAUCGAUAAACAUUAAAAAACUUAAAUGUUAGAGAGGUGCACAAAUAUUUGUUGAUGAUAUAGUUUCUCUCGGUGUUUGUUAAUUGCUUUCCUUGUUUUCAGGUGCCAAGAAAAAGCAGCUAAUUGUUGAUAAGGCGGAUGAUGAUAUAGCUGUUGAGGGCUAUGAUCAACUCGAUGAUUAUGAUUUUAUGUGAGUGUUUUGAUGUAGCGAGUUUUUAUCAAAAGGCAGUAAAGGAACACGUAUUUUCAACAUUGAAGUAGGGAGAAAGAUUCUGCGGGCACCCCCUCAACAGAGAUUGAUUGGUACGAGUGUUAUGUAUUUUGUCGAAUAAGAGUUUCAGAUAUCGUUUUUUUUUCCUCAUAUGAUGGUCAAUUUUGUCGGUUACGGAUGCUACAUGCUCUGCAUUUUGCUGCGCAUACUUGAGCUCAUGGGAGUCAUUGGCUUGUCAAAUUUAUGGCUACGGUUGCAAAAGAUUUGCCCUUUAUUCAUCUUGUUCUCCCAUUUGUUUCAUUCACUUCUCUAUAUAAAAUGCUGGAUUUUUAUUUCUCGUGUAAAAUUCCAAAUUCAAUGACCCCUCCUCCUGCAAUUGGGUCGUUAUAGUUACGGGUUGGAUGCCAUUUUGAAACCCUACUUCAUCCCCAGCACCCAAACAAUGCCCAUUUACACCAUGAGCUGCUGCUUACUAGACAAGGGAAACAUUGCCCUUUCAAGUUCAGAUGGCGAUCCAUCAUAAUAUCUUGCCCACCUGAGACAGUUGUUUGUCGCCGUGAUCUACUGAGCUAGCUAUCAUGCAUUUAUGGUGAGUCUGUUAUAGAGAAAGACUUAUACGACACGAGUAUUAGACCUGUCAAUGGAUCAGAUUUUGAACUGGAUCCAAUCCGAAUCAAAUGAAAUUAAAAGGACAUGGAUCGAUACUUAUUUUUAUUAUCUGAAUUAGUUUGAAUCUGAUUUUAAAUGGAUGUGGAUAUGGGUUAAGGUUGAUACGAUUCGAUCCAACCUGUUAACAUGUCUAAUGAGUACACUUCCAAGGUGGUGUUAGGUGCCAAUAAAAUAAAGACGUGGAAGUUUUUUUGGCCAAAUUUCAUUGUUUCAUUAGCGCAGAACAUCAUGUGGCGAUGUGUACUUGUUCCCUAAAAGUUGUUCUCCGUCAGAAGGUCGGCCUUGCGUGAUUAUGCUAAAGCUACACCUGUCUUGCUUGCCUUCCCAUUGGGUAUCUGAGUUGUAGCAUGUCAUUCCAGCACAUAGGAAUGCGUAUUCCUGCUAUCGAUUGAUCUCCCAAAAGAGGGGUUUCUUUCUUAUGUUACUAUCGUCGUUGUGGAAAGAGAGGAAUAAUCCCUCUUAUGACAAAGAGGGGAAUAAUCUCUUAUGGCUUGGGGAUUACGGUGAAACGAGCCUUGCUCUCCUGCGCAUUAUUCCACAUAAAAAAACAAAAAACGACAGUUCCGUUCACCCGUGAAAUGCGCGGGAGAGAAUUUCUGAAAAUUUCCUCUUAAGUAAGUAUUCCGUCUUAUCAUCCAUGAAACUUAUGUCAAAGAUUCCAAGAUUCUGUCCGACUGCUACUCUCAUUGAUGUGUUAGAAAAAGCGGUCUCAAUCUCAUGCCGUAGAGGGUGGUUUAGAAAAAGUGCUCAUGCCGUAGAGGGUGGUUUAGAAAAAGUGCUCAUGUCGUAGAGGAUGGUUUAGAAAAAGUGAGGCUCUCUAGUGUAUAUAGCUAGCACUACUCUGGAUGGUUCAUUGCUCGUACACAUCACCUACUUCAUACACUAAAACUUCAUGGAGAGAAGCAUGAGAGUUGUUUUACUACUAAUCAGGGUUCUUGCUAUUGCAACCAUUACUUUCAGUAUUGGUUUAUGCAAUGGAAUACCCGGUUGGCCUCCGCUUUGCAAAGAAAGCGAAAGACAAGCACUUCUGAUGUUCAAGCAAGAUCUCGAGGACCCUGCCAAUCGACUUUCUUCGUGGGUUGCAGAAGAAGGUUCAGACUGUUGCAGUUGGACAGGAGUUGUCUGUGAUCACAUAACCGGCCACAUUCACGAGCUGCACCUUAAUAGUUCCGACUCUGAUUGGGAUUUCAACCGUUCCUUCGGUGGUAAGAUAAAUUCUUCUUUGCUCGGUUUAAAGCAUCUCAACUACUUGGACUUGAGUAACAAUUAUUUCAGUACAACACAAAUUCCUAGUUUCUUUGGUUCUAUGACAAGUUUAACACACCUUAAUCUUGGAGACUCAUCGUUUGAUGGAGUAAUUCCUCAUCAACUAGGAAAUCUGUCCAGUCUACGCUAUCUCAAUCUCAGUAGUUACAUUCUGAAGGUUGAGAACCUUCAGUGGAUUUCUGGUCUUUCUCUGCUAAAACAGUUGGACUUGAGUUUUGUAAAUCUUAGCAAAGCAUCUGACUGGUUGCAAGUUACAAACAUGCUUCCUUGUUUGGUACAGUUAAUUAUGUCCGAUUGUGUACUUCAUCAUCCUCCCCCUCUACCCACCAUAAAUUUUACUUCCCUGGUCGUCCUUGACCUUUCUUACAACAGUUUUAAUUCUUUGAUGCCGAGAUGGGUUUUCAAUAUUAAAAAUCUAGUUUCUCUUCGUCUCACUGGUUGUGAUUUCCAAGGUCCAAUUCCUGGUAUUUCACAGAAUAUCACAUCUUUGAGGGAAAUUGAUUUGUCAUUCAAUUCUAUUAAUCUUGAUCCGGAUCCCAAAUGGUUGUUUAACCAAAAAAUCCUUGAAUUGAAUCUAGAAGCCAAUCAACUUUCAGGCCAACUUCCAAGCAGUAUUCAAAAUAUGACUUGUCUUAAAGUUCUUAAUCUCAGGGAGAACGACUUCAAUUCUACCAUAUCUGAAUGGUUGUAUAGCUUGAACAAUCUCGAGUCCUUACUUCUUUCUCACAAUGCCUUACGUGGUGAAAUAUCGAGUUCCAUUGGAAACCUUAAAAGUUUAAGGCACUUUGAUCUUUCAAGUAAUUCAAUAUCAGGUUCCAUUCCAAUGUCCCUAGGAAACCUGUCAAGCUUAGUAGAACUAGACAUAUCUGGUAAUCAGUUUAAAGGAACUUUCAUAGAAGUUAUUGGGAAACUCAAAUUGCUAGCAUAUCUGGAUAUAUCUUAUAAUUCGUUUGAGGGUAUGGUGUCGGAAGUUUCUUUUAGUAACCUUACAAAAUUGAAGCAUUUCAUUGCAAAAGGAAACUCAUUUACUCUGAACACCAGUCGAGAUUGGCUUCAUCCUUUUCAACUUGAAAGUUUACGAUUGGAUUCAUGGCAUCUGGGACCUGAAUGGCCAAUGUGGCUUCGGACACAAACACAGUUAACGGAUCUAAGCUUAUCUGGUACAGGAAUUUCAAGUACUAUUCCAACUUGGUUUUGGAACUUAACAUUCCAAUUAGGUUAUCUAAAUCUCUCUCACAAUCAAUUGUACGGGGAGAUUCAAAAUAUAGUUGUUGCUCCUUAUUCAGUAGUUGAUCUUGGUUCUAACCAAUUCACUGGUGCAUUGCCUAUUGUUCCCACCUCAUUAGCUUGGCUAGAUCUUUCCAAUUCAUCAUUUUCUGGAUCCGUUUUCCACUUCUUCUGUGAUAGGCCGGAAGAAGCAAAGCAACUUUCUAUUCUUCAUCUCGGGAACAAUCUUCUCACUGGAAAAGUACCCGACUGUUGGAGGAGUUGGCAAUACUUGGCAGCCCUAAAUUUAGAAAACAAUCUUCUCACUGGAAAUGUCCCAAUGUCUAUGAGAUACUUGCAACAGUUGGAAUCGCUGCACUUGCGCAAUAAUCACCUGUACGGAGAAUUGCCACAUUCCCUACAAAACUGUUCCUCGUUGUCAGUUGUUGACCUUGGUGGAAAUGGGUUUGUCGGAAGCAUACCAAUAUGGAUGGGGAAAAGCCUUUCAAGGUUGAACGUUCUUAACCUUCGUUCGAAUGAGUUUGAAGGAGACAUUCCUUCUGAAAUUUGUCAUUUGAAAAAUCUCCAGAUAUUGGACCUUGCACGUAAUAAACUCUCUGGAACGAUACCGAGAUGCUUCCACAAUUUGAGCGCCAUGGCUACUUUGUCAGAAUCAUUUUCGUCAAUCACGUUUAUGAUUAGUACUUCUGUUGAGGCUUCUGUAGUGGUAACGAAAGGGAUAGAAGUGGAAUAUACCGAGAUUCUGGGAUUCGUAAAAGGCAUGGAUCUUUCAUGCAACUUUAUGUAUGGAGAGAUCCCUGAAGAACUUACCGACCUCCUCGCAUUGCAGUCACUCAAUUUAUCGCAUAACCGCUUCACCGGAAGAGUUCCUUCAAAGAUUGGUAAUAUGGCAAUGUUAGAAUCUCUCGAUUUUUCCAUGAACCAACUUGACGGUGAAAUUCCUCCAAGCAUGACGAAUUUGACAUUUCUGAGUCACUUAAACUUGUCCUACAACAAUUUGACGGGACGAAUUCCGAAAAGCACUCAGCUGCAGAGCCUUGAUCAGUCUAGCUUCGUCGGCAACGAACUAUGCGGAGCUCCACUCAACAAGAAUUGCAGCGCAAAUGGGGUGAUACCGCCACCAACAGUUGAGCAAGACGGAGGAGGAGGAUACCGUUUACUCGAAGACGAGUGGUUCUACGUGAAUUUGGCAGUUGGAUUCUUCACGGGGUUUUGGAUUGUGCUUGGUUCUUUGCUGGUAAACAUGCCAUGGAGCAUUCUUCUUUCACAGUUGCAGAAUAGGAUGGUGCUUAAAAUGUAUCAUGUAAUUGUUAAAUAUGUUUAGGUCUAUAUGACGAAUAUGCCAGUAUGGUUGUGUUGUAUGAUUUUGUCAAAUUUCAUCCUCUUGUUUCAUUGUAUUUUUCUUCUUUUCUUGGCAUUAUGAGGGGUAAGGUUUAUGUCCUCCCUGACUAGGUGUAACUUUUUUUUUCGUUAUCAAUAAAAUAUCCCUCGUAUCAUCAAGGUUUUCUUAAAAAAAAAAUAAAAAUUAUCCCAUAUAAAAUUAAAAGACUUGUUUUCUGAACAAGUAACUUUUCAUUCAGCAGAAGUAAAUUGAAUGACAGUAACUCGUAUCCUCGAUCUUUCUUUUGUUCUCUCUCCUCUCUCCCCUUCUCCUUCGCAGCACUACUACUCUCUCGUCUUCGUACUAAUUCACGUAACACCUCUCUCUCUUCUUCGUACUAAUACAAGAAGAAGGGUGGCUCAAGGUCAAUUUUGAUGGAGGUUUCCAAGAUGUUAAGGAGCAUUUGGUAUGCUCCUAAGACAAUGCAAUGGGGGUUCUCUUGCUGCUGCAACAGGCGCUGUCACACGAGUUGCUUCCCGAACUCGUAGCUUUGGCUGCUAGGAGGGGGCAACCCCAGCUUCUUCGCGAGGGUACUUCUUGGUGCAGAUUAAGAGUUCCCAGAUAUCGUUCCAUGACAAUUUUAAACACUCGAUUAAAUUGCUUCCAUGGCAGUCAUCUCGGCUAGAAAGGUUUCUCUUUUAAAAUGUAAGACUUCUCAGCUGUCGAAGAAGAAGUUCUACAAUGAAAUUGAUUCAACAUCUACUACUAGAAAGAAGCUGAGGUUCGAUUUACAUGGCGAGUCAACAACUGGCUUCAUCUGCACAGUAUACACCAAAAACUGAACCCUUGCGAGACAGCUCCAUUUCAAGAAGAAUUCAGCUCUUGCCGAAAAACCAUAUGCACAAAAAGAAUCCAUCGAUUUCAGAUGGUGGUGAACUUACACUCUGGUCGGUCAUCAGCUUCAAUUCGAUCUUGUUGGCAAAGUGCAUACUCUGGUCGGUCAUCAGCUUCAACUUUCGGUCAGGAGUUGCAAAAUUAAGGUAAAGUCCUAACCUGCGAGAUUCAAUCAAAUCUAGUUAACAAAAGAAAAUGACCAUUAAAUUCAAUUGCCGCCCCAAGAGUGCAAAUUUCACUUAAGAACGAGCCACAAUGUUUUACACAAACAGAAUGAAAAGCUUUUUACACACGUUUAAGUGGUCACACAACUGAUAACUACCGAUAAUCAAAAUAGAUACGAUGGUAGAUACUACCCUUUCUGGAAAGAAAAACAAAAUUCCGAUCAGUUUUACCAAACUGAACAGAAAAAAAUUAAUAAAUGCUACCCCUUGGAUAAGUAACCAAAUUCUAGUUGUCUUUACUGAAAUGGAACAGAGAAAAGCAAUCGAGACUCAAUUCAAGGCUUUAGGAAAGGUAGUUUGUAGGCAGUUUUGGGGAUCAGUUAGAUGGAGCGUAACAGAACUUUGAGAACUAAAAUGGGGUUGGGAUGGAUUUACUUUGGACAGUCAGAUUCUCGUUAGUUCGUUGAGGCUCCAGUUACGAAUACAAUGUCAUCAAUUAUGUUGGACUGGGUUGCUGUGCUGAAGUGACUUGUGUUAGUUCAUUUCAAUUCUGAUUGAUAUGUUCUUUCUUGUAAGUUGAAUGUGGAGUUAUUCCUGUGCUUCUGAUUUGAAUCGAAAAUUUAGGAUCUAAGAAAGUACCUGAUUAUGAAAGCAAAGUAGGAAGUCAAUCUGCUUAAAGAUGGACUAACUCCACGGUUGUGACAAAGAAACAUUUGGAGUGGAUGCGUUUAGUCCUUGUUUGUAAUGUAUAGCAGCUUUCAGCACAUUGUAAUGUUCAGUAACGAUACCGUACAGAGCUUGUGUGUAUACCUCCCUCGCCUGCAACAUAGAACAGCCAGAAUACUUAGAAACAAGAUAAAAGAAAAACAAUGAAGUUAAAAAAAAAAAAAACAUUUAGAGUAGAUGUCAAUUUUGCACCCUGAACUUUGACUGAUGUGGCACUUUGGUCCCUCAACUUCAAAACGUUUGGUCCCCAUAGUAUGUGUCUCAGUUAAGCCCGUUUCGAAAGUUUUGAAGUCCAGCAACCAGAGUCAACAAAACUCAAAAUUCAGGGGAUAAGGGUGAAAUUUACUCUUAACAAUUAGAAAUCAAUGGAAAUGACUUUCCCAGUCCUUGAACAUUAGCUUUCAAAACUUUUUCUCGUAUGAAUGAACAUUAUAUAUCUAUAUAGUAUACCCCUACACUAAACUACUUUUGCAUACAGUUUCACAUAAUUGUUGACCAAGGAAAAGACUGUAUUAGUUAAAUGCCAAUGUUCAUACAAUAGGCGGACCUAGUUCUUCCACAUGAUUCAGCAGUUUAUCAAACGGUAUCAUGACAUGAUUUAAAAUGCAAUGCUAAGUCUCAGAUCCAGAACAUAAUUACACAUGAGCUUUCAUUGCAGAAUAAUGUAAAGAUCCGAAAGAAUACAACAGGAGCCGUCCAAAUCAAUCAGGAAGUUGAAAGACAUUGUUUAGAGAACCAACCUCUUCAGAAUUUUGACAGGAAGCAGUAAUAUCAGAGAAGGUGAUUUCUGGUGCAACCGAUAAUCCAGUACCAUGGAAGGAGAUCAUUCUCCUUUCUCCAAUUUCUUUUUCUACCUGGAAAACAAUUGUGUCACUAAUGCGGAAAAGUAGCACUACAGUAACCACCAAAACAGAGCUGACGAACCUGGGGUGGAGGGGGCAUGAUGUUGUGACACAACAAUGCUAAGGGAUAUAUAUGCCCUGGCGCAGCAGAAUGUUCACCAAGCCUUCUUAGAUUGUCCAGUGAAGCAGCAUCAAAAGGUGCCUGACCAACUUAUAUCAGUAUGAAGUUUGAAUCAUGAAGACAACACUUACACUUAUGUCUACGUGUUCGCAUGUAUGUUAGACUUGUUAGUAUGAAGUCAUUGCACCACCAACUCGAAAUCAAGAUAGGUGGAUGCUUAUCUAUAUUGGUAAAUUCUUGGUUAUAGUGGAACACUAUGUCAACGUGAUCUCAAAUUGUAGCCAAUCUUCGUUUUAUGGAAGCCCAACUCCUCAAUUAGAAUACAACCAAGUUGAGGUCAAAUUUAGUAAAUGCUUAAAACAGUAAUUUAUUUCAACAGACACAAAAUGGAAUAUAUUUAGAAAUCAUCCUCAAUCUAUUUAUGAUUUCCUCUAGAGCUAUUGAGUCCCUAUUCUAUCCAUGAUGAAUUUAGAACUCCUUUGAUUUUACACCUACGCUGUCAGGUUUGCUUGACCUAAAUUCACAAGUACAACUAGAACAUAUAGAUGCAACUUUAAGACCCCUUAUGUGGCAACCCUAGAGAGACAAUUGCAAGAUAAAAAUCAUCAUCAGAACAUUGAAUCUCCUAUACAGAUCAAAACAUUUAACAAAAAGAAAGCUCGAAAAAUAAAAAAUAUUAAACAUCGACAAUGAAAAUACAUGAUUUCCUUCUCAAUCUUCUCAUACAUGAUGAAGUUGAAAGAGCUUACUGGGUACCAUUCUCCUGUUGCAGGAUCUGGCCGGUCCCUGCCACCACUAGGUGCAAUCCAUACAAUCUGUGACCCGCCCCUAUAAAAACAUGUUAAAUUAGAAGGCUGUAUUAAGAAAACAGAGGUAAACAAAUUCACCACAUUAAAAGAGUAAGUUUUUUAAGAAAAGAAAAUUGUUAAAUUUUAAUGCCCUUCUUGAUCUAGCUUUUCGAUGGAUUAUGAUGUUAUGCAAACAGCUUGGAUGAUGAUAUGUGAGUAAACGGAAACAAUAAACUAAACACCGCCUCACAUAAUCACAAGAAAAAUUGUUAUCGAGAUGGCUAACUUUUCCUACGUCCCUGUGUGAUCUGUCUUGAGAGAAUCACUUGCACUAUCAAGAAGAAUAAUUUAUUACAAAAAAUUUCGGAAAUUCCUAUGCUAAUCCCCAAGCCCUAGCUUUCGUUCUCUCUAUCACUCUCUUUAGUUCUCUACCCCUUGUGUGCUCGCUAUAUUUUAAGAACUCUUAUCAAGACUAUUUACAGAUAAUAGGUUGUGGGUUAGAAGAAACCUAAUCUGAAAUCACUUAGGAUAGAGAAGAAAAACUGAUUUUCUCAUUCUAGUAGGAAUCUAGCAUGCACUGAUUUUCUAAUUCUAGUAGGAAUCUAGCAUGUGUCCUAGAAAAAAAAUACAAGAACAAAUAGAGAUAAAGAAACUCAACUUGACCUUUUUUUCUUAAAGAGACACAAAUUUUAUUGCAGAAAACUACAUAAAGAGUGGACAGUCCACUAAUAUUGUGAUUAAAUGCAUAUUAUUCCUUUACCAGUAAUUGAAAUUAGAGAGAUCAUCCCCCACCCUGAUUAGCAAACCUACCACCAGCGAAGACCUAAAGGUAAGCAUUUGUUACAAUGUUGAACCUUCAGGCCUAAUUUGGUCUCGAGGACUAGUUUGGAUUGGAAAACUCGCUAGGUUCAUGAAUGUUGAAUAAAGAAAUAGGUGACGACUUGCAUAUUGUACAAGUUGAAAGGUACAAGAUGGAUUUGUAAAGAAGUAAACUUAUCCCUUCAAAUCCCCACAUAAAGGGUAGAAUUGGGAAUGAGAAGUUUCAUUCAUAACUAAUGCGACUUCUACCUUCAAUUUCGACAAGCUUUACAAGUUGGCAUCCAUUUCUUCCUUCAACAUACAUGGAAUCUAGUGAGAUUUCCAAUCCUAGGCACAAACGAGCCCUUGCUCUCUCAGUCUAGCACCUAAAACGAAUUGUUUUUCAGUUUUAACAGUAUCCUCGACUCAAAGUAUGACAAGUACUCCAUUUUGAGUUGACAUACUAGUAUAAAAAUCCGAGUAGGUGUUGAUUAAGUACUAGAAGGAUGAAUGAAAUAAGAAAAAGAGGAGCACUUCCUUGAGUUGCUACGCAUUUUUUAUGCAACAAGUAAAAUCAAAUUUCCAUGUCCAUUAGCACAAGAAAGAUGAAUGGAGAAAAAAGGGUGAGUGCUUCCUUGACUUGUUAACUUGAUAUGCAUUUUUGUACGCUAACAAGGAAAAUCAGCUUAGCUCCUUUAUCACCAGUUUGUUCCUAGCUAUCACAACAAGAAGAUUCACUUCAAACAAAUUGGUUAGUUCUGAGAUGUGUAGUGCUUAAUAGGGUUCAAUGAGACAAGAAAUGAGCAAGAUGUAAGAGCAAAUACAACAACACCAACAAAGCCUUAUCCCACUAAUAGUGGUCGGCUGUAAGAAUCCUAGAACACCAUUGUGCUCGGUUUUGCACCAAAUCUUCCAAAAGGUAAGAGCAAAUAAAACAGAGAAAAUAUAUGAAAGAGGGAGAAAUAAGGAUUGUCCAAGAACACAAAAACAAUGCAAAAAAUAAAAAGGAAAAAAAUCUUUCUGCACAGGACCUGACAUGGUAGUAACACCGUCGGACCUUGAUAAGCAGAAAUAAGAAGAGCCGCCAAUAAAAUCAAACCAACUUUGACAACGCAUAGACAAACAAAAUAAUUGAGGUACCUCAAUAGCACUGCCAUUUCCUUCAAACUCCGUGUGUUUGCUUUUCUUUUCAUAUCAACAAGCUCAGGAACAUCAUUCAUGUGCUUUUUGGAGUAUACACAUAUCAGAUUCCUGUAAGAAUAUUAAAACAACAAAUGAUGAGAAUUUCAUCAUUUAACUAAUCAAAGCACAGAGGUGCAUACUAAUUGCAUAACAUUAUCCCACAAUUCACAAGUACCUCCCCAUGCUGAAAGGCUUACAAAGAGGAUCUGUCAAAACCCUAUCUCCUGCUAUGUAGGUCUGCAGUACAAAACUACAAAGUCUAAAAUUUGGUUAUGCAAAUAGGUGUAAGUGCACAAAAUAGCGUAUGCAUCCAAUGUACACUUAGAAUGAAGACAGAACAUUGCAAUUCACCAUUUUCUCAGCGAGAUGUGGGUUUGUUGAUUCAAGCAACAAGGCAAUGACAGCUGGAUCUGCUUCAGUUUGGUGGUUUGAUAUCAAAAAGAUGUUGUGACCCUGCAUGCAUAAUCCAAUUGCAUUACAUCACGAGUCACGUCCAUGUGUAAACUAAUCAAGAUGAUAUGGCAUCUGCAUAGUGCAUACCACAGUACCAAUAAAAUCAUACCACGAAAAGAAUUGAGACAACUACUGGUCAACUAUAAAUGUGAUAUACAGCACCAAUACAAAGUUAUUGCACUGUAUUGCAUUCUACUGAAAAACAGUUACUAUUUUGAUAGCCCAUGCAAGAAACUGACUGGUAGGAACCCUUCAGACCAUCACUCCUUAUCAGUUCUCUGACAUUGUUUUCUAAAGUACUUAAACAUAUAUAUGUCCAAACCUAAACUUGAACUGCCAAACAUGCAAAUACAUCACCUUUAUAUCGGAGGCCACUAUAUAACUUUGUAAGUUGUAACAACAAAACAAGGAGGAAGUUUAGUCUAACUUUGCUUCUAGAAAGUAAGUGUUUCACAAUUCAGCUAUGUAUAGUUGUUAACCCCACAAAGAAAAUAAGCUGAAUACUGAGAAUACGCACCUGCUGAAGCUUCUCUUCAAUUUCAUAGAAAAUGGAAUGGUUGCCAACAUAUGAGUUUCUGCACAAAUAAGCAUCAGAAUUUAGGAUUAGAACUCAUAUUCACGUGAAUAUAAGAAAGUAAGAACUAGCACACAUGAAAGAAAAUGUGAUUUGCCAGCAUUUUUUUUGUUUCUUCGUGUGAGUAUUCUCUGUUAACAAGUUUUUGAAAAAUCUUUUUUCUAAUAAUUGGACACACAUGGUAACACUGCAUUACUCUAGUCCAUAAUAAUACUGUAGUGUAGAUUUAUUUCAAAAUUCAGUCAAGAAUUCAGGAAAAAAACUACAAAACGAAUGGUUAUAAAUUCCAUUUUAUAUUUACUUCAUUAAACAAGUCAGAAAAGGGCAAAGAAAUGAAGACGCAUCUAAAUUAAAUUGAUCUUUACAUUUUUGUAUCGAUGAUUAAAAAUCAGAAUAUUUAAAAUUCCCAAGACAACUAUUCUAUAAAAGAAAUUCUCUUAUAAAUCAAAAUAAAUGAUUUUAAUCUCAUGCUGAAUGAUCCAAUGAAAGCAUGUCAGAUGGACAAAUCACCCAUGACCCUGUCAGUUUUAAGGCUCCAAUGAACUUCAUGAAAUAAUGCAUAGUACAUACAUUCAUUUUUAGGAAAACUAAUGAAAAGGGCUUGAAAACUGAGUUUUAACGAUAAGGACAAAAUAAAGGGUAAAGUGAAUAGUAGCAGGUUUGACUUUUUAAUGUAAAAAUGUGGUUUUUCGUUAAAGUGAACAGUACCUUGGGCUUUUUGUUAAAACUCCCUUCAUUUUUAGCAAAAAUAGACAACAAGAAUAAAUGCAUCAUCUUUCAGUUUAUAUACAUCAAAGUAGCUGAUGAAGAUGGUAAAAAGGAUAGAAGUUGUCAAGAUACCUGAAAUCAACUAAAGGACGAAUAUAGUUUUGACCAAACAUGUAGUAAUCAAAAGGCUCUCGCAUUGCCUUGUGAUAUGGUGAGAAGAUAAAUGGAUCCUGAAAAAUUAUUGAUCUAUCACAUAGACAAAAAAAUAAAAAAAAUAAAACAAGUAUACAAGAAAACAAACAAUAAUUUGGUUUCCUAGUGUUACACACAUCAGCAACUAAGGCAACUGUAUGAUAACGCAUAUAAAACCCAGUAUUACCUCUAUAUCCAAGAAUACACGAUCCAACACAGCAGUCAUAUUUGACAACACAAUCUCAUCUGCCUUGGGAUUUCCGCUUUGAAGAAUCUGAAUAAUGAUAGCAUAGGAUUAUGAAAAAAAGAAAACGAGUUUCUUAUCACUUAGAUUUAAUUACUUCCAGGACAUCUAACGCAUACAAGCCAUCCAUAUACGAUCUAAUAAUUGAACAAGAAGUCCUCAAACCUCUAUACGGAAUAUCAAAUCCAGAUAUUAAAAAACACUAAAAAAUCAAAGCCGAUUGGCAUGUACUUGAAUCUAAUAAUUAAAGCAGGCUGUGAUCUCACUCUCCUGAAGCUACCCAUAUAAUUACAGCCACACGUUACUGACAGAUUAUUGACAUUUAAGGAACACAUUAUUUCAUGUCCGCUAAUUAAGGAAAAAAAGGCUAAACUUGGCAUCUACGUGUAUAUAUAUAUAUAUAUAGACCCACACACACACAUACACAUACACACACACACACACACACACACACACACUAGUAUAUAGAGAUAUAUAUAUAUAUAUAUAUAUAUAUAUAUGUAUGUAUAUAUAAAGUCCACUUUAGUCAAGAAGAAUCCAUACACAAUGAGUUAACCAGUGAAGCAUAACAAAGAUAAGCUUCAAACUUAAGAAAGUUUACAUUGAUUAUUAUGGAAGCUUGUAAUAAAAUAACCAUGAAACAAGUUCUAGAUCCAUACACAAUGGCCACAUUGUGGCUAUUUGAUCGUGUAAGCACAACAUGUAAAUGGUUCGGAUUUCUGAUAAAAAAUGUCACAUUUUCUUUUUGACCUUAAACAACUAAGGCACAUUAAUCGCGUGCUAGCUUGUGAUUGACUUUUUGUUAUUCUUUUAGUUACUCACAAUUUGUAAGUACCAUGGUCACAUUAAGUAGUCGUAACUAAAGAUUCGAUCCUACUCAAUUGGUAUCAAUAUUUCUAGUAAAAAUGUAGGCCUUGAACCACAAAAUAUCUAUCUCAAAGAAUUCUAAUUCCUACUCAUCAGCAAAGCCAAGCAUAGGAUAUAUGUAAUUAACAAUAUAUUUAGCAAGUUGAAAGAUAUUCCUAGUUCAUAAGGAAAAGGAAGUUUAAAAUUGUAUGAAUUUAUGAAAUUUUAUUGCCAGUUUUGUCGUCUCUAAAUAAUAUGGCUACAGCAGUAUAUACUAAAAUCUCUUCUAUUUUGAGAAGAAAAUACUAAAGCUUCUUCGUUUGGCAAUUUUGAAUGCCAAAACCGUUGAAAUAAAUUAAAUUUACAGAUGCACGCAUCUGUACACAAAUUGCUUUUAGAUGAGACUCGAACCAAAACGUUUACAGAUAUAAAGUAAAUUCAAAAUAAAAUAUCAGAAGCAGAUCUAACUAUGUACAGUAAAAUACAAGAUUAAGAAUUUUACAGCAUUUUUAUAAUUCUGAUAUAAUUCUUCCAUUCCUGAAGCAACAGUUGAGGGAAGCCUGCCAGCUUCUGUUUCCUUCCUUAUUGCAGACAGCAGCUCUACAGAUGAACAUUUCAAACAAGUCAAGAAAACUAGCAUCAAUAAACAGGAGAACAUUAAUAAAGUAAAGAAAAGCUGCUUAGAAAGGAGAUUUUUUUUUUUUUUUUUUCAUUAAGAAAGCUGCAGUUAAUGACAAACUAGCUCUAGGUCUAGUGGCAAUUUCUUUCCAGUGUUGACAAAGAUUUUCAAGUUUAUGUUCAAUGGAAACAUAAAACAAUAUAGAUGAAUUAUUUAACUACAAUACAAGGAUACAAGAAAAACAAAAAUAUAACCUUCAAGGAACCUGAAUAAGAAGACACAGAACAUUUGAAUUACAUAUCAGAGCAUGCAAUCAAUGACAUCGGAGGUUAUGCUUACAAAACGGUUAGUAAAAAUAAUGAGAGGAGUGGAAGAAAGAAAAAGAGAGAAAAUGAGUCAGUUGGGACCAUAGUCCCAGUGAUACUGCACUGUAAAUUUGAGGACAUUCUUAGGCUAUUAGGAGUUAGACUGUAUCCUGAUGGUCGCACUAAUAGGAAGGACUCAAAGACUAUCCAACCACAGGGUUCAGAUGUCCAACAAGCCAAUCAAAUAGCUAUGAAUUUGAACAAGAUUUGAAGCUUGCAUAUACUACAAACCUCUGCUCCAAAUAUUUGAAGCAAGAAGCCCAACUUUUGGCGACCAUAAUUAUAAGGGUUAUUAUGAGCAAUGGUCCCUGAACUUGUCCAUAGUUACAAUUUAGUCCUCCAACCCUUUUUUAGUUCAUGUGGUCCUUCAACUUGACCACCUCUUGCAACACUGGUCCUAUCCGUCACCAUGUACCAUAUUCUGUCUAUUUAAUCUAUGUUUUGUCAAAUAGUAUCUGUCUUUCCUUUUGUUUGUUGUUUCUCUUUUGGUUUGCAUGGUGGGGAAUAAAUAUAGGAAUUUUACGAUGGGUGUGAACAACAAUAAGGUAGGGCCACUAGACAGGUCUUUCAGUGAAAAUCCAUCCUAAACCAAGCAAAAAGUGCUCUUAAUGUAGCUUAUCAAAUGUUAAUAAUGCAUACCCUGCAAAAAUUGUACCUACAUGAAACGCAAUCCCAUGAUGAGAAAGCCAACCAUAUGAUGCAUCCAUGUUCAGUUUCAAGUCCUUUUUGCACGAUUCUUGAAUCAUUCGAAAUUUAUAUUGUUACUGAACCCAUUUCGUUAUGGUAGCAUGGAUUGAUGGGUAUCCACCUACCAUGGACUUGGAACGGAUGAAGCUGUUGAGUAAGUAGAUCUUAUCAUGAUAACUAGUCUAAAAAAAAUCUGGCUUCCACAGGCACAUACUUGAAACAAUGGAUUUGACGCGUACAAUCUAUAAAAAAGAUACAGAAAGGGUGAAUAACACAAAAACAAGGAGCAAUAACCAUUGAACAACUUCGACGUGUUGACAACUCAUACCUAAUGAAACCAAUACUUUUUAAUAAAUUUGUAUAAGGAAAUAAGGUAUUCAAAGUAUGAUGUACUUUUAGGUUCAUAAUCAGAGUCUAUUGACUUGUCAUAACUUUCACUGUUCUUCAUUUGUUCUCUGUUUUGUUUGUUCUUUGAAUACACUAGGUAGGUUGCUUUUCGAAAAUGGACAAUUUUGUUAAUGAUUUUUUACUCAUUUCAAAAUACAGCGGUUUUCCUUAAAACAUAAUAUCUUUAGAGAAGGCUUAAAAACAUAAUUCAAAAUAUACUUUAUAUGCGUAUACAUUUGGGGAAAGAAUUACUCAGAAGUUAUAACCUUAAAGUAACAACUAUAUCCCAUAAAAUACCUUCCAUCCUUGUCCUUAUUCUCUAUCUUGUCCGAUCUUGUGAUCAUUUUGGUUUACAGCACCAUACAUAACUACAACCACUAAUAUAUACAGAUACAAGUCUCAUAACCAACCCCUGGCUACAGUGUCAUGCCCUAGUACAUAGUGCUACAAUUACAGACUGUACAUCCUUAUGAAAGAAUACAUGCCCAACAAGAAUCGGUUUCCUUUACAUAAAUAGGAACUUCAACCUGAACUUUUUUGUCAACAUUUCCUUCAAAUUGAAAACAAGUUAUCAUGACAUUCCACUCAUUUAACGAUAGGAUUGGUUUCAAAGAAAUCAAUGGAUAUUUGAAAAUACUAGGGGGCUUCUGUAUCGACCAUUUCACUAGAUUGGAAGGCUGCAGUGUCAAUCAAAUUUGAAACUUUCAUCACUUCCAAGUUUAGAGAAGAAAAUUCUUUUGACAAAUAACUGAAAUACUCCUCUCUUUCUAGCAAAUUUAAAAGGAAAAUCAAGAAAGGCAACAUUUCAACUCCAAGAAAAAAAAAAAAGUAUGAGCAUUCACUUUCUUGCAUUUUCUGAGGAGCCAAACAGACAAAAUGCGAAGAGCUCUCACCAUAGAAAUUUAAGUCGGCCACGAAAAUAAAAUUGAGGACCAAUUUCAAUUCAAGAAAGGCAAAAUUUCAAUUCAAGAAAAAAACUAUUAGCUUUCUUGCAUUUUCUGAGGAACCAAACAGAGAAAAUGGCGAAGAGCUCACACCUUGUUCAGUGGUCGCGUUGAGAAAGGUGCGAGAAUGGUUAGUCUCCCUCUUCUCUGCACACUGAAUGGGCGACAAAGAAGCCGACUCCGUGUCCUUCACCAGCUCCGCCAUGGCAGUCACCUUCAAGGUGGAAAACAAGCAAGGACAGGCGGAGCUCCGCCACCUCAAAGAGACCAAGCACAGCCGAGAAGAAGACGACGGUGACGAAGAGUAAGCAGCGGAGGCGGAGGAGGAAAGAGACGACGGCGAAAUCCUAGGCGUGAGGAAUGCGGUGGAUGGCGUUGCAGAGAGAGUAAACAUAGUGAGAGAGAGAGAGAGAGAGAGAGAGAGAAGCGGAGGAUAGAUCGAUCGAUCUGUGAGUUUUGGUUUUCUGCAGAGUGGGGGAGUGGACGGUGGAGGCAAGGUUAUGAUCACGUCUUUUCCAACGCCAAUAGUGGGAGAAUGGUGACGGCGGUUUUGGAUUGGGGGGAAGAGAGUGACACCAGCGGAAGCUAUCUCGACACGUGGCUUUUCUCGCAGGGUGGAUUGAGGGGAGGCAACCCGAAAGUGGCUGUGGUGUCGUUUGCUUGUUGUUACUGUUUUGUAAAUUGAUUUAUUUAACUACUAACCAGUCAUAUGCCCGCACGUCACUAAUUUUCUAACGUUUUGGAUUAAUAUUUUUAAUUUUUACUGGUUAGACAUUGGACAAUUUAUAAAUUUGGUCUACGCAUUACUCAUACUAGUCGAUCAUAUUGAAAAAAUAAUAAUAAACAUUCAGUUUCAGGAAUGAAUUUUAGGAAAAAGUAGAAUUACGUCGGUUUUCCUGCAACAAAGAGAUGAAUAGACACAUUGUUAGCUAAGGAUUAUUCGAUGUCUGAGUUAAAAUUAUUGAAUCGGUGAGAAUCUCAUAGCUUAAAGCUUCUUGGUAAAUAAACAUGUUUAUCUCACGAUGCUCUUUCGAACAAUUAUUGUAGUUAUAAUGAAAUUCGGUUCUUUUAUAAUUCAUAUCUCGAUUAAGAUUUAUGACAUAUGGAUAAAUGUCAAAUCACAUGUAGAUAUUAAUAGUUACAAUAAUGCAACCUCAAGUAGCUUAAAGGGAUAUCUCGUUAUAUCUCGUUAUAUCUCGUAUAUGUCCGACACGUGUAACAUAAUACCAUACCCACCUUAAUGAGAUAUACACCAGUCUUACCAGAUAGUUACACAAUACCCAAUAUUAGGCCUCUUUCAGCAUGGAGAUUAGGAAAAGAUGCUUCACACUCCAAUCGGCCCAUCUAGUUUAUUUUAUUUCUUUAUCUUUGAGAAGCCAAAUAUUAGUACAUUUUUUUCUUGUGAAAACUUAUUGCUAAACCGAUAAACCUCAAACUUCAUGCGUAAAAAUGACUUUGCCCAUGCAAACUAUGAGUUUAUUUCCUCCAUGAUUUUUCAGAGCUUAUAAUAUGUAGCAAUUCAACCACUUGCAAAUAUUAUUGGUUGGAAAGAGCAAUUUUGAAGAAUUGCAGGUGUAUAGUAAUCUAAUCAUUUCCAAAUACCAUUCUUGAAAAAUAAAUGUAUUUUUUAUGUUCUACGUGCACUACCAAGUAAUUAGCCAAACGUAGUUCGCGCCUUUGAAUGUUGGGAAAAGAAAAUUUGAUUUGUGCUAAUGGUUCAUUGGUGGUUUUGAAGCCACACUUUUAGUAAGUUUUCCCUCUAAGGAUGGCAAAAAAACUCCACGGGAUUGGGUAUCUGCGAAUACCCGACCCUAGUAGGGGGCUUAGAGAGGACAAUAAACAAUUAUGGGGCAUAUUUGGGGAUUGUUUGAAAAGGAUUUGGAUCCUCUCAUGAGCUUAGGAGGCUGAGCCUUCUAAGCAAAUCACAUGGGCUAUUAGAUUUUGAUCCAACGGUUACAAACAAGAACCUCUCUAAAAGUUAUAAUAAUUGUAGCCGUCGGAUUUUGAUCCAACAGCCUGUGUAAUUUGCUCAGGAGGUUCAACCUCCUAAGCUUAGGAGAGGAUCCAAAUCUGUUUUAAAAACCCGAGGCAAAUAUAGAGCAAUGAUGGUAAUUGCCUUCCCUUGACUUGAUGCUUGCCCGAUUAUAACGUAUAUUAAAUUAUUAAUACAAUUCUUAUCAAUUAUGUUUGUAAGUCCUCUUUAUUGGUUGUGCAAUGUCUCAUAUCUCUAUUAAUUAAUAAAACCUUCUUUGUCAACCAAAAAAUGAUGAAAAGACUACUUAGUCUUCAAUCACACAAAAAAACUGAUGGGCAAUAAUAUAAUUUCACAGGUCCAAAUUUUACUGUUUUAAAUACCUCCAAUAUUAAAAAAAAUGACCAAAAACAAAAUCCUCCACUCCCCCCACAUUCUCUCUCUUCUUCUCUCCUUCUCAUUUUCUAAAAAAAUGUGUUCAUAUACACAAAGUGUGUAGCCAAAUACUAGUUUUCUUGUUAUUGCAAUUGUAUGGAUUUUUUUUAAAGUUACUUACUUUGUUAUUAGCUUUUUGGGUUUACAAAUUUAUGCUAGUUGAUUAUUGAUUAAUUUGUGUUGCAUAAUCCAAAUUUAGAGAUAAUUUUUCCAUGAUAGGCGGGUUGGUGGAUGUAGGAAUCGAGCUGUGUUGGCCGACACCCGGAAGGUGAUGAAGUCAUAAAGUGUAGUGAGGGUGAAAAUGUGAAUAAAUUUAAACCUAAAAGUGCCUAAAUGUAAGAGUGCUCUUGUGAGUGAGAAUGAACUCAUUUCACAUGUGAUGUCAGAACUUAAGUACAAUAAAAUUAGAAUAAGAAUUAUACCAUCGGAAGUAGUCUCCGAUAUCAACGUUUGCCAGAAAUCCUCGUCAACACGAACGCUAUCACUAGAACCUGGAAGGGCAAAAAAUAAGGGUGAGUAUGCCUAAAAAGAAAGCUUUGUAAAACCUUUUCGAAAGUAUAAUAACCGCUCGCUGUAAAACAAGUAUAGUUUCCAAAAAUAAUAUAUUGCACGUGGUAUGAAAAUACCUACCAUAGCUAGCAAUACCUUAAAAUGCAAUACGUCACAAUAUCUCAUAAAUAAAACAUAAUGUCCAGUAAUCCCAUAAUCUCGCAUAACACAUAUAUCAUAUCGAGUGCUCAUUGACAUAUGCUAACACACGAGUUCAUGCAGAGGUAUUCUAACAUGGACAUGAUUGGGUGUAAUAAUGAUUUACGCUGUAGUACUAUAAUCACAUGAAGACUGGAGAUAUGCGAGUCACAUACAAUGUAUCCAAAGUGAGUGUAUGAUGCGAUAUAAACAUACACAUGAAGCCUGGUCCUGGCCCGGACGAGUACAAACACCAGUGUAGCACACGAUGAGCAAAUAACAUAAAUAUGAUCAUGCAAUGGUAAAUCGAUAAUUCGAUAAUUCAAUAAUUCUAAUAAGUGAAAUACUAUUCAUGACUGUAAAUAUAAUUAAAGCAUCCAUACUGUGCAUCCCGUAGGACGUAGUAUAAUUUCAUGAAUUCCGUCAAUACGCUCAUUUUUAUAUAUGUUAACCUAAUCUAGGUAUAACAUAGAAAAUUCUUUAUCAAAUAUAUAAAUGAAAACUAAAUAAAUAUAUAAUAUUUAAAAGAAAAGACUCAUUCACAAAUACUUGCGAUGUCACAUCCUUUCUAGCUAAGAAAGCUGGAGUCUCCGAUAGUAAUCUCACAUAAGCAUAAUAUUGGAACCCGUUGGUAAAACUUAACUAAAAUGACUAAAUUCGGGUAAACAGAGUGCAGAUUUGGAAUCAGAACGUCAAAAUACGCUAAGAGAGGUCCCGGGAAAAUUUGAUAAAAAGUCAACAAGUCACCCCUAAAAAGUCACCAAGCCUCCCCUGCGAUCAACUACAUAAAAUUUUGGAAUUUCACUAAACGGAUGUCAAAAACAGACUCGGGGCGUCGAAAUAGCCUAGAAUAGUUUCCGAGAAAAUUUUGAAUUUUGAAAAAGUCAACACAAGGCAAUAAUAUUCUAGGAAUAUUACAGAGAAAAUUCUAGGAACAUUCCAGGUCCAUUUUUGAAAUGGGCUAGAUCAUAUUAAUGGACCAAAGAUUUAGGUCGGCCCAUGGAUCCGGUUUAGGCUUCUCUUAUUCAUUUUUUUGUACUGGGUCGAGUUGACCCAUUUGGCUUGCGGGUUGCCGGACCCAAUGAUGAAGAAGACCGGAAUCACAGGGGAAGUGGCCGGAAAACAUCAAAUGGCCAUAACGAGUUCAUUUCUCAACAAAAUGAAGCUCAAGAGCUAAGAAACAAAAAUAUAACUAAAUGGGACUGAGUCGUGGUCGGUACUGGUCGAAAAUGACCUGCAAAGUGUUGGAUGGUUCGUCGGAAUCUGGGGAAAUACUUUGGUGUUUCUGCGUCCAAACAUCACCAAACUGUCUCAAAACAACCUAAUCGUAGUCCUAACCACAAUCUAUGAAGGUUUGGGGUGUUUUUUGAACUUACCUUGUUGAAGAUGGUGAAAACUCACUGGAGCAAAAUUUGAAACAAUGGGGGUACCACUGUGCAGAGAGUGAGAGGUAUGGUUGGAUUCGUGGAUCUAACUUUGAUUGAUGGAGUGAAGGUGGUGGUGUAGUCGGGUUUGCCGGAGUGGCGAGAGGUGUGAGGGUCUUGGGUUUGCCGAGAAGAAGAGAGAGUCUAAAGUUCUAGAGAGAGAGAAAGCUAAGAGGGUUUUAAAGAGAAAGAAAGCUCAUAGAGUUUAGCGGGAUAAGUAAGAGAGGUCCAGGAGAGUGAGGGAAGAAGGACACGCGACAUGGAGAGAGUAAAGAGUUUGAGAUGUGUGGGCCCCACGAGCCAAAAAUAAAUUAUUAAAAUAUUUAAAAGAUCAAAUAUGAAAAUAUUAAAAUAAUAAUAUAAAAAUAUAAAAUAUAAAUUAGUAAUUUUUACAAAAGAAUUUUUCGGAUUCGUAGUUCCGUAAAAUCUUCGUCGUAAUUCUGAAUUCUAUUCCGCUUGCAUCUACAUGUUCAUACCCUCGAGUACUUUAAGAAUAUGGUAAAAUAAUAGCUCAUUCGCGUCACGAACUAACAGUCAACGAAAGUCAACAAUCUUACCUUAAGGGGCAUUUUUGUCAAUUCACUCAUUUAAAAUUAAUAAAAUUGUAAAAUUAGGGAUGUGUUGUUACAGUGGCACCCUUUGACCUCGCCUCGCCCUAUUGCCAUCCCUAUUUUCCUCAAUUCCUUCUAUUAAAAGAUCUUGUUUAAAGUAAUUUGUUACAAAUGUAUAAAGUAACUGUAAUGGUUUAUUUGGCUGUAUAUGAGUUGUGUUUGUGUUGGCCCGGGUACACAAUAUUAUAAGGUUAGGCAUCAAGUUUAUUUUGUGUAUAUUGUGGAUUUUGAAACAAAGUAUGGUCUUUCAUUGUCUUCGUUUGUCACGCCCCGAUCUCGAGAUACAUCCAGGAUCGACAGGUGACAUCACCAUGUCCCUAUUCAACUAUCAUGCCUUGCUUACAAGUCAUGACCAAAAACAACCCAACAGUUUAAUAACGUAGUAACUUUUUUCUAUAUUUCUUGGGUGCAUCUGACCUCUGUGUUAGACUGCCUACGUACCCUCAUCCUCUGUAUCUUUUUAAUUCCCAAAACCAUAAAGCCUUUUCUUUCUCUCCUAUGCGCUAUCUCUGCUCAACCCAAAUUCGUUGUUCCUCAUUACAACCUUCCGCCACUCUCCCUUAUAGCUAUCCACACAGACGUGCCCCAUCAGAGCAAAAGCCAUCAUUUCAGGUUCGUUGAAAUUCUUCAACUAACGUUUGAUUAAUUGUGUGGUUUUUUUUGUUAAUAGGUUGUAAUAUUUUAGAAAUAAUAAUAAUGAUGAUGAUGAUGAUAAUAAUCUUUACUAAUUAAUAAAACACUCAUUGUCAACCAAAACCCUAUGAAAUUACCAGUUUAACCAUCUAAUUAAAACAUAACAUGAAUAAGAAAUAUGGGGCAGAAAUGUAAUUUCACACAACUAAAUUUUGUUGUUUUUUUUUUCAAAACCUCACCUACAUGUAAUCCUAACAUAUCUCUAAUUUAACAUAAAAAAAAAAAACUUCCCACUCCCACAUUCUCUAUCACUCUUCCUCACUCCUAUUUCAAAAACAAAAAUAAAAUUUGUGUGUGUGUGCCCAUAUGCUAAUAAUAACAACAACAACAUCAACAACAAUAAUAUUAUUCUUAAUAAUAAUAACAAUAAUAAUAGUAAUAAUAAUAAUAAUAAUAACAACAACAACAAAAUAGAAUUCUUCUCACAAAUACAAUUCAAUUGAAUUACUAAAUAUUAAAAGUCUCUCUGCUUGCGUGCGUGAGGGUUUUCAAAGUUAUAGGGUUCCCUAGGGUUUUUAUUCCCUUGCCGUCAACGUUGGUCUUUGGGGGUCAACGGCGCGGUGCAUGGGGAGUGCGGUGAUUAUGGAACGUGUGGUAAACCUAUUUCGAAGUAUGCUGCGUCUGAAUGAAGGGGAGGAGAUCGAAGCGAAGUUUAGCGAUACGGCGAAAGAGCGGCUGAAGUUUUCUAAGUAUUUUGUGGUGAGGAAGGUGCUCACUAGGAAGAAGUUUCGCUCUAGUAUAGUGAUGAGGGUUAUUAAGGAGUUGUGGCGGCCUAAGGUUGCGGUGGAAGCCAUGGCAAUUAGGGAGUUCUGUUAUCUUUUAACAUUGAAGAUGAUAUGCAAACGGUACUGAGCGGCAACUCUUGGUUCUUUGGGAAAUCGUUGCCAAUUCUCGCAGAGGUAAAGGGAUUAAAGGUGCCUGUAAACGUCUCGCUUCGCGAACAAGAGUUUUGGAUUCAGAUCCAUGGGCUUCCCUCGUCUCUCAUGUCUGUGCGUAUGAGGGAAAUACUAGGGGUUACGAUUGGUAGGGUGAUGAAGGUUGACUGUGAUUCUAAUGGUAGUUGUGUUGAGAGUUUAUGCUAAUAAGGGUGGGGAUUGAUGUCUCAAUGGCACUUAAAAGAAGGUUGUAGGUCCGAUUGACUGAUGUGGAAGGAGAUAGGUUGAUGGGAAUUCUGUUGCAAUAUGAGUGUCUCCCGGAUUUCUGUUUCUUGUGUGGUAUUUUAGACCACAAAAGGGGCUCACUGUUCCACUUUUACUCAGGGUUCUAUACAUGAAUUUAGGACACCAUUUGGUACGUGGUUGAAGAUUGGGCAACCCAUCCUGGGAUCAUUAUGGGGGUCUCGGCCUAUUCGUUUUGGUUUAGAGGAUAAGAGCAGCAAUAGAUCGAAAUGUAAGCUCCAUAUUUUAUGGAUGGGAAAGACAUAGAUGACAUGGAUGUGGAUGCUAUUGGAAAGGCUUCACGUGCUCUGGAGGAAGAGGUCAUUCAUGGUGAGUUGAAGGCUACUGAGCUUCGGGCGGAACAAGGUGGGUUAGGCAAUGAUGAUAGCCAUGGGCCAUGAAUGCUCUUGGGUGGUCUAUUCUAGUUGGGUGACUUUUUGCAAGCUUUUAAGCAAGCUUCACUUGAUCGGGUUCGAGAUGGUGGUGACUUGCUUGGUUUCUGUCCAAACCCGAUGGGGCCCGUUACCUUGGUGUUAGGGGAAAUGUUGUUAACGGGCAGUAAGAGGUGCAUAGAUGGGGAUGUUUAUACUAGAGACGAGGUUUCUAUCGGUUUUAAGAAGAAGUGCUCUAGUCCAUCAGUGGGGUUUGUCGGUGAACAACCUCACCGUUCACAAUGAAUUGUCUAAGUUGAAACUGUCAAGGGUUGGGGGAACUCUCGAGCAGUUCAGGCGUUGUUGGAAAUCAUCCAGCGGCAACAUCCCCUUUUGGUUUUCUUAUGUGAAACCAAAUGUAGUUCUCAAGCUAUGGAGUUUAAGAAAUGUGGUUUGGGUUUUCAGAAUUCGAUUACAGUGGUGAGUAAUGGACGGUCGGGGGGUUUAUAUUUACUAUGGAAUGAGGAGGUGGAGUUGGUGGUAAGGUCAUAUUCUCUGAAUCAUAUUAAUAUGGAAUGUAAGGUUGGGCGUUCUUUGACUUGGUGGAGAUUUACAGGUUUCUAUGGGUUCCCGAUUACGGCAGAGCGCCAUUUAUCAUGGACGUUGUUGUCAACGUUAAGUUGACAAAAUUCUCUUCUAUGGUUGUGCGUGGGUGAAUGCAAUGAGGUGUUGAGUGCAUUAUAAUAACUUAGAAGGGCUGGGAAGAGGAAAAGUCAGAUGAAUGGGUUUCGGGAGGCCAUGCAUUAUUGUCAAUUGGUGGAUUUGGGAUUUAUUGGUAGUGAGUACACGUGGACUGAUAACAGGGAAGAUGAGGAUCAAUUUCGUCUUGAUCGUGCGCUUGUUACUCAAGCUUAGAUCCAUAUAUUCCCACUAUCGGGUUUGUCAUCUUAAGCCUUCCAAAUCGGACCAUUUGCCUAUUGCAGUGGAGAUUCGGGACUCGAUGGGUGGGACUCCUUGAAAAUCUCGUAGAUUUUGUUUUGAGGAGAUAUGGCUGCAGGAUGCUAGUUGUGAGGAAACCAUUACAUCCGCUUGGAAUGUGCAGUGACGAGGUUCACCACUGGCCCGUGUUUGUAAUAAGAUUAGAGCCACUAGGGUGGCUUUGUUGGAGUGGCAGCGUACUACCUUUGGGAAUACUAAGAUGGAGAUUGCAAAUGUUAAAGAUAAAUUAGGGAUCUUGUUUGAUCACCCUCCUUCGCCGGACCUGCAUGAAUGUAGGGGAGUGUUGAUGAAAGGGUAGAUAAUUUGCUUAGUAAAAAAGAAACCUUUUGGCAACAGAGGGUGAGAACCCAGUGGUUGAAGGAAGGUGAUCGGAAUACGAGGUUCUUCCAUACUCGUGCUUCAAAUAGGCGGUGGAAGAACACAAUUAAGGGUUUACAUGGGGAUGAUGGCGUGUGGCAUGACUCGCCAAAAGGAAUUGAAGACACAGUGGUGGAUUAUUUUAGGUGAAUUUUUCAGACGCAUGGGGUUUUUAAUAAUGUUGUACAGGAGGUGUUGAGGGCUGUUUUGCAUAGGGUUACUUUGGAAAUGAAUGAGGUGUUGUUGCAACCUUAUUUCAUGGAUGAGAUUAAGGUGACUGUGUUCCAAAUGAACCCAUCAAAAUCUCCGGGGUAGGAUGGCAUGUCCCCACUCUUUUACCAGCAAUUUUGGCAUAUUGUUGGCCCGAAAGUGGUGGAGGUGGUACAGUCAUUUCCGUAGUCUGGCCAUCUAAGUAGGGAAGUUUGCUUUACUCAUGUUGUUUUGGUUUCUAAGGUUAAUAAGCUGCAAGGUAUGUCCCAAUUACGCCCCAUUAGUUUAUGUAAUGUGCUUUACAAAAUUGGUGCCAAGGUGAUUGCUAACCGACUCAAAGGUAUGAUGUCUUCGAUUAUUUCACCAAAUCAGAGUGCGUUUAUCCCGGGAAGAUUAAUUUCGGUUAAUUCGCUUGUGGCGGUGAAGAUUGGGCAUUUUUUUGCACAAUAAGAGGAGUGGUAGGGAUGGUUCUUUUGCUCUUAAGCUUGAUCUUAGUAAAGCUUAUGAUCGAGUUGAAUGGUGUUUUCUUGAAGCUAUGAUGGAGAAGUUGGGCUUUGCUAGCGAGUGGAUUAAGAUGGUGAUGUCGUGUGUUAAAUCAGUGUCGUACUCUUUUUUAAUUAAUGGGCAGCCAUGUGGUUAUUUGAUUCCGUCCUGAGGGCUUCGGCAAGGGGACCCCUUAUCCCUAUAUUUAUUUUUAUUAUGUGUUGAAGGCCUUUCGCCACUUAUUACACAAAAAGAGUAAGUAUGGGAGUUGAGUGGCAUUUGGCUAUGUGGGGAAGCGCCCACGAUUCACCACCUUUAGUUUGCUAACAACAGUUUCCUUUUUGGUAGAGCGAAUGUGGAUGAAUGUGUGGUGAUUCAACAUAUUUUAGACAUCUACUCUCAAGCUUCUAGUUAAUAAGUGAACUUUGGUAAGCGUAGUGUUGCUUUUAGUGUGAAUGUGCUUCAAUAUGACAAACAAAUGUUAGCAGGUUUCCUUGGAGUUCAGUUGGUCGAACGGCACGAGAGAUAUUUGGGAUUGCCGACAUGUGUGGGAAGGAAUAAAAAACAAACUUUCUCAUAUAUUAAGGAACGAGUGAUGCAAAGGCUUAACGGGUGGAAAAGUAAGCUCCUGAGUAAUGUGGGAAAGGAACUUCUUAUAAAGGUUGUUGCUAAAACUCUUCAUUCUUAUGCAAUGAACUAUUUUUUUGCUCUCGAAGAUAUUAUGUGAUGAAUUACAUCAGCUUAUGGCUCAGUUUUAAUGGGGGAAUGGUUCGGAGGAUCGAAAAAUUCAUUGGCAGUUAUGGGACAAGAUGUGUAAACCUAAAGCUGAAGGUGAGUUGGGGUUCCAUGAUCUUUAUGCUUUCAAUAUGGUGGUGUUAGCUAAGCAAGGGUGGAGGGUGUUCCACCAUCCCUCGUCUUUGGUAGCGCAAGUUUUCAAGGCACAGUAUUUCCCGAAUUCCUCAUUUUGGGAAGCAGAAGCCCCCGCAUCCUCUUUGUAUUAUUGGCAAAGUAUUAUUAAGGUGAAAGAGGUACUAGUUUGUGGGUCUAGGUGGGUGGUGGGAAAUGGUUGGACAAUAAGGGUUUGGUUGGAUAAGUGGUUGCCUCGGACUAGUACUUUUAAGGUAAUCUUGGCACUUCCCCCAGAACGGAUUCAAAUGAAGGUUGAGAAGUUAAUUGAUACUUCUACAAGGGUGUGGCGUACCGAUUUGUUAUCAGAAUUUUUUAGCUCGGAUGAAGUAUCUCUUAUUUUAUCUCUUCCUAUUAGUUUCCGUGCUCUAGAGGAUAGGUUGGUGUGGCACUAUGAUAGCAUGAUCUUUUCUUUGUUAAGAGUGGGUAUUGGGUAGCUCGGCAACGGCUACAAUCCUCUUAUAGUAGUUCAUCCUCCUCUACCAAUGUAAGUGCAUAUGUGAAACUGUGGAAGCAUAUUUGGAAGGCUAACAUUCCUCCCAAAGUUAAGAAUUUCACUUGAAGGGUGUGCCAUGAUAUUCUUCCAACCAAAGUGAAUCUCCGUAAGAAAGGCGUGGGAGCGAAGUUGGCGUGUGGGGUGUGUCAUGGGGAGGAGGAAACUGCAGAACAUGUGUUGCUUACAUGUUCGUUUGCUAGAGCGGUGUGGUUUAUUUCUCUGUUUGGUCUCCGGUUAUCUAGGAGUAUCUGAAUACCACUUAAGGAUUAGUUUUUUACGGUGCUAGAAAAUAAAGAAGUGGUUUUUGAGUUGUCUUGUUUGAUUAUGUGGGGCAUCUAGCAAGAAAAGAACUCACGGGUGUGGAGGGGUUCCCAAGUAUUACCUAUGGUUGUGUAGCAGAAGGUUUCUUCUUGGUUAUUAGUGUUUUAGUCGCACGCAUUGUGAACCUGCUAGGACAAGGGGAGUACCCACUCCACGGUGGUCUCUUCCUAGCCAAUGGUGGGUUAAGAUUAAUAUGGAUGGGGCGAUGAAUGGCCAUACUAAUAUGAGGGGUGUUAAAGUGGUGAUACAGGAUUGGAGGGGUGGGUUCUUGGUGGUCGGGGAGCAGCAGUUUCCAGGCGUCACUUAGGUGCCACUCCUUGAGCUAUUUGAUGUGCAGUAUGGUUUGCAGGUAGCACAACAACAAGGUUUUCAAUAAGUCGUGGUUGAAAGUGAUUCUCUGAAAGCUAUUGCAGUUCCUAAUGGGACCUAUAUAGAUUCAUCGGCUAUAGGUAUUGUCGCAGAGGAUGUGUUGCAGCUGGCUUCCACCUUUUCUAUGGCGAGAUUUAUUCAUGUCUCUCAUUUAUGUAAUCGGGUUGCCCACCAUCUUGCUAAGUUUGCUUUGUCUAGUAGCAAUAAUCUCAUUUGGAUUAAAGAGCCUCCUACUUUCAUUCAGGAGCUCCUUCUACAAGACAUAUGUAACUCUGCAUGAGUUUAUUUAAUCAAUACAACGUUUCUUUUCAAAAAAUAAAACAACAACAACAAAAUAAUAAUAAUAAUAAUAAUAAUAAUAAUAAUAAUAAUAAUAAUAAAUAGUAAUAAUAACAGUAACAACUAGGGCUGGAAAAAAAUACCAAAAAUCCCAAACCAUAUCGAAACCAUACUGAAAACGAACCGAUCCUGAAUUGUUUGGUAUAUGAUUUGGUCUCACACUUUGAAUAAUUCGGUAUUCCCGAACCGAACUUUGCUAACUAGUAUUACAUAUAUAUAUAUAUAUGUGUGUGUGUGUGUUGGAAUGUGUAAUGACUAUUAUUAUAGUAUUACAAUCACUAAAGUGUGGUGUGGUGCUGACAAAGGUAGGAUGGAUGGGUCACAGGUGCUUUUCUAGAUAGAACUCUCUCUCUUUCUCUAUCUUAUUUUCUCUCAUCAGUCAUCUAUUUCGUAUUGUCUCUCUUUCUACAACCCAUAAACCACCUAACCCUUUAUCUAUCACUUAUUUUCCAUUUCUUAUCUCUCAUAUUAUCUUUUUCUCUGUAACCCAUAAACCACCCCUACUCACUUCAAAACCGAAACCACCCUUCCUUCCACUCAAUCCAAAAUCGAGCCGACACAUCCCUACUCACUCUCUCUUAUUUCAUUUUGCCUUUCUCAUCUGCCUUCACUUAGUCUCAGACUCUCUCUCUUUCUUGGAUUCGAAGCUCAACAGCCACCCAUUGUCUAACAAUCUCACUCUGACGAACUGUUUCCACUCCGGCCACCACCACACCUCACGGCUUCAUCCCCACCUCCGGUUCUCUCCAGUGAUUCUCUUCGUGUUUGAGAUUUCGAAUUAAGGUUAGGGUUUCAAAUUGGGGCUUAGGGUUUCGAAUUAGGGAUCAGGUCAUGAAGAUGACGCAGGUGUCUCUCUUCACUUUAUCUCUCUCUACCAUAAAUCUUCACUGAUUCACUAUCAUUAUGUCUCUAAUUUCAAUUUGGAUUUUUAAUGCACGUUUGGAUGAUUUCAAUUUCAAUCUAGAUGAUUUGGAUUCUAAUGCAGGUUUGGUUUCGGGAAAUUCCAAAAUACCAAAAUUUCGGUUAGGGUCAAUCAUGAGAUUUUCUUCCCGAAAAUUUUCGGUUCGGGAUUUGCUAUGCCACUUUUGGUUCGAUAUCCCAUAUCGAACCAGCCCUAGUAACAACAGUAGUAGUAGGAGUAGUAGUAAUAGUAGUAGUAGUAAUAAUAAUAAUAAUAAUAAUAAUCUCUACUAAUUAAUAAAACACUCAUUGUCAACCAAAACCCUAUGAAAUUAACAGUUUAACCCUCUAAUUAAAACAGAACAUGAAUAAGAAAUAUAAGGCAGAAAUAUAAUUUCACACAAUCAAAUUUUGCUGUUUUUUUUUCAAAACCUCACCUACAUGUAAUCCUAACAUAUCUUUAAUUAUAAAAAAAAAAUUUUAAAAAAUAAAAAAACUUCCCACUCCCAUUCUCUAUCACUCUCUUCCUUUCUCUUUCUAUUUCAAAAACAAAAAUAAAAAAAUUGCUCACACACUUUGUGUGUGUUCAUAUGCUAAUAAUAAUAAUAAUGACAACAACAACAACAACUCUUCUUUCUCUCCUAUGCACUGUCUCUGCUCAACCCAAAUUUGUUGCUCCUCAUUACAACCUUCUGCCACUCUCCCUUACAACUAUCCACACGGACGCGCCUCAUUAGAACAAAAGCCAUCAUUCCAGGUUUGUUGAAAUUCAUCAACUAACGUUUGAUUAAUUGUGUGGUUUUUUUUUGUUAAUGGAUUGUAAUAUUUUGUCACAGCCCGUCCCGUGAUUCUUUUUAUCGAGGUUGUGAAAUGACGAAAUUAUCCUUGACGGGUGCUAAGGUAGGUGUGCGACAUAUUAUUGAACAAUGCAUUUUCCCUAAGUUUUGACAGGUGCUAAGGUAGCUGUGUGACAUAUUAUUGAACAAUGCAUUUUCCCUAAGUUUUGGAAAGUUUGAAUUUUGAUUAAAGGUUGUAUGUGUUUUGUGUGGUUAGGGAAAUAAGUUGGACUUGUUUUGGGAUGGACCGCACACGCACACGCGGGAUACCCUUACCCCGUGCUCUCUCUCUCUCCUCCUUCUCUGUCACUCUCACUCUCUCCCUCUCGAAACUGUACGGACCGACCCAAAAACCCUUGAAACUUCAUGGAUCGAAGUGGAGAUUAGCACCAUUGUGUUCGUGAGUGCCCUACGAACUCAAAGGUACCAUUUUCAGGUAAGAAACCCUUCGUUUUCAUGUUGAAAACUUAAGGUCCGAAUUGAGUACUAUUCAUGAACUUUGUAAUGGUUGGUUUUUAGGACAAUCCAAGCUCAUAGUGAGCUCUAGGAAGUUCCCACGAAGCUCGGGGACGUUCGUUUGAAAGUUUUGGACGUCGGGACACCCUAGUUCGAAGGUGGCCGGUUUUGGUGAAGUUUCCUGACGUGAUUUUCGAAGGUUUUGAGGCUCCAAAGAGGUAUAGCCUUCUUCCCCUCGUGAUUUAGGACAUUUUGGUGAAAAUUUCAUGGAAAAUGGUUGAGAAAUGACAGAGAACAAGGAGAUUGAAAAAUCUCCAGUUUCCGGCGACCGGAAAAAACAGUCCGGCGACUAGAGGAAGAAGAUGACGCGCGUGGGGUGAGUGGGUCCGUGCCCCUCCCGGCGGGUGGGGGCGCGUGCAGCCUUGAAUUUUUUUUCUAAAAAUAUGUCUGUGGAGCCAAAAAUAUUCACAAGGCGACACGUGGAUUUUUGGAUAAAAGAAGACAAAAAUAUCCUUGAGGCAUACCGGGAUUCCUACGCACGAGCAGCGGGCAAUCAUCCGUUAACCAAGUCAAAAAAUGCCCAAAGAAGGUAACAAAUAAAAGUUAUUUCAUCCAUAUACUCCACAAGGUAACCAUUCCAAACAUUCCAUUUAAAUUAGAUUAAUUGGUGAGUUAAUGGAUUUAUUUCCUAAUUAAUCCAUUAAAUCACCAAUUAAAUGACCCAUUAUGCCAAUUAAUCCCCCAUUACAUAACCCAUUACCCAAAAAAUCCCAAAUGGCCGGCCACCCUAGUUGAUCUCAUCAUAUUCACCUAUUUUAUCACAUUAGUUAGCUAGUUAAUUUAGCAAUAAUUAUUUGCUAAAUUAAUUAGUCAAUUAUUCCCAUAACUCCUAAAUUUAACCUAAAUCAAGAACCCUAUCCCUAUAAAUAGGCUCUCAUUCUCACCAAAAACCUAAUUCCAACACUUUGGCAAAAAUCCCAAAAUUCUCUAAACACUCUUUCUCUCUAAAUUCUAACUUUGGCAUCAGAGGUUCUUCGGCCAAAGCCCCGCCAUUCAUCGUGGGCGCGUGAGGCUCUUGGCUUUAACCUAAGGUGUUAAUUGUUUUGUAGGUGCAAAAUUGUCCAAGAAUAAGGAGGAAGAAAUUUGCAUCCACAAAUUGGUGCUUUCAUUGAGAGUUGAAAUCCAUACUCGUAGAAGACUCUCGCACAAAAAGGUUUUUUCUUUAUUUUCUAGUCCAUUUGAAUAUUUUUCAUACGUUCUUAUUAUUAGAAUUUUUUACUUGCAAAGGUUCUUUGAUAAAACGUAUAAGCAAAAUAUAAUGGCUAGAAAUUUAGAAAAUUCCACAAGUGAAAUUUCUAAUGUUCAAGAAAUGGGAUUGCGGAGAUCCGUGAGGCUAAAUGCGACAAUAAGUGGAGCAGCACCACCACCACGAGUUUCCACCAUGGGAACCACCACGGUGGCUACCUCGGUAGCCACCUAUGGCGAGGUCCAUGGUGCCUUCACCACGGCUCGAGCCGUGCCAUCCAAGGCUCACGACACCAAGGCCACGGCCCAAGUCGUGCCAUCCAAGUUUGCACGGGCCCAGGCCCAAGCCUCGCAUUCGCUUGCAUCACAUUCUAAGCAGCCUGCUCCCGCCAGGUUGCCUGCUUCCGCCAAGCAACCUGCUUUCCCAGCCCAGCCUGCUCCUGCCAAGCAGCUUGCUCUCGUGACCCAGCCUGCUCCCGACGAGCAGCCCACUCCCGUGGCCCAGCCUGCUCCCGCCAAGCAACCUGCUCUCGCGGCCUAGCCUGCUCCUGCCAAGCAGCCUGCUCUCGUGACCCCUGCCUAGCCUGGAGCAGCAGUUUUACCCCAUUGCAUUGUCAAGUGGACUCUCUUCCAAUAGCCAUGUCAUCUCCUCCCGUCCAAAAACCUAAAUGCCAAUACGUGGCAAGGGACUUGCUAAAUAGCUUCAGCUGCAAUUCACAAGUCCUUGCACACUUUCCAAGGCAAAGCCAACCACUAAAUCCGUGCCCACUCCUUCAUAAAACACUCUCAAAUAUCCAAACUAAUGUGGCAUUUUCUAUCAGGCACAAGUGGGUUUUGACAGGCAAAGCAAUUAAGCAUCCGGCCAGCAUGGCAGUGAAAAAACAUUCCGACUAGCGCGACGGCAGACAAUCAUAGGAAACCUCUCUGCUUUUUUGGAAAGCUCAAAGAAAUUUAAUUGCGGUGAAGCUGAUGUGUUUUCCAAGUCGAUAAUUUAGGAAAUAAGGGAUCAUUGCAUUCAAUUCAAGCACCCCAAGAGAGAGAACCGAACUCAACGUCCACUCGGGAAACCUCGACCUCUUCGAAGGGGAGCUAUCCCUUCACCUCUAGUCCCCCUUUGAAGGAUUUUUCAUUUCCCACUCACAGAAAUCUUAAGGAGUCAAAAUCCAACCCUUUGAUAAUUCACCCAAUCGAAGUGCAAAAUUUGAGAUUAGUCAAUUUGAACCUACAACAAGUGGACGAGUUCAAGCAACUUAAAAUCGGAAACCCGGUGUCUUUCCAACUUUUGAGGGCAUCCGGGAUUUGUAGAUUUCAAGGGCCUUUUGAUAGUUGAUCAGUGGUUAGGAAACCAGGGCGCAAGGCUUCAUUGACCAGCCCUAGGAAGCCACGAUCAUGCCGAGGAACGCGCUGGAGAGCAUGUCUAGAGGGUCAGGCUCUAGCGGCCCAUUAAGCGUUCCAUCACUCUGUUAUAAUGACGACUGAGCUACCUCACAGAAAGCUUUGGAUUCAUUCAGCAAAGCAAGCAACCCACAAUGAGCAAGUAUUCCGCUGAAUCCACCCGACUUGUAGGCGCCAUGGAGACAAUGAAGCCUGUCCGCCAAUCCUUAGUUCCACAACCCACGCAGACCUGACAGUCCUGCAGAAGUUCAACCUGCCCACCAAGCAGCUGUCUCUGCACAUUGCCAAAUGUUCAAAGCAACCUAACUUGGCUGAGCAGCCACGACAUGGCUUGUUCAGCGGUGGCGUCAAGAAUUCACAGCUAUCAAGUGGCCCUAAAGGUCCAGUUAAAGCAUCUUCCCUGCCUGAAGGACAAAUAACCAACAAAAAGGAGCACUUUUAAGAGAUUUCCCAAAACUUAUCUUGAACGUUUCCUCCAAACAAUUGAAAAACAUGUCCAAACACCUUAUUGCAAUGAACAAUUCCGCAACAGGGACAAUGCAUCUCAAUGAAACAAGAUCCAAACGACGACACUGAUUCGAAGGAUAACUGCAGGCGACAAAUUCCUUAAUCCAAUUCGAGACCUUUCGAUUGCCUAGGACUCACCAAAAGGGCGUUCAGCCCUUGUUCAGCAUCGCAGCACAUUUUCACAUCUUUCAAGGGGAAAAAACCCGGAGAGCACCCCGCUCCGAACCGCAAUGAUCCUUUAUCGAAACAACGAUGAUCUCAUGUGCAAGAUAUUCGCCAGCACUCUACAAGGCGAGGCACAAGAUUGGUUCUACACCCUGCCGCCACAAUCCAUCUGGAAUUUCUACGAACUUUCUUUGGUUUUCACCAAAGAAUAUUCAUCUUAUCGUUCGAUCAAAAAGAAGUCUGACCAUUUGUUCAACGUCAAGAAGAACCCAAAGGAGUCGCUUCGCGACUAUGUAAGGAGGUUCAAAGUAGAGAAGGCAAAAAUAGUCGGAUGCAACGACUCGAUAGCUAGAGCAGCCUUCCAAAAAGGACUUCCAGCAGACCACCCGCUAUUCGGAAAAUUGAUCAUGAAAGAAGAUCUAACUCUGGCAGACUCUUUUACUUUGGCAGAGAAGCAUGCAUUUUGGGAUGAGGCUCGCCAAUGCACAUUCAAGGACUUGAAGAAGUACCCAACAUCACCUCCCUAGAAGCAGUGGAUAACUUAUUCGCACGUUUGACGGUAUCUAAAGUAACAAUAAGCUCUACCAUCAUGCGAGAAGAGCUGGGGGCCCGACCACCUGUAUUCUACAGUUCAAAAGCUCUCCUCGAUGCUAUUAAAAAUUCAAAAGUUAACUUUGGCGAUAAUUGUUGUAACCCAAAAGCUUAAGUUUUACCUUCAAACGCAAGCAGUCAUCAUCAUGAUGCAGUAUUCCGCUGAAUCCAAACCGGCGACGAUAAAGGCAUAGACCCCGGCGGAUGUAAAGUUUUCUGACGAACGCAACACUGGAAGGACACACUCAGAAGCAAGUUUUUUCCUCGUCACCCUAAAAGAUUCUGCAUAGGAGCAACAUGUACCGGCUAUUGAGUACCACUUCUUGCUGCGCACCACACGGCCCUAGCCGACUCUUGCUCAAUGAUUCAACUCUAGAGUGGCCCAAUACCAGUAGUUGAGCAUCUCCUGCUGCGUAUGACAUGGCCCCAUCUCCACAGCUCCCUACUGCGCCUUUACGCCGAGCCUAGGUGACGCAACAGAGCGGCCCAACGAUGCCUCAGAAGUAGCCGGACACAUUUUAGCCGCGCCUACUCCACCCGAUGGAGACUUCUGGCAUUUGCAUGUCGACGGCACAGAAAAGCCAUCAUCACUGCCUGCAGAGAAGGAUCCAAAAAGACGAAUCUCAUCUGGGAAGGUCUGUACAAGAUCAGCAGAGUAGGCGGCAAGAGUAAUUACACCAUCGCCACCAUGAAACGGUAAAAAGAUCGAAAAACAGUGGAUGGCCUACAAUCUGAAGAAGUACCAUGUGUGACCUCCCGCUACAUCAAAACUUAAGAAGCUCGACGGGCACCACCUCACAAGCUGAGGACUAUCCAGUUGUUAUGCAAUUCCUACCUUACAGCUAAAGUUCUCGUUCGUUUCACUCGUUUUUCAAUGAGGAAUUUAGAAGUAAUCACAACUUGGCUUGGCUGCAUGCUUACAACAACUAAUCACUCAUGCACUUCAAAAGAAGACUGCGCCCUUCUUAGGGACUCAUCACAGGAAUUGCGCCCCCCGAGGGACUAACCAUGCUCUCCAGUGCGAGAGGGUAAACCAAUUCCCCGACACCCAUAUGGGUUAGCUCUCCAAGAUGGAAGGAUAAACUUUACACUCCGAAUAUCCAGACGUGGAUGAGCCUGACUGCCCUAGUAUAACUAGAUGCACGAUGGCUUACGCCGGGAUUCCUAGAAGUAGCCACAAUGGUCUUUUUCAAGGCUUAGCUAACUGAAGGAUUUUGGGUCUCUUGGCCUAAUCUGUGGGAAACCGGGCCCUAGAUAUGGAGGGGGCACAUUAUGCAGUACGCCUUAUAAACGGCUGCCCUGGAACCCUAAAGCUGCUACGAGUGCACUAAGGUAGCCUACGGAUUCCGGAAGACUGCCUACAGCUUGCCUUUCGAGCAGUAAAGCCGCACUAGACUUAUACAGCCGCACAUUCUUGUGAAAGGUUAAACAAGCUAGCACGCAUAUACGAAGUUUUAUCCACUGCCGACAUGCUACGUAGUCGAUAAGCUUCACUUCUGCCAAGCGCGGAACAACCUACACCAAGUCCUAAAGUGUUGUGGUACUUGCUACACAAUCUAUGGAAUUGGAGAAAGUCAAGUUAACAGCCUAGUGGUUACGCGGACUUAUCUGCUUCUGUAAGUAAGGCAUCCGGCUGCCAACCCUAUGGCUAACAACUUUGCAAAGUUCUACACCAACACCUACGGCUGCAUAGGCUACGCGGGCUUGUCUGCUUAUAAAAAAGUAGCAUGCCUGCUACUGGUCUAUCAAGAAUAAAGGUUAGGGCAUGAACAAAAGAAGCGAAGAUGAAGAAAAGUGAAGGAAAACAUGUUUAUAAACAAUUAGCAAAGGCCGAAGGAGUUCAAGCAAAACAAGAGCUACAAGGAAAAACAAAUAAAAUCCUAAAGGCUACCUAGAAGACUAUAGCAGCUUGGACAUCCCACAACUACUCGGUCGCCACACCUUCAGUAGCCGCGAUACUCUUAGCAGCGGUAUCAUCCGGCGUUUCACCCCUGGUUGCCCCAGCUUGGGUACUAACUUCUCCAACUACUUCACCAAUGGAAGCCUCAAAAGUAAAAUCAAGCAAGUCUUCCGGAGAAAUAGAGAAGGUCUCGAAACCCGAGCCCAGCCUUUUCACCUUUCAACUGCUCAUCCUCAUCGAGCAGACCAACAUGGAUGCUCUACAGCUCAUCCACUUUCUUCUUCAGACUUUCGUUGAUCUUCAGUACACCUUGAAGUUCCAACACUUGGGGUUCAAGCCUAUCGAUGAUUCUCUUGAAGUAGAUCACUUGGUUAUAAGCAGCAAUCAACUCUUCAUCCUUUGCAGCAGAACGAAGCUAAAAAAUGACAUGCUUAAGAUCUUGAAUCUAAGGUAUGUGACAUCCGAUCUCCUUCUCUGCACUUUCAUGCUUAACUUGGAUCGCGUCAAACCUAGUCUUCAAGUCAACGAUCUCUUGGCGAGCGGUCUCAAGCUGCAAAAAAGUGGGGGCAGAAAUAUUAGACCCUUUUAAAGCAACAAGCUCAGAAUCUGCCAUAGUAUUUGCCAUCUCCUUAGCAGCCUUGCUAUAUCUGCAUCAUAGCAAGCAGAGCAGUUCCUCUAUAUUGGGUCGUAUGCUUUGCAAAUGAGCUUGGGCAAAUAACCUUUCUGACGCCAUCAACAAACUUGGCACAAACGUCCAUGUUUUCAAGAGAUCUGGUUUCAAAAGCACAUAGAUCUCAGCAGCUUCCCCAGAAGCAGGCUUAGUGGAUUUCUCACAUCUGCCUACGCGAGCAGUCUCCUCAUUCCCAGCAGACGAAUUAGUCUCAGCAGCAUAAGGAAUGGGCCUUGGCACCACUUUAGCAGCAGAGUCCACCUUAUAAUAGCAAGCCUCUCUAAAGGUGAAUCAGACUUAGCUCCCAACAGACGUCUUGGUACAAAAUUCGGCACUAGGGGCAUGAUAGGACCUUUAUGCCGAACAAUCCUAUCAGCAAUCAUACUAGCCAUUCUUGACAUGACAGGCGCCACAUGCUCAGAUCUAGCAGCCUCAUUUUUUGUCCCCUUGGAAAAAGUUAAGUCAAUCACAAACCUGAAGGCAGUCGGCGAACCUGCGCGAGCAGCGAAAUAAGUCUUUGGUUUUUUCUCAGCCGGCAUCUCUUGAGCAGGCAGGGAAGAUCCAUUUUCCCACCUUCACUUGCAACAGGAUCCACAACAGUGAUUGGACGAGCCAAUGCAUCCGCCUUGAUCCUAUUCACCUCAUCUUUUGGGAGCAACCCACGUUUCUCCUGAUGAAGAGAGUUAAAGUAGCCAACAUCAUUCGUGGUACCUAGCAGGGGAGUUUCAACCCAACAUUCCACAAGCUCAUGAGGCCCGCAACCUCUUCAUUUCUCUCAAUUACCGGCCUAGCUCGCGUCGUGUCUAAAAGCCUAAAAGGACAUGAGCCAUGUGACUCGCCUAGUACUGCGCCCCAUCGUCACAAUCCGCGGCCCCAGCCUCACAAGCUGCUCUUGAUUCUAGCCAAGUCGAGCAGCUUAAAGCAGUGGUCCCUGCCACAAUACCUCAUCGGCCCACGCCGAGCCGACUCCUGGCCCAUGCUAGCCGACGUGCCACACCACCCCGACGGUUGCCCCGUGGUAACACCAUCCAAGAAGAAGACAAGGAAAAUUAAUUUUUUCUUACCUCAUUGCGGCACGAAGAAGACAAAGAGAGCAAUGAAAGACGGUCCUUUGCACGGGCAAGAUGUAGAAGAUUGCUAGAGGAGGGGGAACAAAUAUCCUCUAAGCUAUCUCUCUCUUGUAGGGUAGAAUAAAUCGCUCUCCAAAGUUGAUUUAAUAACCCAUUAAGGUGGACUUAAAUAGGCUUUGAGAGAAAUUUAUUUCCCUUUUCUAGAAGGACCUAAUUUCCUAUUAAAGAGAGAAUCUACAUCAAAAUAGGAAGCAGUCCUACGUUUCCUAAAGCAAGAUGAUCUCUACACCUGCUGCCCUUUUCUGCGAGCAGCCCAACAGGUGUGGGGGCAUUUGUGGAGCCAAAAAUAUUCACAAGGCGACACGUGGAUUUUUGGAUAAAAGAAGACAAAAAUAUCCUUGAGGCAUACCGGGAUUCCUACGCACGAGCAGCGGGCAAUCAUCCGUUAACCAAGUCAAAAAUGCCUAAAGAAGGUAACAAAUAAAAGUUAUUUCAUCCAUAUACUCCACAAGGUAACCAUUCCAAACAUUCCAUUUAAAUUAGAUUAAUUGGUGAGUUAAUGGAUUUAUUUCCUAAUUAAUCCAUUAAAUCACCAAUUAAAUGACCCAUUAUGCCAAUUAAUCCCCCAUUACAUAACCCAUUACCCAAAAAAUCCCAAAUGGCCGGCCACCCUAGUUGAUCUCAUCAUAUUCACCUAUUUUAUCACAUUAGUUAGCUAGUUAAUUUAGCAAUAAUUUUAUUUGCUAAAUUAAUUAGUCAAUUAUUCCCAUAACUCCUAAAUUUAACCUAAAUCAAGAACCCUAUCCCUAUAAAUAGGCUCUCAUUCUCACCAAAAACCUAAUUCCAACACUUUGGCAAAAAUCCCAAAAUUCAACACUCUUUCUCUCUAAAUUCUAACUUUGGCAUCGGAGGUUCUUCGGCCAAAGCCCCCCCCAUUCAUCGUGGGCGCGUGAGGCUCUUGGCCUUAACCUAAGGUGUUAAUUGUUUUGUAGGUGCAAAAUUGUCCAAGAACAAGGAGGAAGAAAUUUGCAUCCACAAUGCCAACGUCCGUGACGUCGAGUAGGUCACUGUGGUAUAUUCAUAUACCCAAAUUGAGCACCGUAUGAGAAGUUAUUACGAAUUGUCGGUUAUGUGCUUUAAUUAAUGUUUUUAUAGUUGUUUCGCAUAUAGGUGAUACCUAUCCCGAGGACAAGCGCAUCCAGGGACGUCACGGGGGUUACGACCCUUCGACUUACCAGUGAGUGGGUAGUAUUUUUUGUAUUUACCUAUAUACUAUCGAUUUUCCCAGAAAUUGAAUUUAAAUGAAAGUAUGUUUUAAAAUGCCAUGCAUACAUAUACAUGAAAUAUAUGAAUUGAUAAUUGAUGCAUAUAUAUAUGUGAAUUGGUGCUGUGGACGCAUAGGUGAGUAUCAGGUGAGUUUUAUGUUAUUCAUGUGAAUCAUUGAUGAUGUGAAUUGUGUUGAGAGCUCAUAACCUGCACCCCUGGUGUUAGUGCUUAUAUUAUUCACCCGCACCGCACGCUCACCUUGGAUCCAAGUAGGUACAUGUCGUACAGACCAUGAGAAGGUUCCGACAUGCUAGUCGUACAGAUCACUAGAGGUGGUUCCGACUGGUAGGCGACCUUAGAUUAUGUGCACAUGUGAUUGAUAAGAGAAGCACUAGAGCGUAUUAUUACAUCAUUCUUGUCGUAUAGACUACUUCAGGUAGUUCCGACUUAUGUGCAGAGUAGUGCCGUACAGGUCACUGUGGUGACUCCGGUUGGUUUGGAUAUUGAGCUAUGGAAUUAACCGUACAGGACCAACUGUAGGGUCUCCGGUUGAUUCAUUAUGUCAUCUGUUAUAUUGAUGCAUUCUUAAUCUGUUAUUGACAUUUAUGGCAUGGCAUAUUUUCUGGGUUUUGAUAAAGAAUUGUGAUUUGAGAUAUACGAAGAUUAUAUGCAUAUUAUGUUAUUUUCUGGGAAAAUAUACAGGUUUUAUAGCAAGGGGUUAGAAAUAUUUUAAAUGAAAUGUUUUUGAAAAACUUUGGUUUUACUGACCCACUCAAUUUUGUUUUGCGCCCCUCCAGGUUCUAGUUAGCAGCGUUGGUGGCCCGCGAGGAUUCCCACGGCGUACUGACAGACUACAUAAAUGUAGGACUCACCUGCGGGUGUUGUAAUUUAGUUAUGGUCCUACUUGACUGCACCUAGUACUUAUGCUUUGAAUUUGUGUGUUUCACACUUAAACUUACUCUAGCACGUUACUUGGUUAUUAUUGCUAGUAUUUGGUUUUUGUUUAUUCGUAUUUCUCUUAUCUAUUGCUUCCGCCUCGCACUUUUGGUUACGUCACGCCCACGUGACGGCCAGCACGCCUUGAUUCUAGGAUCGGGGUGUGUCAUAUUUUCUAAAUAAUAAUAAUAAUAAUAAUAAUAAUUUAUUAUUAAUAAUAAUGGGUUGUAAUCAUUCUUCAAUUGAUUUGGAUUUUGUUAUGGGUGCAUCUAAGGUCGUCACAUUUAACAUUAAUGGGUUGUAAUAUUUUCCAAAAACAAUUUAACAGUUCAGUAACAUAAUAAUUUUUUUCUAUAUUUCUUGGGUGCAUCUAAAGUCGUCACUUUUAACAUUGUAACCCCUUAUUUAAAAAAAAAAUCUAUCUACCGCACCACAACAAGGGAAAAAAAAUUCGAGUGUGCCGAGCGCUGAAUUGCACCGAACUCAAGGUGUUAUUUUUAUGGCCUGCUACUAUCCACACACUCCUAAACUCUAAACCAUCAAUAUUAUUUAUUUUAUGUGUUUUUUUUUUGUUAAAAUUUUCUUUUUUUCCUUACUAUAACACCAAACUAUAAUCUUCAUGUUCUACAAAAUGUAUUUUCGAUGAAUUUUUUUUUAUAAUCCAUGUGAAAAUACUUGAAAACAAGGAUACAAAUCUAAUUCUACUGAUAUUUGAAUCUAAAUAAAGUAACAUAGGAAGGAAAAAAAAUGCAAUGGGAAAAGAAAAAAGCAGAAAAUAAAUAGCUAAAAUGAAAAUGAUACAAUCAGAACUUUGAUACCGAUUGUCUAUGAAAGGUGUCACUAGCAAGGUAGCAACCUCACUCUGUAAAAGUCACUAGUGGGGUAGCGAGGGGAUCUAAAUCAAUCCCUGGCUUCAUACUGACCCCCCUUUUCAAUUUUUUUCUUUUUUUUUUGUUAUUUUUUUUAUCUUUCUUACCAUAACAACAAACUAUCAUAUUCAUGUUCUUCAAAAUUUAUUUUUUCCAUGAAAAAUCUAUUAUAAUUCAUAUUUAAACACUUGAAAACCUAAAUGUAAAGAUAUUUGAAUUUACUAGUUGUUACUUAAACAAAGUAACGUAUGAAGACAAAACGCGAAGGAAAAAAACAAAAAAGAAGAAAAUAAAUAAAUAACUUAGAAUAGGAAAAGAUCAGUACCACGCUAUUGAUCCUAGCCCAGUUGUCCAGGGUGACACUCAAGUGAUGGUGGCCAUCAACUACCUGCUUGUCAUUUCCAUCUCACGUGAAUUCUCAAAAUCUCACAGUGAGGCGGAGGUGAAAGCAAAUAGACAUUAUAAUGACAUUUGUGUUGAUUAUUAACACAUGGCCCUUUUUCAGUGGCCCAUUAUAAAACGUAACAGAAGCUUAUAUCCAACUAUUGACCCAAAACAAAUGAAAACCUAAGCGCACAUCCAUGACAGUAUUGGAGGAAAAACUCACGCUCAACAUCACAUUUAACACGUGCUGUUGAGUAGCAACAAACCUAGACCGAGAUUAGCCACCAUUUAAGGCCUCGUUUUGGCAGCUUGGAUUAUACUGACUAUUUCAAUCGGAUAGGAUAAUCUGUCAUUGGAUAGUACUGACUAAAUUAAUCGGGCUUUUAAUACAAUAUCGGAUUAAUGACCGUAUUAUUUAUAGUGUGUUUGGUGCGAUAUCGGAUACGAAAUAUUAUGACAUCAAAUGGUUAACAAAAACCACCCUCUUGUUGUAAAAUCGACAGUGUGUGCAGUGGAAUAAAUAAAAUAAGACACAAAAUUUACGAGGUUCCUCUACAAUCAGUGUGACUAAAGUACGUUCUCGGGACAGCAAUGGUGAUUUCAUUAUAAUUUGGAAUAAUAGGAAUACAAAGAUAACUCUCCAUAUUAUCUCUCUAUUCUUCCUCUCUUCUCAGCCAUGUUGCUUCUAUUCUCAUUCGUAUCUCAGCUCCUUAUUCACCUCUCUUUCAUUUUAUAAGCAAAGAGAACACUAUUCACUUUACAAAUUUUCCACAAAUGAAUAGUGAAAAUAUUGUGCAUAAAUAUUAACAAACCAUUCAUGUGGGCCAUCCAUAUAUUAUUCACAACACUCCCCCUUGGAUGGCCACAAGUCUUCGAUUGACUCGUUAAAAUCUUGAUCUGUUUUGGAUGCUCCCCCUGAUAAAUAUCUCCCCUUGAUUUCAAAUCAUUUAAGCUGAUCGUUGAUCAUUCUGUUUCAGUCUCUUAGCAAGAAGAGUUGCUGAAAAAUGUGCUUUACUUGUUGUGAACUUUCCACAUGCUUGUUCUUGAACUGAGCUGGAGGGUCUUCUGAUUUCCUCCAAAAGUCUGAAUUUACUUCAUUUAUCUGGAGCUAAAUUUGAUUCAAGGGUGGUGGACACUUGAUCUUGAAUCAGACUUGUGAUUUCUUCAAGGACCUUAGAUGCUUGAUCUUGAAUGAAAUUAGACCAUGAGGAGCUUCACGUGGCAAGUGAUCUUCAGCUUUGUCGGGGAUAAAUCAGCACGUGUUUGUUGUGCUUGUCUCCACAUGCUUCAAUGUAUCAUUUUCGCUUGCCUUAUCUAUUCCCCUUGCAUAAGUGGUAUUUUCCCUGGUUUUCCCCCAUGCAUGUGUGGCAUCUUCUCUUGUAGUAUUUGUCCACUGAUGCAGGAGUGGAAUGCAACCUUUGCAUUUGAAUGAUUCAUCACUUUUUGGUGACUUAUCCAUGUGUGGCAGCGGAAGUUUGAUUGGAGGUUUCGAAAUAUUGCUUUCUUUAUCCUUGUCUUUGCAGGUAAGAACAAGGACAAAGGAAAAGACAGAGAGAAAGCAUGAUAUGAGAUGCUCUUACUUUUUGACCCUGAUGAUAUGAUAUACUUUUGCUAUGGUGUGAUUUGUUUGAAGAGGUAUUCUUGGAGAGGAAGAAAACUGAGUAUUUCGAGAUGCUAUGUUGAAGAUGCAUUUUCGGAGAUGAGGAAGAGUUAGACAUUCUUGCAAGUUUGCCUUGUUAUAGAGAACCGAGGUCGACAUAUAUAGAGAUUUCACAAUAGCAAGUAGUGGUGUUGUGCCUUUACUUUUGUCAGCAACUGUGGUGUAAUUAGAACAUUAAGAUUUACGCAUUUUCAACUUUAUCAGAGAUCUUCGACAAAGUUACACGCGAUACCCGAAAAAGCUGAGAUUGUGUCUUAAAAAUGCCAAAAAACUUUAUUUAGGAAAAUCUGUCUUUUGAAAUUCGAAGAACGGUGUCUUUUUAAUCUCUGAACAAGUGGCUCUGUUGUCUCUUAUUUUAUAGAGACAUCAAUUGUGUUCAAGAAUAUGCUAAAGAAAUUGUUGCCUGUAGAAAAUUUCUCCUUCUUGCACUUCUGAGAUUUUAUUUGACCUCAUUUUUCCUCAUCAUUUCUGAAAAUGGCUUGCCCAUCUAACAUCUGCUUAGAUUUGAGUCUUAGGAGUGAUACAAACGAGCAUCGUCAGGAUAAUAUAUGGCGCCCGUCCUUCUUAUCUUCUAAUGGUCCUCUUAUAGUUGGGGACUCUGUGAUGAAGAAUAACAUAACCGCUACUGUGGUAGCUAGGAAUCUUCUCACUCCAAAGGAUAACAUAAUCCUUUCAAAACGAUCUGAUGAGUCGGCCGUUCAAGACUCAUUGGCUAUCAGUGUUCAAUGUGCUGGCUCUGUAUCCAAUAUGGGUCAACACCUACUUACUCAAACUCGCCAAGUUGAAUCAUUGAUGGCUGAGGUGACAAGUCUUAAACAAGAGAUCAGAGGGCUUAAGCACGAAAAUAGAGUGUUACACGUGCUUGCAAAUAAUUACUCUACAAGCAUGAAAAGAAAGCUCGACCAGCUGCAGGAAUUCGAAAGUCGGAUUCAAAGUGAUCACCAGAUGUUCGUUGCUAGAUUCCGAAAGCAACUGAUGCCUUCCCCUUCUUGUGUUUUGCCAAGUAAUGGGGUGUCAUAUGAUCAAUCUUCAGUGCCUCAUCUUUCUGAGGUACUGCUGAGCAAUGACGCUUCACAUAAGCAAUAUUUGUGAAGGUUUCAUCCUGUUUGUUUGUUUUAACUCAUGUGUAUGCACAUAUCUGUAAUUUCUCAGAGAUAUUAAUAGAUAAGCUUUAUUUCAUUCAAUGUAUUGUGCUAAAUACAAUAAAUCAUAUACUUUACUAAUAUGUGGUACCUAUGGACCAAAUAUCAAUUUAUCUUUACCAUCACGAAGAUAAAUGAUCAUUCUUAGUGUCGACAUUAUUUGAGUAUUUAACUCAUAAUCUUCAAUCCAUAUGAUUCUUUAAUAUCAUAAAAAUUAUGGAUAAGAUUUGUGUUGGCAUAUUGUUCGAUCUGCAGUUCGAAACAAUAUUUCUCUCAACACUUUAUAUUCUUUCUUGACUUUUUUGGAGUUUCAAUUUAAUAUCAUCAACUCUUCAGAAGUUCUAAUUUAAUGUCAUUGAUGUGGAUGCAAAUUUCCUCCUCCUUGAUCUUAGACAAAAUUGCACCUACAAAACAAUUAACACCUUAGGUCAAGGUCAAGUGUCUUACUCGCCCACGAUGAAUGGGGGGGUUUUAGCCGAAGAACCUCCGAUGCCAAAGUUAGAAUUUAGAGAGAAAAAUAUUUGGAGAGUUUUUUGGAGUUUUGCAAGCGUGUGGACUUAGCUUUUUAGAAGAAAUAGGGUCAUAUAUAUAGGGAAUGGGGUGUGGCCGGCCUUUAAGUGUGUUUUGGGGUGUUAUUUGGUGAUUCAAUUAGCAAUUAAUAUAUUAAUUAAGUAUAAAUAUAUUGAUUGGCUAAUUAUCAUAAUAAAAGAAAUGUUUUGGGAGGUUAUGGAAUAAGGAUGGAUGAGACAAAUUUGAACUUGUUAUCUAUUUUAGGCACUCCUGAUUUGGUUGAUGGAUGAUUCUCUACUGCUUGCGUGUAGGAGACCCGGUAUGCCUCGAGGGUAAAUUUGUCAUCUUCACCCAAAAAUUCACGUGUCGCCUUGUGAUUAUUUUUGGCUCCACAAAUGCCCCCACACCUGCUAGGCUACUUGUAGGAAAAGGCAACAGGUGUAGAGAUCUUCUUACUUUAUGACUGCUUCAUAUUUUGAUGGAGAUUCCCUCUUUAAUAUGAAAUUAGAUCCUUCUAGGAAAGGAAAAUAAAUUUUUCUCAAAGCCUAUUUAAGCCCACCUUAAGUGGGUUGUUAAAUCAACUUUGGAGAAAGAUUUAUUUUACCCUACAAGAGAGAGAAAGCUUAGAGGAUUUUUGUUCCUCAUCUCCUAGCAAUCUUCUACACUUGCCCCUGCAAAUGAUCGUCUUUCGUUGUUUUCUUCGUCUUCUCCGCGUCGCACCGAUGUAGGAAAAACUUAAUUCUCCUAGUCUUCUUCUUGGGAGGUGCUGUCACGGGGCAGCCGUCGGGGUGGUACGGCAUGUCGGUUGGCAGAGGCCAGGAGUCAGCUUGUCAUGAGCCAAGAAUGUGGUGUGGCAGGGGCCAUUACUUAUGCUGCUCAGCUUGAUUGAAGCCAGGGAUUAGCUAAGUAUGGGCCGAGGAAGUGGCGUGGCAUGGGCAAUGGCUGCCAUGUUUGGGUUGCUUGCAAAAAAUGAGGAAACUGCUUGAGUUUGAUUUCUUAGCUGCUGUAGAUAGAGCAAUCAAGGAUAAAGCUGCCAAGAUUUGAGCUGCUGAAGAUAAAGUGUCGAAUGAGUGAACUGUUAAGUGCAAAAGUGGCUGUUGCCAUUGACCAUUUGUUGCCUAGUUGAUCUUCAAACAUUCGAUCUUUUAAGCUAUGUGAGCUUCUCGCACUGGAGAGCUUACCCAGAUGGGUGUCGGGGGAUUAGUUUACCCUCUCGCAUUGGAGAACAAUUAGUUUACUCUCUCGCACUGGAGAGCAAUUAGUUUAUCCUCUCGCACUGGAGAGCAAACCCAUAUGGAUGUCAGGGAAUUGGUACACCUCUCGCACUUGAGAGCAAUUAGUUUAUCCUAUCGCACUGGAGAGCAUGAAAGUCGUUGUCGUGAGUGCAGCUAAGGAAAGCUGGACUGCUGGACAACUGAAAUAAUCCUUAGUCUGCCCCCGGUUCUUGGUAGUUGGGCUGAUGUGUCCUUUUGGUACUCGUCUGCCCCCGACGCCCCAUUAGGCUGAGUUGCUGCGUUUGUUGAAGCAGAAGUUGUCUUUCUAUUCGAUAAUCUAUGUGGGGUAGUCAUGUCUGCUCAAUCUUGUCAUUGAAAGAUAACUUGUUAUGUUGGUCAUGUCUCAUCGGAGCGCCUUAUCAAUGGCUUUAUUGCACGGGAAAUUACGCAAUCGCUUGGUCAUGAGCCUUUCUACUUUUCCUGAAUUUACCUUUGUUGGGGGUGGCAGAGCUCUCGGCUGCCUAGAUUUUGACCUACUGGUCUAGGCUGCUCUUUCAUGUGUUCGACUCAUCUACAUCGUGGCAGGGUGCAUGUGGUCUACUUCUGGCAAACGAGGGAAUUCUUUACAGGCUGCCGGUUGAACUUGAGCCGGAUUGAGUGAUUGUUUCUCUCUGUUCAUCGUGUUACCUGCUCCGAUGUGAUGUGGAGGAUACUCCUUGUGGGCCUAGCCGCAAAUGAAUGUUUUGCCUGGAAGGCUGCACAUGUUGAUUAUCAGAGUGUGGCCCCAACCAUGAAUGUAUACUUGUCCUCGGGCUUAGUCGAGAGUGCACACUCCUCCGCGCGCUAAGACGGGAGUAUACGCUAUCUCGGGGGCCUAAUCGGGAAUGUACACUGCCUGAAUGCUCGGCAUGUGGCUGCUGGAAAGGUUCGUCUGCCCUUAUCCUACUUCUGGACACCUUGUCAGGGGCAUGUUGGAUCUCGAUACGUUGCAAAAGUUGAUUCAUCAAGCUCAUCUGUUAUGCAAGGGUGCUCGUCAACUCUAUGACUUGUCGAGACAAGUGUUGUUCGCCAUUUAGAUUGGAAGAGCUUGGAAAGAAUGUGCCUCAUUGAGCAGUGGAAGUGUGGUAAGCUCCGGCGCGAGAUUUGAGUUGGGAAAUGUCAAAUCCUUGAAGAAAUAUGGUGAAAAUACCCCUGGCUUGAUGGUAGGUCCAGAUGGUUGAGAUAGUCUUAGGCCGACUUGAGCUGUUUGGGAGGCCACGGGGGCAGGCUGGGUUGCGGGAGAAGGCUGGGUCGCGGGAGUAGGCUGGGCCACGGGAGUGGGCUGUUCGGCGGGAGCAAGCUCGGCCGCAGAAGCAUGCUGGAUCACAGGAGGAGGUUGGGUCGCGGGAGCAGGCUGGGCUACGGAAGCAGGUUGGGUCGCAGGAGCAGGCUGCUCAAUGCGUGGUGCAUACGAAUGCGAGGCUUGGGCUCGGGCUAAUGCAAGCUUGGAUGGCAUGGCUUGGGCCAUGGUGAAACCUUGUAGUGGUGGUGCCACUCUGCUUACGACCGCAUUUUGCCUCAUGGAUCUUCGCAAUCCAAUUUCUUGAGUAUUGGAAUUUUCACUUAUGGAAUUUUCUAAAUUUCUAAACAUUAUAUUUUUCUUAUACGUUUUAUCAAAGAACCUUUGCAGAUAAAAAAUUCUAAUAAUAAGAACGUAUGAAAAAUAUUCAAAUGGACUAUAAAAUAGAGAAAAACCUUUUUAUGCGAGAGUCUUCUACGAGUAUGGAUUUCAACUCUCAAUGAAAUCACCAAUUUGUGAAUGCAAAUUUCUCUCCUUGAUCUUGGACAAAAUUACACCUACAAAAUAAUUAACACCUUAGGUCAAGGUCAAGAACCUUACUCGCCCAUGAUGAAUGGGGGGCUUUGGUCGAAGAACCUCCGAUGCCAAAGUUAGAAUUUAGAGAGAAAAGUAUUUAGAGAAUUUUUUAAAGUUUUGCAAGAGUGUGGACUUAGCUUUUUAGAAGAAAUAGGGUCAUAUAUAUAGGGAAUGGGGUGUGGCCGGCCUUUAAGUGUGUUUUGGGGUGUUAUUUGGUGAUUCAAUUAGCAAUUAAUAUAUUAAUUAGGUAUAAAUAUAUUAAUUGGCUAAUUAUCACAAUAAAAGAAAUGUUUUGGGAGGUUUUUGGAGGUUAUGGAAUGAGGAUGGAGGAGACAAAUUAUACAAUGAGGAUGGAUGAGACAAAUUUGAACUUGUUAUCUAUUUUUGGCACUCCUGAUUUGGUUGAUGGAUGAUUCUCCACUGCUCGCAUGUAGAAGGCUUGGUAUGCCUCAAGGAUAAAUUUGUCAUCUUCACCCAAAAAUCCACAUGUCGCCUUGUGAUUAUUUUUGGCUGCAUAAUUGACUCUUGCAAGAUAUUUUAGUAUGUUGCAACAAUAUCAUAAUGAUAGCACUCACUAAGACAAUUUAUACCAUCCAUUGGUAUUGAGUACAUAUUUUAUGUUUUAUCCUUCCGGGGCCUACUUCAAGCAAUUUGAAUCCUUCAGGGAUUUUCUACACUUCAUGACAUAUUUUCCUUUGGAAUUUAUACAGAGCAACUUGCUCCUAUGUAUAAUUGAAGGAUUUACUUAUGGAGAUGUGAUGUGGGCGACUCAACCCUUCAUAAAUAAUUCUCCAUUCAUAUGAACUUAUUUACAACCUUGUGUCAUAUCAUGUGAGUGUAUUUCACUGUAUUACAAAAGCCCAAUGUAACCUCUUUGGUUCAACAUCUUUUGGUUAUUUGUAUUAUAUUCAAAUAUAUAGGUUUAUUUUUCCACGUUCUUACAAAAUUGUAAUGGAAUUGCCUUUUUCCUUCUUUUUUUUCGUUGAAAAGAACAAGACUCAAUAUCAAUACAGCUUAUUGAUGAAUUUAGUAGCUACUUAUAAAAACCAAAAUUACCAUUGGUUAUCAUUAAUCUAUGAUCCCAUAUUCUCAUGUGCAUGCGCAUGCAUAAAAACUUUUCAUUUCUUUUGGAUAUCCAUUGCCUCUUCAAAGGCAUUACAUUAUCUCUUCCAGGAUAGUCAUAAUUUAGAGAAUGUGGAUCAUAACCUCCUCUAGAGCGUUAUAGAGCUUGGAUUUUAAUCUCCACUUCUGGGAGUUGAGUCAUUUGGAAUCUAUACAUCUAUCAUGCUUCAUGCAUGAGACAUCAACAUUCAUAUGUUCGCGGAUUGUCGUAUAUCCAUGCGGCGACUAUCAAGCUUCUGGCAUGCAACAGUUAUACUUCGGGAAUGCAAUAGUUUAGGAAUGUCAUAUUCUUCCUCUUUUGGAAGACUGAAUCUUUUUGAGUCUAAGGGUCUGCCACGUUUUAGGCGUGCAACAAAUAAAUCAUUUGCUGCCUCAUUAUUUUUUACCAAGAAGGACAUCAAUUAUUGUAGGCACAUUUGCAGCAAAUAUAUGUGAUUUCAUCACUUUCUUGCAUCAUUAAAUGCAUCUGAUAUUUUAUUGAUAUAUCGUUGCAUUAUUCAAUUAUUUUGUCUUCAUUUUCAUGUUGAUUGCUUCGUGAAUUAAAAUAAGACAAAUUCUCUUCGUUCUUCUGGAACGGUCUUUUCUCAUUAUUCUUUUGGAAUGAUAUUGUCUCAUCGUUCUUCUGGAACGAUGUUAUUUUCUCCUCCUAACGGCGAGAAAAUUGUCUUAUCAAAAUGACAGUACGCAAACCACGUGGUAAACAUAUCCCCAGUCAAGGGUUCCAAAUAUUGAAUGAUAGAUGGUGUUCAACAUCAAUGCCUAAUUCGUGAUGAUGCCUCAUUUCAGUACGUUGUGGCAGUGCAAUAGGCACAUAGAUAACACAUCCAAAAACUCGUAAAUGUAUAAUGUUUAGCUAGUUGCCAAACACGAGUUGUACUGAGAACUAUUGAUGGUUGGUAACAUGUCUAAACCGAAUUAAUAAUGCAUCAUGCAAAAUAGCAUGUACCCAUGCAAAAAUUGGCAAUUUUGUUUUCAUGAGCAGAGUUUGGGUAAUCAAUUUCAUCCGCUUAAUAAAGGCUUCUGCUAAACCAUUUUGAGUAUGGACAUAAGAAACUUCUGGUCCUUAUUUAAUAGUCUGUAGACUGAGACUUUUAUGGCCUUUAUUACAAUUAAGUCGAGGCACUACGGCACUUCAAACUUACGGUGCUCAUCAAGUAACUUCAUGUCUUGGUCUUCAGGAUCAAGAGACUUCAUGUCUGAUCUUUCUGUAUGAUGGAACUUCGGGUCCAAUCAUUUUUAUAUGAUGAGGAUCAAGAAAUUGCAGGUUCAGAUCUGUUCAAGCAACUUCGAGUCCUUGUUAUACUCAUCGUAACAAAAGAUAAGUACAAUAAGUAAAUUAAAGCAAUAGGCGGUAAUUUCAGCCAUAAUGAAUAAAUUGCAUUUAAGUAAAUAAAGUUUGUGAUAAUGACUUUAAUUCAGCACCAUUCACAUAAAUCAAAACUUAAAGCAGUAUGCGGUAAAACCGUCCAUAAUAAAUAAAUUGCUUUAAAGUAAAUAGAACUUGUGAAAAUGUUUUAAGCCAACAUAAUUCACAUAAAUAAAUAUAUAUUUUUUUCUUCUUUCUUUUCAGAUGGUGCAACGCCAUUCAAAAGCCUUUACUUUUUUUUUUUAUUCUUAUUCAUUCACAUGCUGCAUCAUUCCAAAAACUUGGCCCCAUUAUUACUUUUCAUUCAAAUGGUGCAGAUGUAUCAUUAUGCCUUUUCCAUUUUUUAUUUAUUUCUCGCUUUUUCAAAUGGUGCUAUGCAUUAUUGCCUUUUUCAGAUGAUGCCAUGCAUAUUCCAUAAACUUCUUCCCUUUUCUUUCUUUGUCUGUCUCUACCAGUCUCGAAACCCAGGAUCAGUUGAGUUGUUGUGGAGGUCACACAAAACCAAUUCAGUAUAAAAAGGCUACCAGAGACUGGCGUUGUUCUUGCAUGGCCUAGAGAACAUGACAUCGUAAAGCAAGAACCUCCUUACAGAGACAUAGAUGAUAAUGGGGUUGACGGAGGCACAAGAGAGGGAGGCUUAAAUGAAGUUAGUCUUGCCAUCACCAUCUCAGACAACUGAGUAUUCAUGGGAGUUCUCGAGAUCCGUAAAAAACGACGCGAUCUGGGUUUCCAAGUCUGAUGAGAUUCUUAUGGAUCUCUGGAAACCAGUUGUUAAGUAUGAGUUUUCUCAUAUCGUGACGACUUCAGGUCGUUGUAAAUUUCAAUUCUCACCAGAAUUCAAUGGGGCGCUUCAGGCGCGGUGGGAGAGACAGAAAAUGGACAUACCUUUUAUUCUGUGAGAUUUUGGCUAGCAGAGGUGAGAGGUAGGUAAUGCUUCAACAUAUUUAUAGCGUUGUGCUUUCUACUGACAUGAAAGAUUCUCGUGUUGAUAACGUGUUGUAAAAUCGACGAUGUGUGCAGUGGAAUAAAUGAAACAAGACACAAAAUUUACGAGGUUCCUCUACAGUCAGUGUGACUAGAGUACGUCUUUGGGGCAUCAGUGAUGUCUUCAUUAUAAUUUGGAAUAAUAGGAGUAUAAAGAUAACUCUCCAUAUUAUCUCUCUAUUCUUCUCCUCUUCUUAGCCAUGUUGCUUCUAUUCUCAUUCGUAUCUCUACUCCUUAUUCACCUCUUAUUCAUUUUAUAAGCAAAGAGAACAAUAUUCAUUAUACAAAUUUUCCACAAAUAAAUAAUGAAAAUACUGUGCAUAAAUAGUAACAAACCACGGCAAUGGUAUUAUUCACAACACCUCUUUGUAUUUCACGAUAAGAGUUGCAGAGAAUGCCUUUGCUCCACAACAAAAAGAUAUUUUUAUUUGGGAUUUUAAGCAGUCAAAUUACUAGGCUAAUGUAAAAUCCCAAAUUACAAAUCGCAGAACAAAACAUUCUGCACCAAUUUGCUCCUGCGCGUCGACCUCCUUUAACAAAUUGAACUCCAACCCUUUAUUCUUCUUCUUCUUCAGCUCCUCGAUUCAUUUUCCCAGAAGAUUCUUAUCCUCGUUCUCUCUCCAACAACUUCUCUAGAAGCCCCUCCGUGUUGGUUUUAUACCUAAUCGCCCAAAUAAUACCCAACGAGAAGCAGAGCGACAUGAUCCAAGACCGGCGGCACGCGAACACGUGCGGGUCCCGCGACGAGGAACUGAAGAGGAGGGCGACAACUGCGACGAGAAACUGAAGAGGACGGCGAGGGCCGUGGAGUGCAAGAGGAAGAAGAAGAUGAAGAGCAUCGCGGAUUCCUUUCGAAUCGAGUCGAUUUGGAUUCUUCGACAGAGAUCCAGUUGAGAAUUAGCUGUUCUUCUUUCAGCCAUUGCUUCAGAAGAAGCUUGUGGCUUGGCGACUGAGCGAUUUGGUGAGUGGGUGUGGGAGACAGGGAGAAGAAGAAGGAGAAGGAGGAGGAAGAACAUAGGGAUUGACGAUGGCAACGGGAGUGAGUUGGCACAACAAUGCGAGAGAGCGAGACCGAGAGAGCGACACGGACACAGACCCGUAUUAUACAUAAAUUUCUGGAAGGAUAAAUAAGCGGGCUGCGGGCAUACACCGUAUAAAAGAUGUGGGCCAGUUUAGUUAAUACGGAUACUAUUUAGUACAUAUUUGUACCAAACACCCUAUUCGUGGUUUUGUAAAUAAAUUAAAAUGUACUGACAUCUUUUAUCCUACGUAACAUCAAAUUCAAAUUUUGAAUUUUAUUUUAAGUUUUAAUAAACGUGUGUGUUGUCAUUUAGUAUUACAAUCUAGUAAUAUUUUUUUUUAAUUUGUAAGUGAGAAAUUUUAUAUUUGAUUAUAGUUAAAAGCGAAUUCGAACCAUAUUAUUACUAAUUUAUUACGAGACUAAGCCUGAAUUGUAUGUGUGCCUAACUCUAAAUAACCCAAAACUAGUUCACAUACAAAAUGAAUAAUUACCUACCUAUCUAUUUUCAUUUUAAUCUUUUAAAUGCAUGUAAUUUCAGUGUUUAAAAAAAAAAAAUUACAAAAGAGCUACAAUAACUCUCGGCAAGUGUUAUGAAACAGAAAUUCCCUUAAAAAAAAUUAUUGUACAGGAAAAAAUAAAUAAAUGAAAAAUAAAAAUAAGGAACGAGGAAGAACCCGAAAGAAGAAAAACAAUAUUUCAGUCUAAAAUCGAGGAAGACGCCUUAACAAGUGAACAACACAGAAGAGAAGAGAAGCUCGCUUCCUCCAUCAUCCCCCCGCCACCGUCAGCCACUCUCUUGGUUUUUCCAUUCCAAUUUCUCCACCUCCGUUUCUUCUUCUUAUUUCUUCAGCUCCGCUCUAUUGCCGCCACCUGAUUGCUUCAACUACCUCUCCCUCUGCUUCCACCUCACGGUGAUGAGUAAGUCUCGAAACUGAUUUUUCUGAAUUUUUUGCUCUGUCUGUUUCGUUGAUAGGAUUCAGGUUAUGGAAUUUCAAAUUUAGGGUUGGGAUUAAUGAUGUUCUCAUUAAUCAAUUUCCCUGCUCCUCAAUUGAUCUUAGGGUUUGUGUUUUUGUUAAAAUUUUGGGAUUCAUGUUUUGGGUCAAUUGGUGUAGGAUUUGCUACAAUUUUUUACAUUUUGGCCGCAACGUGGAAAGGAUUGGUUUUGACAAUGAAAAAAUGGUAAUUGAUAUGAAAGUAGGUGCAGUCCUCUGAAUAAAUGUCUAUUAUAUCUAUAAUCGUGUUACGCGGCACACAAUUUUUUUCCUUUUCGUGUUAUUUUCGUAUGACAUGCAUAUCGGGCUUUCAUGCUUGGGUUCAGAACUGACUUAGUAAGACAAAUUGAUAGUAGAUCUACCUGUUAUAUUUAUUUGAAUUUGGUAUGCCCACUACUGACAAAAGGCAUUUUGGUACUCCUGAUAUCUGUUUUUGGUUUCUCUGUUAUACACUCAUGAUUCGAUGUUAGAAAUUGGCUUAGCUUGAAAAGAAAAGUCCAUACUUUAACUACCUGGUGUAUUUCUUUGUAGCUGCCUGAAUGAAUAGAGGUACAUGGUAAUCCAGAUAUAAUUAUCGGCUGAUUAAUGGGUAAUGAGCAAGUCUUUGUUGUAUGUUGAUGCUUUGGUUUUCAACCAAAUAUCAGGAAAGGGGUGAAACCCCAUUGAAUAUGAUAUAAAUUGUGUAUACUUUGGAGCUUCCCUUUUUCAGCUUCAAUGAUUAGAGAUCUUAUUUUGGAUGUUUUUAACUGAAUGUAACGAAAAGUCUGAAUGUUCAUCAUGAGAUUGAUAAAUAGAUUGAAAUUUCUUGCUUUAUUUCAUGUGAUGACCUUAUCUGACAUUUGAGCACUGUACAUCUGUGGACUAAGGCAUUAAUGGCCGCUGUUGCCAACAGUGUCCUCUAGGUGAUUUUCUUGUAGUGAUUGUAGGAUGGUUUGAAGAACUUAAGACCAUCGAUAUAGAGUAAUGGGUAGCAGAGAGAUGGACAAACCUGCUAAAGAGAAAGAGAAGGAGACGAAGACAACACCUGCUACUACGCAGGUCCAUUUGUGUGUCCUUUUAUUGUCUCUGUUAUGAUAAGUUGAGGCCCUAUCAUAUUGGUAGUUAGAAAAGAGCAUUAAUGUUUUGUGGGACUUUUCAGGAGCAGCCUGCGACUACUAGUACUGGCACUGUUAAUCCUGACUGGUCGGGAUUUCAGGUUACAAAGUGAAAAGCCUCAGUUUUGGCAUUUUUGUUUAGUUUAAGAUAUGUUUGGAAUUUAUUGUGGGUGGUUGUUUGUUCAACAGGCAUAUUCUCCAAUACCUCCACAUGGAUUUAUGGCCUCAAGUCCUCAAGCUCACCCGUAUAUGUGGGGGGUUCAGGUAUAUUGGUGCCUAUAAGACUUCUUUAUUUUUUUUUGUUUAAUCUUGAUUCUUGAUUCAUGACCAACGAAAUAAAUCCUGAUUAUUCAACAUUUGGAAGGCACUUUGUAAAACAUUUGACUUUUAUGCUAUUUUUGACUCGGUGGCUUUUGGACUCGGUGCUUUUGGACAUCUAAGAGUUGUGAGCUGUAGGCAGUACAGUGGGAACUUAACUAAACAUGUAUUCUUUCUUUACAAAUCAUUUGGAAAGUGUUAAUAAACUGAGAGACAGCUUUGGUUCAUCUGAAAGAUCUUGCCUUUAAGCUUUUUUGCAAGUUUCUGGGAUACUGAGCAUGUUAGCAAGAAUGGGAUACAGACAUAGGAGUAUUUUUCUUUGUAAUGAUUGUCUUUUUAACCAUGGAUUCUUGUAGAAUUAAACUUAGAAAGGAUUUUUCUUUAGUUUGAUGAAGUAAAUUACUUUUCUCUCUUUCUAAAACAAAAACAACAAAUACAAAAAAAUGAAGUGACUUGUUUUUUUUUGUCUCCUAUUUCCUAACAGUCUACUAUUUAUAUUUAUUUUUCUUUCUCUGAGGUUACAAAAGGCAGUGGGUAUGUUAUUGAAAAUACUGAUGAAAAUGCGACUAGAUUUAUUCUUUUGAUGCUUCAAACUUGCAAAGGGGCUGGUACCUGGUUUAUUUAUAUUAACAAUGUCUAAUUUUCAGCAUAUUAUGCCCCCAUAUGGUACCCCUCCACACCCAUAUGUUGCAAUGUAUCCCCAUGGCGGGUUAUAUGCUCACCCGUCUAUGCCUCCUGUAAGUUUUUGUCUAUUUUGCUUCAGCUGAAGUACCACAUUUCUCUCUAGCCUCAUUUUCUGGAUGGCACUAACUCUUUAUGCCUUGCUUUAAACAGGGAUCUUAUCCUUUUAGCCCGUUUGCUAUGCCUACUCCAAAUGGCAUUGUAGAGGCUUCUGUAAGUUUCUAUCGCUAUACCAUUUGUUGUUUAAGAUAAGGUAUUUUCCAUUUGAGUAGAGCAGAUAUAAUUUAUAAAAUUGCAUUUAGGGUAACACACCUGGAAGCAUGGAAGCAGAUGGUAAGCCAUCUGAGGUAAAGGAAAAAUUACCAAUAAAACGAUCAAAGGGAAGCUUGGGCAGUUUGAAUAUGAUUACAGGGAAGAAUAACGAGCUUGGCAAAACAUCAGGAGCCUCUGCUAAUGGAGUUUAUUCCAAAAGGUAACUGAUCAUGUUUAGUGCCUAUUGGCCUUUUGUAUCAGGGAUUCGAGCUGCCCCCUUACUGAAAUAUUUGGAUUUAAAACACUCUGGAUGGAAUAGGGAGAUCAAAGCCAUCUAUUUGAUAAGCUUUGUGUAUCUUUGUCUGUUCCAAUUUUAGUCUUCAUUGAUCUUUCAGCUAAUAAAAGUCAUAUGAAAGUGAUUGUGAAGCUCAUUAACUUGUUGAUCAUAAUUUUGUGCUAGGAAAUCAUGUUUGCAUAGAUGCUCACGUAGCUCAUAAUGUGUAGUACUGAUUGGAUCCUAAUUAUGAAAUCAAAUCUAGGUUAGAGCAGUGCAGGACUCAUAUGGUGUUUUCUCUUGGAUCUCUCAUUGUUGGAUCAUGUUUUCACAUGUUAAUUUUGGUAAUGCUUGAAAUAUGCUUUGGAAAUGCAGUGCUGAGAGUGCUAGUGAUGGUACAAGUGAAGGAAGUGAUGCAAAUUCUCAGAGUGUAAGUUCCAUGCUGUUUAAGUUGAUUAUUUGGUUUAAUUUAUUUGGGCCAGAUAAACUGACCCCCGGGUUGUUUAUAUCGAGCCUAUUGUAAGUAGAAGGCUUGGUGUCAAUGUUGCAUUGCUUGUAAUGGAAGUUUGGUCUAUUCGAGGAAUCUUUAUAAUUCUUCUUGAAUGGUUUAUAUCCCUAUUGAAUGGCUCUUGGUUUUUUUUCUUCCUUGUCAUUUUUUUUGUAAAAUUUAAUUUUUGUGAGCUGCUUCUGUUUUCCAUCUUAUUUUCAUUGCUUGUGUAGGACUCCCAAUUGAAGUCAGGGGGCAGGCAAGAUUCUUUGGAAGGUUUGAUUAUAUAAUUUUCUGAGGCUGUUAAUCUUUACUUAGAGAUUUUACUAAGGAUUGUAUGGCCUUAUUGCAGGUGAUGUAUCUCAGAAUGGCAGUUCAGCACAUGGUUCCCAGAAUGGAGCACCGCAUACCAUGUUGAAUCAAACAAUGGCCAUCAUGCCAUUAACGGCUGCUGGUGCUCCUGGUGCUGUUUCUGGUCCUGCAACAAACUUAAAUAUUGGGAUGGACUAUUGGGGUGCUCCACCUUCUGCUGCCAUGCCUGCAAUGCGUGGGAAGAUUCCAACUACUCCAGUAUCAGCAGGAAUAGUUACUGCUGGGUCUCGGGAUAGUGUUCAGUCACAGAUUCGGUUACAAGUAAUCUUUGUUCCCAUGUUUCAAAUUCAAUUUUCUUUUCUUCUUAUCAUGUUUUUUCUCCUGCUCUUAGUUAGUCUAUUUUGCAUUAAGAUAUAGUUUAUAGAUCUUAUUAAAAUGAGGAAGAAGAUUAACUUUGAGAAUGCAAGGUGAUGGUUACAUUUUUAAGUUGCACAACUUGCAUUCCAUGUGAAAAUUGGUAUUUGUGCAUGCUUUCUUAGCGUUUAGGUUAAUAGAAUUUUGAAACAGUUAUAUUCUGUGGUUGUAAUACAGUAGAUGGAGGUUGUUACAUGAAAACAUGGUGUAGGUAAGUCAAUUGAGUUUAUAAUUCAUGGGUAAAACGAUUUUUUGUCGCUUUUGAAGAAAGCAAUAACCAUCUAGGAUAUCUGCAUGAAUUGUGUCUCCUCACUUAUUCUGAUUUCCAUGCUUAUUUGAAAUUACAUACUGGCUUUCUUCUCAUCAGCAUUGCUGUGACCUCUAUUAUUACAAGUUAAUAUGAACCAUGUUAAGGUUAGCAGUCCACUAGUUGUGAUUGCGAGUCCACAUGUUUAUUUUGUCAACUACUUGCUUUAAUCUGAUUGCUAUUACCUGUAUUAUGAUUCAGUAUUAUACUAUUCUUGUUUUGUGGCUAUACCUACAGAUAAAACACACGUACUCUAUAUGUAGUUGAUAUUCUUAGGGAAAUCCUUACUUCAUACAUCUUUGAGAUAAAUAGAGAUGGAUGCUUGACGACUGUCUGAACAAAGGCAUGCCCAUAUGUGGUUUUGUCAAGAGGCACUGUACUUGUUAAUUGCAUGUUGCAAGGUUGAUGUCCUUCAUAAGUUUCUCCACAGAUACAUGAUGUAGAAUCACCCUUGUUUUGGGUUGUUGCCAAAAGUUGGAGGGGUGAAUGCUAGGGUCUAAUUUUAAGGUUUAUGGUAUCGAACAGUAUGGUAAGUACUAAAUUAAAGGAUUGAAAGCUCAUUAAUGGGCUGCAAAUACUUGUUUUGGGCUGGGAAGUAGUAAUUGAAGAACACUGUUUUGGUUAUUUUCUACAUUAGAUUAUGAUGGUCGGUUGUGUCAGAGUUUGUUGAAUAUGACUUUUAAGUUGGAUUGGGAAUUGGUGAGUACAGGGAGGGAUGGGUGUGGGAAAUUUUUUGUUCAAGAAUAAAUUGCUGCUUCAUUAAAUGGCUUUUUCUGAUUUCCUCUGGGAAGGGAGUCAUUGUGGCACAAGGUAACAAAUAGGAAAUAUAGGUCCAGAGAACAGUUGGGAUGCUACAAGGACCAAAGGGAUCUGAUUGAAUCCUUGUAAAAAAACAUGUCUGAAACAAGAAUUUGCCAAAUAGAGUAACUAUUUAAAACCCAAAGAAAUAAUAUUGGUUCGUAACUGGACUACUUUUAAAAUCCAACCGCAUCCUAGUAUGAAGUAUUACAACAAAAAAAAAAUGCAAAAAACUUCUGAUACAUAAACUACAAAAAUGCCUAAGCGUACAAGUCUAACAAAACUGGUCUGUCCUAAUAUUAUCAAUCCCAUUAUAGUACAUUACUGAGAAAUCCUUAGGUAGCCUUACAUUGCCCUUGAAAGUUUGAUGUGUGGAACCAACAUCAUUCGCACCAUAUCAACCUUUUCGUUCUUCUUCUUCCUCACAUUUAUUUUGCAGUUUGGUCUUUUUUGUUGACCUACAGAAUUCCUAUCCCAUAGAGCAUCUAGACUCCAAUUCGUUGCGCAGGAGGAUUACAUACUUGAGUUGAAAGUGUCAUGUACGAUAUAUCAUUGAUAUUAUGAUUGAUUACUAGCAUGGUAGACGUUUCCAAUGGUUUCCUGUGAACUUGUACGUGUUUUUGAGUGAAUGAUUUCCUUCUGGUGUCUAAAUUUUGUGGUAUAUGUGUUUAAUAUCAAUGUCCUUAGUGGAGUGUCACAAAGUAUUGCUUUAAGCGCCCUCACCUCUAGUUUUUCCUGCUCAGGAUGAGAGAGAGAUGAAAAGACAGCGAAGAAAGCAGUCAAAUAGGGAAUCCGCUCGUCGAUCUAGGUUGCGCAAGCAGGUGAUUUUUUGCAUCUGUUAAUUUUCUCUUGCAACUUGGCACUGUAUGUACCAUAUGAACUCAUCUGAUGUAUAUGCAUGAUUUUAAAUUAGGCGGAAUGCGAUGAGCUGGCCCAGCGUGCUGAAGUCUUAAAAGAAGAAAAUAACACUCUAAGAUCAGAAGUUAACCAGAUCAGGAGCGAGUAUGAGCAGCUUCUUUCAGAGAAUGCUUCUCUAAAGGUAAUGUUUACACUUGGUUUGUUUAGUACCUAUUUUUAUAAAGAAAAAAGAGAUUCAAUGACCAGCUAAUUGAUCCCAUCCUGCCUUGAAGGAUCUGUUAAAAUUUCAUUAUAAAUUUUCUUGGAAUGAUUUGUUUUGCAUCAAAACAAUCCCAAAUUACUUACUAGAAACUGUUCUAGCAAACCUUGAUUUAGGAUUGCUUUGAUCCAAAACAUAGUAAGCUAACAUUGGUGAUCUUGAUAGAUCCUUCACGUUUUGCAUUUACCCUAUUUGAAUGGCUGUGUAGCAAGUGACAAUUCAAUCCGAUACAGAUUUUCCAGUUCUCACAGAAACUCUUGGGUAAUUAAAAAUUUCAUUUAAAAUGUCUUGCCACAUUCUAACUCCUUGUAAUGCAACGUACAUAGUAUAUUAGAUAAGCCUAACUGCAUGGUUCAUUGGUUUGGGAUAAGUGGUGUACUCUCACUCUGAUCCAGACCCUUGUUUUUCGUUUCGCAUAACAAUUUGUGGAUCCAGACUCCAGACAUCUUUGUCUUCGUGGGAACUCUAAUGGAAAUGUAAUUUUGAUUAGGGAUGUACCAUGUUAAACUGGAUAUGCUACUUUCUUUCUACAGGAGAGGCUUGGAGAAAUUCCUGGUCAUGGAGAUAUACGGUCUGCCAGAAGUGAACCACAUUUGGGCAAUGACACUAAACAGAAUGCACAUACAGAACAGCACGGUGGCCACUAGGAUGAGUAACUCAGCUUUAUGGUGCCUUCUUGCAGGAGCACAAUCUAACCAAUUAGCAACAGUGAGUUUAUUUUGCGUAGCGUGUAGUUUGACCUUUGUCGAAGUUUUAACCUUUCAUAUUUUAGGAUAUGUUCAUAUUUGCGUAUCAUAUUUAUCUCUGCUUGGGGUUACCUUUAGGAGUUGACGCCCGAAGAUGAUAUGUCGAGUGAGAAAUUAACGUCAUACCCUUGUUUGUUUCGUAAGGGUAGUGGCAUUCACACUUAAAGUUAAUAUGUAUUAAAUAUGGACAAUGAAUCCGUAACUUGGGAGAGUGAUUGAGUAUAGGAUGGUACGCUAACAGAAAUCUUGAUUUGUAAACUGGUUUACUUAUGUCUACUAUUUAUAUGUUGGUUGCAUUAGGCACGUUGAAGUCCAUAGUUACCCAAGUUAUGUGAUGUUACUAUUUUGCUCAAAUUAUAGCCCCAAUGUUUCGUGCAAAUGAUACAACGCCAUGUGAAGAUAAAUUUACACUUCAUUGAUGGGGGCGUUGUACCUGUGCCAGUGGCGGUGAUCCAAGUUUUAAGUCGAUCCAGCAUGAGUUUCAAGGUUGGUACUAGGUUUAGGCAGGGUUAUUUAUUUAGGAGACAUUUUGAUAACCACUUUGUUUUCAGUUUUUAGUUUCUGGUUUUGGUUUUUAGUUUUCACUUUUCAGUUUGAAUUUGAUCUGACAAGAUUUCAGUUUUCAGUUUUCAAAAGUGAUAGCAAAAAUUGAAAACGAAAUGGUUAUUAAACAGCUCUUUAACUAUGCGUUCAUACAUUUUUAAUUAAUUGAGCGCUGAUAGGGCAUUGAACUUGGGUCUCGGCCCUCGUCUUUUCUAAUCUUCUGCUCCAAGUGUUCUCUCUAUGAUUGCACUAAUGAAGUCAAGCACUCCAGGCGAACAAAGCUGAGAGAAUUACGCAGCGGAGGAAGAUGGAAGUACAAUGCGAUUAAAAGUAAGAGAUAAAAGGCUUAGGUUUGGUAAAUUGGGACAAAUCAAACCAGGACAUAAUAAAAAUCGAAGAAAAAGUGUUUAGAAAAAGAAACGCAAAUUUGACGUAAAAGACUGAUACUAGAUAUGAACAUCGUUUAAGGUUCAGAGCUUGAAGGGAAAAAAAAUGUUAUGCCACCACCAACUUACCAUGUCCAUCACAACCGGCAUGUUAAACUAUCGCCACUAUUGUCACCACUACUGCCACUAUUGUCACCACUACUGCCGCUAUUGCUACCGUCACCUCUAUUAUUUCCACCGCCACUAUGGCCACCAUCUCUGCCACCAUCAGUCCCGUCGCUUUGCAACGACCAUUGUCAUUACCACUCUUCACUAUCAUUGUCGUCAUCACCGCCGCCGUUCCAGCUACCAUCACCAUCUACACUGCCACCACACCCACCACCAUUGGCCCCUCCCUACCCUGUUAUUGCCACCACCAUCGCCACUGCCACUCCCAACCACUAUUAUUACUAGCAUCACCCUCGCCACUAUCACGCACCGCCACUACUUCCACCAUUAACAGAUACAUUUUCAAUAUGAGAAUAGUUAAUGAUACUUCAAGAAUCUCAUUUUGCACUCCAAACUUUCUAUAACUAGAAAAAAAAAUACACUUAUAAGGAGUGUAGAAUGUCUUUCUCAAAAAAUCAUUCUCAAAUUAAAUUACCAAACUCAUUCUCAAACUAUGAAAAUACAAAAUAAGAUUGUUUUCAUUUACAAAAUAUGUAACUUUAGUUGGGUUAGAAUUUCUUCCUCCUAAGCUAGUGUAUUUCAAAAUAUAACAUUAGUUAAAGCAAAAAAAAAAAAGUCAAUUAAAAUGAAUAAGAAAAACAAUUAAGGGCGUGUCUCAUAACAUUUUACAAAACAAAUUUUGUAGAACCGUUUUGUAAAACAUUACUAGACGCGUACUUAAUUUCAUUUUGGUUGACAUGUUUUGUAUUUUUAACUAAAGUCAUAUUGCUACCUAGUACUAUGAUCUAGUGAUAUUCAUCUUCAUUUGUAAGUAAGAGGUCUUAGGUCUGAUUCUUACCAAAGGCAAAUUUGAACCAUAUUAUUGCUAACCCAUUGUGAGACUAAUUUCAUCCUUCUCUCCCUUGGCAAUAGGCAAUUCAAUCCCCUCAAGUGAAUAAUAACUGCCUUUAAUGAACAAUAAUUGCCUAUUGCAUCUCCACCCCUAUGAUGAAUAACCCAGACAAUUCGUAUUAAAAUAUUAGUAAUUUUUAUUUUAUAAAAUAAUAAAAAUAAUUUAAUUUUUUAAUUUCGGAUAAGAUGACACACCCCGACUUGGGAAGGUCGAAGCAUGCUGGCCAUCACCGUGAAGUGACGUAACCAUAAGGGUAAGCGAUGUAAAAAGUGAGUAAAUUUAAAACUGAUUAGAACUAAUUAUACUAAAUAGUGAAAGAGUGUGCAAUCGUGGGAAGAAGCCACUACAAUUAUUCAGAGCGUAAUAGACAGUGAGACUACAAAAGAGUAGUCAAAGUAACUAAGUACACUUAUUACAUAACAGUGAUAAGUUCGUAUGUCUAAACAGAAGAGAAUGUCAGAACUGUCGAGAUUCCUCGAGUGCGACAAAGAGUACAGCUAUCUAGGUCCUAGAGGGGCGAAAAACAAAGUUGAGUGGGUCAGCAAAACAAUGCUUACACGAAAUCCUUUAUUUUCGAAUAUACUAACCCCUCGCCGUAAAACAAGUACAGUUUCCUUAUAACAUUAUACGUAGGUAUGUAAACGAUGAAUCAACAAUAUUAUAACCAGAAAUAUGCCAAAUCAUGAUGUAUCAAAUGCCACAAUAAUAUAAUCAUGUGAUAAUCAAGUAUAGCUAAGUGCUCAUCCAUAUAGGCUGACACACGAGUUUAAACAAAUAAUUUCUGACACGAACAUGAUUGGGUGUAAUCAAUAUGCUCUAGUACUACGAUCACGUGAAGUCUAGUGCAGAAGCGGUCACAUACAAGUAGAAUUGCCUAGUGCAAUCUACCUGACAGGACUAGCACCUAACUUGGAUCAAGCCGAGCGAACGGUGUGAUGUGAACAUACACGUGAAGGACUGGCCCUGGCCUUGGGGCGAGUACUAACACCAAUGCAGCAAGAUGAGCAUGUACAAAUAUAUAUAUAUAUAUAUAUAUAUAUAUAUAUGAAUGUCAUGACAGUAAUAUCUUAACCAUAUAGUAGCAUUUAUCACAAUUAAUAUCACAAUAACGAUACUUGGCAAAAUAAGCGUAAAAGUGAAGUAAAUACUCAUUUAUAGAAACUAUAAAUAUGUAUAGGCAUAAAAAUAAACUACCCACUCACAAGUACGUCGCUGGGUCAUAACCCUCGAGCCUAGCCUGACCCCGUAAUUCCUAGGGAUAUGUUUCCCCUAUAUGUGAAAUAACUAAAAUAGAAUUAAUUAAAGCACAUAUACGGAAACCUAAAUAAAACCCUCAUAGUUUGCUUAAACCUAGGGUUUAAAUAUAUGAAAUCGAUCUAUUCGACGUCACGGACACACACAUGUCGACCACACACUGGCCGGAGGCCAGACGGGCCGCCACAAAGGGUUGCACAACCUGCCACGCGGUACACGUGCCGAUGGCAUGUGGGUGGUCACGCGCGUUCACGCGCCUACGAUUAUGCGUGAACUCGCCUUCUCCAUGAUUUUCUGCAUUUUUUGCAGAUUUUUGGGCUAACUUCCUGAGCGCCUAACGAGCUCGAUUCUCAACCAAAACACUUCUACAAAAGCCAAAUUAAAGUUAGGAAUGUGAUGAAUCGAUCCAUUUUCAUAGAAGGUUCAAGUGUGGUCCAUGUUGUUCAGAAACGUGGUCUGAAAGUGACCAAAUGGCCACGGCCAAACUUUUCCAGAAAGUUGGGAAAUUUCUUCCCAACUUCUAGAGUUGAUUUCUAACUCGAAAGUUAACCAAAUUCAAUGAUUUAAAAGCCAUUUUGAAGUUAAGAAUGUAGAGAAUAAGUCUAUACCUAUUAGAUGUCCAGUCGUGAUCGAGGUUGACCUGAAAAUGUGAUGCAAGUGGCCAGAUGGCCACGGUCUCUUUGUUGGAAAAAGAAAAUUGAGCAACUUCCCUCACCUCGAGCUUUUUGUGCUAGAGUUCAAUCGAGAUAAGUAAAUGAGUUCAAAAACAACUUAUAGAAAUGAAAUGGAGGUUCUUAGGGUUUCUCGGAGUUUACCUAAGCCAUGAAUGGCCUGAAAAUAGCUGUAUCAAACUCACCGAGUCGAACCUUUCGAGUUGGAUGUCCAAAACUCGGUCAACACGUGAACCAUGGGUAUGGUUGAGUUCCUAGGGUCGAGAUGAGCAUGAUGGUGUAGUUUGUUUGUCACGUUUGCAGGUUGUGAAGAGAGUUUGAGAAGCUUGCAGAGAAGAAGGGGAGCACGACAAUGAGAGAGAGAGAAGAGAAGGGUAAGGGUUUUCUGAUUGGUGCCAAAAUAAAAGAAGGGAUGGUGAUUGGUGGUGAGUGAAGGAGAUGGUUGUGGGGAAAAAGGGCUGACGAGUUAGAGACACGGAUCCCCUUUUUUAGGGAAACGAUGGAUUCUUUUAUGAUUUUAUACACUUUCGAUGUAUAAUUCAUGCCUCGUUACAGUGUUCCAAACACUGAUAAAUUUGUACGCGCAUGUAAAAAUUUAAAUACAAAAGUGCGAACGAAAGAAAUUAAUAUAAACGCAUUCAUGUCACUUGCCGUUAAGGGCAUGAUAGUCAUUUCACACACUCGGGGAGAAAUUACAUAGGAAAAUUAGGGACGGGUCGUCACAGGAUUUUUAACCGAUCUCGUCACACCACAUGUCAUUAUUUGAAAGAACAAUUUUUGUGAAUAGAUUUCGAUAAGAUUUUUAACCAAUUUCAUCGCACGACGUAUCCUUACUUGUUUAGAAUCGUUGAAAAUAUUGAAAUGUGGUGUAAGGUGGGAGAAAAUGGUAAGAUACUUACAGAAAAAAAUUAUAAUUUUUAAUUUUUUUUCAUAUUUUAAAUUUUUUUAUUAACUUAAUUAAUCUGAAACGUUGGAUUACAUAAAAUUUGAAAUCCAACAGUCCAAAUUGUGACACGUAGCCCACCGUAACAUUUCUUUAAAAAAAAAAAAAUUAAAACUGACAAAAUCAAACGGUCUAGAUUCAACUGCAACUGAGUGGGGCUGACACGCGAGCCCCACCGUUUGAAAAUAUGUCAGAGAUGAUCCCCCAUGGGAGCGUGUUGCCCACAUGCCUGACGCAAAUUUUUUUAGAACAUAGCUGACGUGAGUUCCCCCUCAAGCACUCGGGCCUUGAACUUCUGCCUAACCUCUCCCACGAGCUCCCCCUCAUCCCAAUUGCCCUACUGGGUUGGGGCGUCUUUGGGGGCAAUUGAAUUGGAUUUGUUGCCAACCCUCAUGGUAAAAUACCAUGGUGGAGUUGCUCUUAGUGUAGAUAGUAUGCUCUGUUUUUGAAAAAAAAAAAAAAAAACAACAACAACGAAAGUCAUAUUUUGAAAUUCACUAGCCGUAUCUUGUCACUUAAAAAUAUCUUUGACCACCCAAACACGAGAAGAAACAAAGAAAAGCAGAAAAUUACCGACCAUACAUUAUAUAAUUAAAAACAAAAAAUAAAGAAGAAUACCAACUGCUUUUAACCACCGGCUUGCACUAUCAAAUUAUCACGGCUCUCUCUCUCACGCACAUAAAUAAGCUUUAAAAAAUGCAGGUUUCAGGGGUAAUUGGCGACGUUUCUUUUGUAAUUCCCUCCGGUGGUGGUCUCAGGUGGCCAGAAUUCGGACAUUUCCAUGCCCACGGCCAAAACCAUUCACAUCCACUCACUGAUUCCAAGUCAUUUCUUUCAGCUUCAUUUUUCAGAGUAAGCCCUCUCCUCCACUCACUCAUUCAUCUUCUGCUAUUGCCCUUGGCUACUAAGAAAGUGUGAGAAAUUUAAUGGGUAUUUUUAGAUUUUAAUUUAUCGUCUGGGUUUUUUCUUUCUUUUUCCAAAGCGCUUUUCGUUUCUUGCGGAAAGAUUGGAUAGAACCCAGUUCAGAACUUUAAUUUUGUCCUGUUUGGUUGCCUAGAAAGUGGAAAGUGUAGAAAAAGAAAAUUUUUAGUUUUCAUUUUCUUUAAUUGAGGACCUGAGAACUCCAUUGUUCAGUUGCUGAUCCAAAAUUUAUACCGUGAGGGGUCAUGGAGGCAGGUUUAGGGGCCUCCAAUGAGUCAAUAUACAGCUUCAGUGGGGAAGUUUCCAACUUGACCCCUCUGGUCCCUUGCUGCAUCCGCCAGUGGAUGCAUUCGUAUAACUUUUUAAUAUUCUAUUCGCAUUCAUUGGUAUCUGAACAUCUGCUUUGCUGUCAUUUUGUAUCAGUGAUUCUAAAUAUCGAAAGUGAUAUACUUGAUUUGAUACUUGCUCCUUAAUUGGCAUUGCUCUAUUAAUUUUUCCAUGUCUUCAUUGAAUUUGUACUCCCAUAUAUUCUUUUUUUGUUUUAACCAAUGCUGAACCUUUUGAUUCUACCGAUCUGUUUCAUAAGGUAGUUGCUUCCAAGGGGUCCAAGGGGAUUAUUCACCAUUGUAUAUAUAGGUAUACAUAGAGGCUUUCGACGUUAAGGAUGUCCUUAUUUAAGAAAACAUAACCGUUAAUCAAGUAUCAGAUUGCUGAAAUUCAAUUAAUAAAGUUGUACGGUUAUUUCCGCACUAUAUUGCUAUAUGCCAUCCUGUGCUGGCAUGUCCAUCAUGGGGCACUAAGGCAAGGUUAUGGAUGCUUGGCGCGCUAACAUAAUUUUCUUUUUCUUUUCUAGAGUUGUCCUUCAUUUUGCAUCCCAAAGCUGGGAAACGGACUAUAUAACUGCCGAGCAAGGGGGUUGGUUGUGAGAGCAUCAAAGGAUUCAAGUGAUAAUUUGGUGCCAGUUGCUCCUCUUCAAUUUGAAUCUCCCGCUGGCCAGCUUUUGGCCCAAAUAUUGCAAACUCAUCCACAUCUACUACCUGCAGCCAUUGAUCAGCAGCUUGAGAACCUUCAAAUAGAUAAAGAUGCCCAAAGAAAAGAAGCUGCUUCAUCUGCAAAUCUCCUCUACAAGUAUGUACUGCGAUUUAUCAAAUUAGUUGUUUUCGUUUUGCUAUUGAAUAGAUGAGUAAAUGGUAAGUUUUUUUUUUAACACGCGUCUUCAUUUGAUACACACUUAUCGGAAUCGUUAACAGUUCCUCUCUAGACACUCCCCUCAGCAGGCCCAGUUAAAUAAAUUGACCCAAUCGUAAGGCCUUAUUGGUAGUGUAUGUCACCAAGUGUAUACGAAUUAGGGGAAUUCUGAUUUAGUUUCUGUUCUUAAUUUUUGUUUAGUUUGUAGUAGGGUUAGGAUUACUUUCCCCUUUGUAGCAGGAUUAAGGUUAUUAUAAAUAAUUAUGUGCUUUGUGAUUCAGUAGAGCAGACUUGAAUGAUUGCUUUGGGCUGAUUGGCUCGAUUUUUUGUUUCGUUUGGAUAAUGAAACAUGAUUGCAUUUGGCAGAUCAAUAACUUAUAGGUGAGAAUACAUGUAAUUAUUGAAAAUAAAAAACAGAUAUUGCAAAAUACUGCAUUAGAUCUGCACUGUUGUUAUAAUGAUAUCAUCCCAUCUUAUGCUCACUCCGCCUUCUUCUUAAAACGAUAAGUUUGAAAUCCAUAUAGUUCCCUUUUCUUUGAAUUUACUAGGUUUAAACCCCUUGGAGAUUAGCAUUGUAGUACAGGUUGAAUAAUGUUAUGUGCUGCUCCAGUUAUUUCCCAUUUUCAAUCUGGUUUUUAAAUAAAAUGUUUGACCAUAGGAGCUUUGGUUGCUUAAGUAACCAAUGUUGAAUAAUAGCUACAAGGUUUUAUUUAUUUUCAUGAAAUUCAAUUUGAAGUAGACACGAUCAGGUGUCUAAAAGGCACUGUUAUCAAUUUCUCUUCAUACUGUAACUAGCUUUAUACAUGUCUAACAAGGUCUUUGCUCUUUAUUUGUUCUCCUCAACUAUUGUUUUCUUAGUUGUUUUGGUGUCUGGGAAUGGGAACUAAUUAAGUAAAAUCAUGAAUUUUAGACGAAUAGCUAAAGUCAAGGAUAAAGAAAGGCGCAUGGCAUUGGAAGAGAUAAUAUACUGCUUGAUAGUGCAUAAAUUCGUAGACCGUGAAAUUUCAAUGAUCCCGAAGAUAUCAGAGACAUCAGAUCCCACCGGUAGAGUGGAUUUCUGGCCAAACCAAGAAAAGAAACUAGAGUCUGUUCACUCUCCUGAAGCAUAUGAGAUGAUACAGAGCCACUUAUCCCUUGUACUUGGUGAGCGACUUGUGGGCCCCCUUUCUUCCAUGGUUGAGAUUAGCAAAAUAAAACUUGGAAAGCUGUAUGCUGCUUCAAUAAUGUACGGAUAUUUUCUCAAAAGAGUUGAUGAGCGGUUCCAGCUUGAGAGAACCAUGAACACCCUUCCUGAGGGUUUCACUGCAGAUCCAGCACCAGCAAACCAGCUUUGGGACCCUGAUUCCUUGAUUCGGAUAGCUCCUGAAGGUGCUAGUGAUAGUGAUAGUGAUAGCAAGUCAUAUCGAUUGAGAUCCUAUGUGACAUACUUGGAUGCAGAGACACUUCAGAGAUAUGCUACUAUAAGAUCAAAGGAAGCUAUUUCUUUGAUUGAAAACCAGACACAAGCCCUGUUUGGGAAACCUGACAUCAGGAUUGCCGCGGAUGGUUCAAUUGAUGCACCUAAUGAUGAGGUGAUUGCACUUACCUUCUCUGGAUUGACAAUGCUCAUCUUGGAAGCUGUUGCUUUCGGAUCAUUCCUGUGGGAUGCUGAAACCUACGUUGAAUCUAGAUAUCACUUUGUCAAAAGCUAAAGAUGUUAUGUUUCUUUAUUUACGCCCAGAAGCUGCAUAAAAUCAUCAUGUAUUGAGCAUGGUGUAAUGAGUUUCUUCUUCUUCCUGUAAAUAUAAAAUGUUAGUGAACUUCUUUUACCAAAUUCACAGAUCGGAUCUUGUUGCAAAUUUGAACUACUUUAUCCCAAAUGCUAACACUGGGAACAAUGUAUACACAACAGAAAUGCAGAAAGAUAAAAUUGAAAACCUUUUACCAGUGAGGCCAAAAAAGCGACACUCUCGGGAACAAAGUUAGUCCCUUUCUUGCACCACAUGGCUACCAACGGAUGGAUGGUGGAAACAACUUGGCUUUCAGUGAAUCUUUUCUGUAUUAUUCUUCUGCAAGGACAACCUCAGGGGGAGUCUUUCCUUCCUGUUUUUCUGUGUUUAACGAUCUUAUUUUCUUUGAAUGUGCAUGUUUGCUGAGUGCUUGUCCUUAUUGUUGUGUGGAUGUUUCAAUAUUUGUGUAUGCAUUCGAUUUUGCCAUUGUUUGUCUGAAUUAAGUAUGUUCAGUUCUCACUAUGUUGUGUUAUAUGUUCAUGGUUUUUAGAUUGCAUGGUUUGGUUUCCUUCGGCAUUUUACUACAUGCGUAAUGAGCAUGAUUUCUGCAACAUGUCUUUAUAUCUAUUUUUUCUAUCUUAUCAUUGUCGCAGGUGGUUGUAUUUCUAUUAGAUUUGACAGAUUGUGUAUGAGGUUGUGUAAUCUAGUUUUGCAAGGUAAGCAAAAGGAGAAGAUUGAAGAAACCACCUUCUAUGUAGUUGUCCAAUUAAGCUCUAAAACACCAUUAGAGUAGUCUUAGAACUAAGUUUGUAAGUAGCACUUGCUUGAAGGAAGCUGCUGUGAAGUUUCAAGUAACUUAUUGUGGUCGAGCUUAUCAUAAAUGGAGGUACGUUGAACUUCAUAUUCAUGCAUCACAUAGGAGCAUUUGCUAGAUAUUUCUUUCUACUUAUCAAUCUACAGGAAUUGCAUUGAGCUGCUCACGAUAUAGUUGUCGAUUCAUCCUAUCUCAUAGAGUUUAUUUGAUUAGAGAUGCAUUGUUUAGACAAAUGACACAAAUGUACUUCAUACAUAUCAUAUAGAUUUAGGUUCUCAAAAUCGAUUCAAUCAAAAUUUCAUGGUUAACUUGAUUUGAUUGAUGUGUCACGUAUGUGUCCAUUGGAGAAUAGUUGAAUCCAUUUCCUACCUCUCUGUGCAUUUGGAAGAACAAGCUUGGUUGAGGGAUCGAGCUAAGGAGAUACUUGCCUUCGUGUGCAACUGCAAGCAGGAGCUAGAAAUCGAGCUGCAAAUAGAGCAAAACUUCACAGGUACCAGUUGCUAUUUAUGAUAAGGUUAUUGGGUGAUUGAGUUGCGAUUUGUACCUUAUAUGAGCUUUGGUUUUGAGUGGAUUUGUUCUUCAACUUGGUCAAGAGUGACUGAUUUUUUUAGACUCUAUUUAGAAGGUUUUUUUUGGCCACCAAUUACCUUGUGCUAUUUCUAUCAACUCUUCUCUUUUUAGUAAAAGAUAAUUGAAAGUCCUAAACAACUAGAAUUAAGGACAUUUACUUUUUCUUAUUCGAAAACUCUUAAACAAACUUUCUUUAUCAUCAAGGGCACAUUCUUUUAUUAUUAAGGACAUUUUCUUUUAAGAAUGAGGAUCCUCUUCGGAUUGUCUUUGUGAGGAUUCUGGGAAUUCUCAAAUCGUGUCCGUACAUCGUACAGCCAGAAAUCAUUUUAAAUACUUUUAUUUAAAAUUAAAUAUGAAUAGUACCUGACUAAAACUACAUUAUUGCUAAAUAUGAAUUUGAACUACAUUAUUACUAGCCUAUUGUGAGACUUAGCCUAUCACAUCCCUUUUAAUGUAGAUAAUAUCGUUUGUUCAAAAAAUAAAAACCAUCAUGAAGUGUGACUCUCUUUUUGUUUUUCUGUCCUCAUAAUAUAAAAAAUGUACUUGAGAGACUUUGUAUUAGUUCUUCCUAAUUCAAAACCCAUAUGAUGUUUAACACUCAAGGUGAUGCAUGAGUAUUUGUAAUGAAGUGAAACAAAAUCACGAAUAUGACGUAAGGCCUCAUGAAUAUAGUCUCGCAUCAUAGAUUCAGCCAUUUGUACAAGUGCAAUUGGUAUUUUACAUGUGAGACUUAUGAUAUGUUCAAUUUAUCUUAUGGAGACUCUAUAUACAUGAAAAUCUUCACAACUUAUGAAAUAUUUGAAGAAUAUCUCUCGAAUAGAUAUUAUAUAGGAUACAAAAUGUCAUGAAAUUUUUCUAUAUGGUAAUAAGCUUUGAUCAAGAAUUUCAUGCUAUAACUUGUCUUUCAUGACUAUCGAGAGAUAUUUGUGCCGACGUUGAGAUAAAUCGUAACAUAAGAGGAUAAGUUAUAAUACAAAGGAUAAGUUUUAGUAAGCGCGUCCAAUACUUAGUUAAUAUUUGAUACAACGCUAUUCUCUUUUCAUGCCACCUUGAUUUUCUCCCAUUGAAUUUUCCAAGCAAAAUUUGACAAGACAACUAUCAAUACAUUGUAAAUCUUAUUAGUUGAAUGAUUCAACACUUGGGUCAAUAUGUAAUACUUAUUAGUUAAAUUCCUUAAUGAUGUAAAGUAGAAAAAUUUGACCCAAGUCUCCAAAUAAUCAUUCCCUACCUAAUGAACAUUCAAACUUCUUUCGGAAGAUAAGUAUUAUUUGAUACAUAUGCAUAUCACGCUUUACUGCAAUGUCGAAAAAUAAUCAUAUCUAAACACAUCUUGAUGUGGAUUUAAUUUCAACCGAUUCUCCUAUCAUAAUAAUUAAUUAUCUAACUCACUAACGUUAUCGUACAACUCAAAAGGUAUUAUUUGAUACAUAAACUAUGCAAAGAAAAAAGGUAACAAGGAGAAAGUAAUUGGCAUGCAGAACUAACGACAAUGUGACAUGGAGACGCGGUCCUAAGGUCAAAAGAUUGCACAGAUGUAACUUUCCAAGAUGCCCUUAAAGUGGCUUACUUGCGAAGCGUUCUUCCUUACGCCAUCCUCACUGCCUUAUCAAUUUGGGCAACUGAAACGUAAACCUCAAUUCCCAAAAUUAUUCUGCAACCCUGAAGUUCCAACCCUCUUGUUUCUUGUUUCUUGUGAGCGAAUUUUCACUUGCUCUGCUUAUAUUUUAUUUUAUUUUUAUACAUUUUUUUUUCUGGACCAACCGGAUUUGGUCAAUUAUUGAGAGGGCAGGUUACUAUCUAUCAUAUGUUUUCUUCUCGUGUAUAAACCAUUAAGCUCAUAAUUAAGAAAUAAAUAAAUAAAGAAAAAGAAUGAAAAAUAAAUAAAAGUCGUGGCUUAAUAUUCAAUGGCCAUAUGAUAGAGAAAUAUAAUAAAUAAAUAGGUUAAUAUCGUUUUUAGUCUUGUGACUAAAUGUCAUGAGGGAAUGAGUCAUCUUAUGAAGAUGUUGAUUUUCCAUAAUCUUCUAGUAUACGUACUUGUCAUAACUUGACACGUACCCCUUAACAUGGUCAUAUUUGAAGGAUGGGUGGACAUACUUGGCCUAAUUAUCGACAUCAUGAAAUGGAUGAAAGCUUUUGGAACAUGUUAAAAAGGACCUUAUUCUUAUCUUUUAUUUUAUGAAAAAUACUUGUGUCCACCGUAUGUUAGAACUUACUUGUCUGUCCACUUGUAAUUAACUUAUAUUUAUUAUGCAGCCGUCAUUAUAUAAAUCAUUCAUACUCUUUAUUAUCAUAUCAAUAUUAAAUCUGAUAAAGAAAAAAAAAGUCAUUCAUUUCAGAGUUUAUUGGGUCAUUCAUAUACAUCAAACAAAUAGAUAGUUCAUCGCGAGAUCGCUACUAAAUAAUCUAAGAAAAACCUAGCUCAAAACGUCGAUAUUUUGGUGACGUUAUUUUGGUUGGGCACUAAGUUUUGCGUCAACCAUUCAGGCAUUUUGUUGAAUAAGUUAUGAGUACCAAGAGUCACGAACUAGGAAAGCAAGGGGUCAUCGAAGGUGCUUCCCAAUCAAUUUUCUCAGUCUCAAAGGAGUCACCUGACACUCGUCCCUUAGUGAAUCCACCACAGUGACAAUAUAUACACACAACAAAAAUUGAAAAUUAACAUAGUUCUACUUUAGGGUAUUUUAACACUAGGAGAUACCAAAGAAAUCACAUAUGUGGAUCACAUGUAACCCAUCUCUCUAAUAAAAGUAAGACAGACCAAUAAUCAUGUACAAAUAUAUAUCACUUUUAUUAAAAAAGUGUUUCACAUGUAAUUUACAAAACAUAGAGUCUCUAACAUUUUCCUUUAGCACCGUACAAAAAUGAUAAACGACGAUACGUACGUUGCUAGAUUUAUAGUUCGAUUAAAAAAAUAUAGGUGUAACUUUAUUCUCUUGUAUGGACCUCCCGAUUAGAAUAAUAACAAAUAUGAAUAAAUUAGUUAAUUAUAAAUGGAAUAUCAGCUUUGGUAAUUUUUCUUUUGGCAUAAAUCAAUUAAACCCAUUACAACCCCACAAGGAUCCAUAUCAUAUUUGUUAUUUAGUUGUUUGGAUCUGUAUUCCCGUGCAUGAAUACGUAGUUGUUAGAUUUUGUUAUCCAUCACCUACUGCAGACGUUAAUAUCAUUUUAUAAUAUAUAUACACACACUACUUUAUUUUAAAUAAAAUAAAGGUUGCUACCCAACCUUUAUUUUAUUUUAAAUUCUAAUGUAUUCAAAUCUCUUUAAAAAUGAUUGAAAACGUUUUUUAUGAGAGUACUUUUAGAAUCAAUCAUUAGUAAAAAUGCAAAUAAAUCUUCAAAAAGCACUUGAAGUGCUUCUUGCAAGACAAAAAAUACUUUCACCAAAAGCGCCUUAGUAAUUUAAUAGUACUUUCAGACAAGUCCUUAUAAUUUACAAAAUUUGAUAUGUUUGGAGAAAUAUUCAAAAACAACAAAAUGUGUCUAGAAUUAAUAUAUCACAGAAAUAAUAUAUCAAAGACACACCAAUUUUUUAUUUUUAUUUUUUUAUGUAUUUAUCAAACUAUAAUUACAAAAAUGUAGAAAUUCCUAUACUACAAGAAGUUUGCCAAAUAUUUUUCUUUUUGUAAGUUGGUUGUAACCACCAUGGACCAACUUUUUUUUGUAUGUAAUUAUUUCUCACAACCCUUAUCACAUCCUGGCCUGGGCCCCACCACAUCUCGGGUUCGACUCUACCGUAGCACGAUAUUGUCCGCUUUGGGUCCUGACCACUCCCUCAUAGUUUUGUUUCUGGGAACUCACACGAGAACUUCUCAGUGGGUGACCUAUCUUGGGAAUGCUCUCGCCCCCUUCUCGCUUAACUUCGGAGUUCGUACGGAACCCGAAGCCAGUGAGCUUCCAAAAAGCUUCGUGCUAGGUAGAGAUGAGAAUAUACAUAUAAGGCUUACAUGAUCCACUCCCCUGGGCGAUGUAGGAUGUUACAAUCCACCCCCUUAGGGGCCCGAGCCCAACUCCACUGUAGCACGAUAUUGUCUGCUUUGGGCCCCGACCACGCCCUCACGGUUUUGUUUUUAAGAACUCACACGAGAACUUCCCAGUGGGUCACCUAUCCUGAAAAUGCUCUCGCCCCCUUCUCGCUUAACUUCAGAGUUCCUACGGAACCCGAAGCCAGUGAGCUUCCAAAAUGUCUCGUGUUAGGUAGAGAUGAGAAUAUACAUAUAAAGCUUACAUGAUCCACUCCCCUGGGUGAUGUGGGAUGUUACAACCCUAGCUAAUCAAUCACCACAUUCCAAUGGCAAUCGAGUAAUACCCCAGCGAAAUAUGGGCAUUCUCAAACAUCCGCAAUAAUUAAUUAAAGGAGAAAUUAGGUUCACAUUCUUCUUUUUGCUAUUCCAUUGAUUAAAAUCCUAUUCAUUUUCAAUUUUUGAUCAAGGUCCUUAGGUAUUAAUAACAUUAUUAAUUAUUUGAAUAAUAAAAUAUUUUUAUUUUAAAUAUAUUCCUUUGUGUUAAAAAUGUUACAAUUAGCAUAUUAAAAUUUAUGGCUAAAUUUUUUAUCAUAUAUUUUUAUUUUUAGUUUGUACCUAUUUUUAAUUUGUACCAAUUUUUUUUCAUUUUUAAUUUGUACCCAUAUAUUAGUUUCUUUUUGUGCCCAUAUUUUUUAAAGUUUUAUUUGUCACAUCUCGGCCUAGGCCCCCACCACAUCCCUGGCUUGACUCCACCAUAGCAUGAUAUUGUCCGUUUUGGGCACCGACCACUCCCUCACGGUUUUGAUUAUGGGAACUCACGUGUGGCGUGGCGGCGUUUGGGCCGAGGUGUCCCCUGACCCUCCUAGGACUAAUUCUUUACCAUCACUACACUUUAUGGCUUCGUCACCUUCCAGGUGUCGGCCAGCACAACUCGGUUCGGAGUCCUAAUGGACAUUUCGGGUCGUGGUGUGUCAUUAUUUGUGUUUGUACCCAUGUGUAUACCAUCACGUUACAUUGUAUAUUUAAUUAAUGAUAGAAAAAUUAUAUAUGGUAUAUUUAUGUUUUAUGACUAAACUUUGUAUCAUAUAUUUAUAUUUUUAGUUUGUACCCACUUUUAAUUUGCAACAUUUUUUUUAAAUUUGUAGUAUUUUCUUUUUAGUUUUAUUUUGUACCCAUGUAUUAAUUUUUUUUAGCGCCUAUAUUUUUUUAAAAUUCAUUUGUACUCAUAAUUUUUUAAUCUUUUAUCUGUACCCUAAUUUAUUUAUAAUGUACCCAUUCUUCUUUAUUAAUUUACCACUUUGUUAUAUGUGAAAUGUACCAACUUUUUUAACACUACGGAUACAUUCUUUUGCCAUUUAUUAUUUCUUAUUUUUACAUAGUUUUUAUCCAUUUAUUCAAUCAAAAUGUUUGAAUUUUUUUUAUUGUAACCUUUUCUAAUAGUAUUAUAAUGAGGGAUUUUAAAUUUAUAGGAUUAUAAAUCUCAUAAAAUAUCAAACAAUUAAUGUCAAAAGUAUAAAAAUAUAAAUAUUAAUUGUAAUAGAAUGAGGUGUACAAAGUCAAGGGACUUUAAUCAAAAUUUGAAUACCAUUAAGGUUUUAGUCAAAGAAUGUUAAAGAUUAGGGACCGCAUCCAAAGUAUCCCUUAAUUAAAACAUUCAAUGGCUAAUCAGUAGCUGCUGAGAGAUUUUUCAGUGUGACCGUCACACGAAGUGGUACACCACAUGUCCCUAUAUAAAUGGUGGAUUAUGUGUGUUAAAAAGUUAAUAACUUAAAUAUUAAAAAAUUUCACCACUUGCAUAAAAACACAUGGUGUACCAUCCGUAUUCUCGUCACAAUUAAAAAUUUCUCCAGCCGCUGGCUGACCAUAUACUUUCUCCCCUUUUCUCUCUCUCGUAACCUUUGCAUUGAAUUCCUCUUGGCCUCUUAGCUGCUGGAUAUAUAAACAGACUUUGGCAGAGAAAUCGAAAGAGGUGGGAUUGGAUGAGAGAGAGAGAGAAAUUUAAACAAAAAUAGGCAAAUAUCGAUCAAAAUUUGAAUCACAAAGAAAAAAAAUAUCGAAAGCAAAUGGAGGGGUUACAACGUUGUAGAUAUUGGUUUAAUGGAGUUUAUUUCUUUUUCCAUUCUUUGAGGUUAGUACUAUUGAUCCUAUAAAUCUUAUACAUCAAGAUUUUUGGCCGUUAAAUCUUGUUUAAUGGAACUUGAGUAAGAAUUUAACUUGCAAAAUUUUUGGUGUAUAUAUUGCUAGGAUACUGGGGAGCAUAUUAAAAACUCUUACGAAUUUGACAUGUGACGAAAAUUGCUAGUUAUUAGUACGAAAAUUGGUAGUUAUUUGUAAUUUUCCCUUGUUAUGUAAUUUGCCUUUGUCUGUAGUUCUGCGGGCAUAGGUAAGUGGCUGUUGGUCCAACUAAUCCAAUUUGUUGGAGAUAUUUUCAGCUGGUGGUUCAUGUUGGUGUUGCAUCGUGUGGAAAGGACAAUGGAAGCCAUGGUCGCAUGCUUUGCCGCACGGUUGAUGCUCACAGCAUAGCAAUGGAUAUACGCUACAUGUUUGGUGGGCGGAAGAUUCCCCAUGAUUUGCUUAGGAAUUCCUUGUAAUUUGCUUUUGUAUUGACAUUUGAGGAUAGUUCCUUGUUUCGUGCGGGACGCUCUUUUUCCUUCCACCGGUUGAAAGCUCCGGCAAGGUUUUAUUGAGCCCCAAUAGGCAAGCUAUCCUCAGUUUGUUGUCAAUUUGUACUUGUACCCCGCUGUUCGAAUGGAAUAUCUAAUAUCGUAUUUCUCUCAAAAAAAAAAAAAAAAAAAGAUGAUGACUAUUUUCAAGUGAUGAUAAAUUUAUUUAAAAUAUAGCAACAUUAAUGAAAUAACACACAACGUGGUUGAUAAAAUAUAAAAGAAAAAAACACAAUACAUUAAAAAAAAAAAAGACACUAGGGGAUAAGCUAAGCUUGGAGCCUUUGAGCAUGGAAAUCAAACCCCGCAAUAUUCCUUGACAGAGAACCCAUCCCCAAUAUUAAGAUAAUUGGCCAUAUAAAAUUGAACAUAAUCCAACAUAUGCAAUGGCUUAUACUUCACGGGGUGGUCGUCGGUGGUAAGCUCGUCCGGUGCGCGUGUCACCCCUUUCAAGUAUGAAAAUAGUCCAAACGAGUAUCUUUCCUCAUUUUCCUUCAGAUUGACUCUAUGUUUACAAGAUGGUAUUCUGUCAUUGCUCCAAACCUAGGCAAGAAAAAGCAUAGAUUAUAGUUGAUCACUAGAAAUAGAACCCCUUUUAGUCUAUGACAGCCUCAUUUAUAUCCAUGAAACAGAAUGAUUAAUGGAAGCGUAUAGUGGCAUACCUGAAAUCCAUCAGAUGCGAAUAGGAAGGAUGAAGGCAAAGGAUCAAAACCAAUCCAUUUGUUAUCUUUUGUAUAUAUCUCAAGACCUUUGACAUGAUUUUGGUGGAGUAUGGAAGUUAAAGUCUUGUCUGUAUGCACGGAUAGACCCUGUCCAGUUCCCAUUUUCUCUGGUUUCUUAUAUUUCAUAAAGCGGAAAGUGGACACAAUCGAUUGAACGUGAUCGUCAAGGUAUUUUUCUACAUUGUAGUUUUCGAAUACCAUUCUUGUAACCACUUGAUUUAGACCUAGUUUGGGAGUGAGGUGCUUAAAAAAAAAGCACCUAUGAAAAAAAGCUGUGAGGGUUUUAAGUGUUUGGUAAACUGAAAAAAAAUGGCUUAUUUUGGAAGCUGCUGUGAGAAUAAGCUGAAAUCAAAGGAAAAAGCUGAAGCUGCUAUUUGUAGCUUUGGAAAACUGGUUUUUUUUCAAAGCACACGGAACUACAGUGCUCUUUUAAUGAAAAGACCCACUAUCAAACUGCUUUUUUUUCCAAAAGCAUUUUUACAAAAAAGUUUACCAAACGCUCUGCUGAUUUAUUUCACAGCCGCUUAUUCUCACAGCACAGCCGCUUAUUCUCACAGCAGUUUUUUUUCAAAGCACAGCAAUACCAAACCAGCCCUUAGUUCUGCCAUCACUUUUCUAUACGCAUCAGCAGUCUUACUAGACAAAAGAACAAUGUGAAAGGUGAGUCGAUAUAUCCCAAACUCAAUCAUUUAUCAAAUAUAUACUAAACCAUACCGAUAUUGAUCAUUUCCAUUAGGCCAAAAAUGAUGUUCGAAUACGCGCGAUUUUUCACUGUCUGUACCAGUUGCCAAGCUUUCAUGGAAAGGCCCCGUUAAAUGACCAUCAAGUAUAGGUUUUUCCUGCGGAUUUUGCACUUUAGUUUCAAUUGGGAAAUCAAACAGCUCUUUUAAUGUCCCAAACAUGCUAUCGUGAAGCUCAGGUGAAACUUUGUUGGGCAGGACUGCCAUGAAACAGCCAAACUCUUCGAGUGCGCGGCAAACAUUCCCACGUACUGAGAGCCAAGAACUUGUCCCUGGCUUCAAGCAAUCCUCUUGGGAGAAAUCUACUACUGGAAUUUUGGGUACCGUUUGGGUAACACUUGUGACAUUCAUCUUUGUCUUUUCACAAGUUAAGAGGUUUUGAGGACUCUAUGGAUAUUGAACUAGAAGCUGUAAGUUCUCAACCGAUUAAACUGAUAUUUAUAGAGUAGUUAAUUAUAAAUGGAAUAUCAGCUUUAGUAAUUUUUCUUUUGGCAUAAAUCAAUUAAACCCAUUACAAUCCCACAAGGAUCCACAUCGUAUUUGUUAUUUAGUUGUUUGGAUCUUUAUUCCCGUGCAUGAAUAUGUAGUUGUUAGAUUUUGUUAUCCAUCACUUACUGCAUACAUUAAUAUCAUUUUAUAAUAUAUAUAUAUAUAUAUAGACACACACUACUUUAUUUUAAAUAAAAUAAAGGUCGCUACCCAACCUUUAUUUUAUUUAAAAUUCUAAUGUAUUCAAAUCUCUUUUAAAACUUAAAUUCUAGUUUGCAUUGUAUGUAGAAAUUUACGGCUCGUUUGGAAGUAUUUUUAAAAUGACUGAAAACGUUUCUGAUGAGAGUAUUUUUAGAAUCAAUCAUUAGUAAAAAUGCAAGUGAAUCUUGAAAAAGCACUUGAAGUGCUUCUUGCAAGACCAAAAAAACUUCCACCAAGAGCGCCUUCGGUAAUUUAAUAGUACUUUGAGACAAGUCUUUAUAAUUUACAAAAUUUGAUAUGUUUGGAGAAUAUUCAACAAAAAAAAAAAAUGUGUCCAGAAAUAAUAUAUGGGAACUUUAACAAAAAGCUCCCGGUACUGUUCACUUUAACGAAAAACCAUAUUUUUACACUAAAAAGUCAAUCUUGGUACUAUUCACUUUACCCUUUAUUUUGUCCUUAUCAUUAAAACUCAAAGUUUUCAAGCCCUUUUCAUUAGUUUUCCUAUAAUAUAUCAAAGACACACCAAUUUUUUAAUUUUUUAAUUUUAUGUAUAUAUCAAACUAUAAUUACAAAAAUGUAGAAACUCCUAUACUACAAGAAGUUUGCCAAAUAUUUUUCUUUUUGUAAGUUGGUUGUAACCACCAUGGACCAACUUCUUUUUGUAUGUAAUUAUUUCUCACAACCCUAGCUAAUCAAUCACCACAGUCCAGUGGCAAUCGGGUAAUACCCCAGCGAAAUAUGGGCAUUCUCGAACAUCCGCAAUAAUUAAUUAAAACAUUCAAUGACAAAUCAGCAGCCGCAGGCUGACCAUAUACUUUCUUCCCUUUUCUUUCUCUCGUAACCUUUGCAUUGAAUUCCUCUUGGCCUCUUAGCUGCUGGAUAUAUAUAUAAACAGACUUUGGAAGAGAAAUCGAAAGAGGUGGGAUCGGAUGAGAGAGAGAGAAAAGAGAGAAAUUUAAACAAAAAUAGGCAAAUAUCGAUCAAAAUUUGAAUCACAAAGAAAAAAAAUAUCGAAAGCAAAUGGAGGGGUUACAACGUUGUAGAUAUUGGUUUAAUGGAGUUUCUCUCUUUUUCCAUCCUUUGAGGUUAGUACUAUUGAUCCUUGUGUGUUUUGGAAACGUAGGUGCAGCGUUCUAUAACCUGACCACCAUCCCCUUCGACCAAGGCUAUAUCCCUCUCUUCGGCGACGGCAACCUUGUCCGCUCCCCCGACGGAAAAGGUGUUCGUCUCCUCCUUGAUCGCUUCACAGGUUCGUUCUUUCUUUCUUUCGUUCAUUUGUAUUUUGUGUGUACGCGCACAGAGAGGCUGUAUUAAUAGUUUUAUCAUUUACGAUUCAUAGUUUGGAAUUCUCUAAUUGUCUCUUGAAAUACUCUCUUUUAUUCAUACUAAUUAAUUCUUUAUUUUAAAUUAAUGAAGGUUCUGGCUUCAUCUCCUCCAAUCUUUACAACCAUGGUUUCUUCAGCGCUAACAUUAAGUUGCCAUCCGAUUACACUGCCGGUAUCUGUGUUGCUUUUUACGUAAGUUUUCUUAUUAUUUCUACGUAACACAAGCAUAUAUAUGGUAAAUUAAUUUGAAACGACCUUUUUUCUUACGUAAAAUGAUCCGUUUUUAGUUGGGAGGAAAUGAAGGGAGAUUCGUUGAUAUUUUCUAAAUAAGUAGAUGUAAUUAUAAUUUGUUUCUAAAUUUGUGUGGCUGCGAUGACCAAACAAACAGACAUCAAACGCGGACGUAUUCGAAAAGAGCCACGAUGAGUUGGACAUAGAAUUCUUAGGGAACACAGAAGGGAAGCCAUGGAGAUUCCAAACCAACAUCUACGGAAAUGGCAGCACCAACCGCGGCCGCGAAGAGCGUUACCGCCUCUGGUUCGACCCUACCAAAGACUUCCACCGCUACAGCAUCCUUUGGACCCCCGAAAAAAUCAUGUAUGUCCUAUCGAUCCUUUUCUUUUUCAAUUCUCAUCUAAUCAAGUAUUAAUUUCAUUUUCCUCUUAGUUUUGUUUUGUUGUUUUUCCUCUCUAGAGAAAUGUUUUUAACAUUUGUUUUUAAUUUCCUUCUGUUCAUGUUCAUUGCUGUUUGUUGAUUUUUAUUUUUAUUUUUUAUUUAAUUCAAUUCAAUAGUUAAAAAUAAACAAGAAUGCGUAGAAAGAUGAAAAGAAUGUUUUGAGAAAGUUUUAGUAUACCUAUGGAUCAAGAUGAUUCUUGUUGUUAACGCUGGUAGGCAAUACGCAUGCUUUGUAGACUUUGUUGUAUGCUUUAUUUGACCUCACGGGAGGCCAUACACACUUUGAGAUUGCGUAUGGGUUGCUUCUGCUUACUAGUCGAUAAAAAUACGUCUCUAUUUUCGACCUAAAAACAUCACAUAAAUUAUAAAUGAUAUAGAGUUCCAAAAAAAAAAAUUAUAAAUGAUAUAUCUCCUUCUUGUGACAAAGUCCAACAUGUUGUGUCUGUACCAGAUUAACCUAUGAAUUUAAUCAAUUAAAUGAUUGGUAAUGUAGAAUUAUAUAAUGAAUUAAAGGUAUGGACUAAAAUUUAAUAGCAAGAUAAUGUCACAAAUUUAUUGAUUAAAAAAACGUCACAUACUGAAAGUGACAUUUCUUAUGUGUGAUGCACACAAUACUUUAUGUCAUGUCAGGAGUAUAUAUAUGAACUGAAAGAUGUUAUUCUACAAAGUCACUGUGUAACGUUAAUGUACGACAUUGAUGUAUUAGUAUUUGAAAACAAUUGUAACAAAAUUGGACUAUAUAUAAAGAAAUAUGAUAAACACACACUAAAUUUGUUUAAUUAUGGUCGUUCUCUUAGCUUGAUUUAUUCGAUAUAAUAGUCAUAAAUAAAUAAAAUACGUGAUAGGUUAAACAGAUUGCUUGAAAAUUAGGUUCUUAUAUACAAUAAGUUAUAAAAAUAAAAUAAAAAGACCAGCUAGUUGCUUCACCACGAAGAUCCAAUUUUUUGGAGGCUGAAAAGACUCGCAAAGACAUUUCAGUAUCUCUUUGGCCACUAUUGUGUGAUUCGCAAGCCCCAAAAAUCGAACUUUGAAUGUACAGUGUGGAAUAUGAGCUUGAAAUUCGUUUCCCACUAUUGAGUCACUGCGUAGUGGUUAAUAAGUUAUAAAAUUAUUGAGUUAAAGAAAGAAAGCGGGUGAGAAAAAACAUCCUAUAUUUAAAAAAUGGGAGACCAUAUUUUGUUAGGCUACCAAACUAACGAAUGCACCCACCAUUGAGCAUCAUUGCCUGCCUACUUACAUAUUUCAAUAUCUACGCAUUUUUAAAAUUGUCUUCUUAUAGUAGUUAUUGACGUAGAAAUUGAAAUGGUAAUAUAUAAUUUAUUUUUAAUUUUUCUUCCCAUUAUAAUUGUGAUUAAAUAUACGACUGAAAAUUUUACGUUCAGAUUCUACGUGGAUGAAGUUCCAAUUAGAGAGGUGGUGCGAAAUGAAGAAAUGGGUGCUGACUAUCCUUCAAAGCCAAUGUCGUUGUAUACGACUAUAUGGGAUGCAAGCAGUUGGGCUACGUCCGGUGGGAAAUACAAGGUGAAUUACAAAUAUGCCCCCUUCGUGGCAGAGUUCAAAGACCUAGCCCUAGAGGGCUGCCCUGCCGACCCAAUCCAGCAAAUCCCUCCUGCUGAAGCGUGUGCGGAACAUUACACCCACCUCGCCACCCAAGACUACUCCGUCAUUUCGCCUCAGCGGCGAGCUGCCAUGAGCAGGUUUCGGCAGCGUUACAUGUACUACUCAUAUUGCUAUGAUUCGCUGCGUUACCCAGUGCCACCACCCGAGUGCGUUACCGUUCCUGCCGAGAAGGCACGCUUCAAGGACACUGGCAGGUUGAAGUUUGGCGGCAGCCACAAACGACAGUCCAAGCGGAAGUCCCACAAACGCAACCGAGCAGUCCCUAACUCCGACAACGCUGCAGACAUAUGAUGAUGGUACAUGGAUCACACAGUUCAAUUUUUUUUCAGAUAUUAUUUGCGAUUCAAUUCAUACAUCUCAUGCAUGUAAAUUCAACCCUAGCUUGUACUAGUGUACCAUACUCCAUACGUUUGUACAUCACACACUAUUGUUCUCACUCCAAUGUAAGUUCAACCCUUGAUGUGUUAUUAUUGAUCAUUAGUUUUCCAUUCUGUUGGAUGGAUCAUUAUAUGCAUUCCUUUUUUUUUUAUGUUUUGCCUCGUUGAAAUCUUGUCCGGAAUUUAAAUCCCCAAAGAGUGCUAUCCUUAAGUAGACAAUUGUUAUAUCUCGAGGUUCCUCGAACCAGGUACGAAUUUAUAUAUAACCCAUGUUCCAGUGUGCAACUCCAUUAGCACGUUCUCAUGCAUGUAUGAGAAAAUAUGAAUGAGUAAAAUGAGUUAUCGAGGAAUUAAACUGGAUAAUGGAAUGACGCCUUCGGUUUGAACCUCAAAUUCAAAUAUGAAACAUUCCUAGAGGAGGUUCAAGUUGAAUUUAGAUGGACAAAAUAAAUCAAGGGAACUGGAUUAAUACUGCCUGAAAGAGGACUGAUAGCACAGAAAGGAGAGAGAGAUUGUGAUUUUCGUUAAAGAUACGUGGGAUUUUUUAUGCAGUGCUUUGUGAUGUCCUACAGAAAAAGUGAGUUUUCCGUCUUCUCCAUAAGCCCCUUAGCUUCACUAUAUAGAUGAGCUAAGCCCACCCAGAAGCUGAAGAACAGACCUACAAGCAAGCGGCUUCACUUUGGUUUCACACUGUAUCUUGUUCUACAGACGGAAACAUCAAUUCCAAUCAAGUUUGUCAUCAUGAUUGUUAUGGGUGCUAUCAUCAGAGACAUCCAUUUGAAGUUAUAGAGAUCAACAAACUCAUCAUAUGAAUUGUUGAUGCACAAAAUCUGGAGGAGAUAUUGGACCAAUGUAAAUUCGGUCGUGAAUCACACAAAUGCACAAGAACACAAAGAUGUAUCGUGGUUCAACUUAAUGUUUGGGCUACGUCCACACUGAUGUUGAUUCUGAUUCACUAUAUGAAUGUAUGGAUUACAAUAGAUCGGCAAGGGAGCUCUCUGUGGAUGCAACCCUUGCCAUUUUGCUCUCUGUUUGGCUAAGAGGGUAUUGCCCUCUAUUGUUGUGAGGGUUGAGACUCUGUUUUCUUUAUGUGAAGGUCAGGCUCCCUUAAUGAGGGUGAAAGAGAGUCCCUUUUAUAGAAUAAGGGCUCCCUCCCCUUUUACAUAAAUUAUGGACUUAGGGAUGAGGCCCAAAGACAAGGCCCAAUACUCAGGUCCGCUUGUCAGGUUAGACAAGAGAUCAUUGUUCGAACUAAAUAUUUGUCACCAUAAGCAUGUGGCUCAGUGAUCCAUAGGCUGAUCAAUAGUGUCGGUAGGCUUUUUUAAUCAGCAACAAUGUCGAUCAGUGGAUCUAGUUGCUCAAUAAUUCCUGACAAUAAAUGACAGUAUAAGUAUGACCAUAUAAUGAAUAAAUCAAAUUAACAAAGUUUGUCAAGGCAAAACAUUGUAUCAUGUGCCUACUACAGAUGAAUAAUUUAUUCAGUUGUGUGGUAAAUCACAUGUUGUACAAGUGACAUAAUUUAAUGGCAGUCACAAUACUCUAGGCCAAUAAAUAUUGUAUGAUAAAGUUUUUAUCCUACCACUUUAGAUAAUGAAGUGAGGAAUGAUUAAAGAUGUAAUAAUAAAAUAUUAAUUAAUAAAAUAAUUGUAAGGAAGAUUGCAGACAAGCGUUUGUAAAGUAUAUGCACAUUGUAAAGCAAAUCAAACUAGGAACGCACUAUAUAGGUGUGAUAGAAAUGAUGUGGCCUCAUGUUAAAGAAUAUACACACAGAUGUAAAGCAAAAGGAUCUUAUCAAAAUAAUAAUAAAGUAAUAAAAUAAUAACAAAAAGAAUCUUAUCUUGUUCCCAUGGCUUUUUUCAGAAAAUGGGCAGGGAACAUGCACCCCCCUUCAUGAUGAAAGUUUUAUCUUUUUCAAAAUGUUGAUGGUCGACAGUUGCAAGUUGUGAUAAUAAAGUUCUUAUCUUCUCUGUUCGUCCAUCAUUGCUCUAACAGUGGAACUGUGAGCGGAGACCUUAGCCAAAGUAUAAACCUUUUUGUCUCCAGCCAUUGUCGUCGAAGGAGAGCUAGAGGCCAGUCUGAAACCCAAAAGCUAUUUUCCCUUCCUCUCAAGUAGCUGGCCAACAUUUGUUAGUCAUGCAAUCUCCGGGUCAGGCAUCCAGGGUGUCCUAGGCGGUGGUCUUUCUCUUGUCGCCAUUUUUGAACCUGGCGAGGUACCGAUGGUAAUUAUCAUUCAUCUUCAAGUAGAAGACCUUGGACUCUCCGGUGGUAGCCGAAGGAACAAGGUGCGACCGCAGGAGCUCUAGGAUUCCGGCGUAGAUGGCGGAGAGCUCGGUUUCUACCUUGGAUCUGUACUGCUUGAUGAGCGCCACAUGCUCCUCGUUGUGGCGGCCUUCAUCCUUCUGCUCAAUUGACGAGAUUAUGCGCCAGGCGGCGCGGAACGAGCCGAUGACGUUCUUGAAGGCGACGCUAAGCAGGUUGUGCUCCUUCACCGUAAGCUCGAUCCCGACGGUGAUGGAGUCGACGACAAGCUUCUUCAUGAAGCUCACAAUCUCCUCGUACCGCUCGACCUGCUCGGCGAGCUUCGCCAUGUACACGUACUGUUCUCUGCUGAGGUUUUCAGGGACAACGGAAGCCAUUGGAGCAGGUGAGCUGAGAAGUAGAAAUCCUGAGUAGAGCUCUUCUGACUCUGGAGUCAGUGGCCUCAUAAAUCCCCAUUUGGAUCCUCAUUAGCUCACCCACCAUCAUGGCCCACCUAGGCUUUCCUAGACCUGACCCGACCCCAGACCCGGCUGACUCAUGACUCUUCUUGGAGCCGGAGCCCGGUGAUUUGAGACCCAAUGCUUUCUUCAUCUUUCUGGCAGCUGUGGAAGUGAGCAAUCUCUGCAGCGCGGGGGAGUCUUUGAGGGAGUUGGCGUGUUGGGUUGACGAGUCAGCGGAUGAGGGUGUGAAAGUCAAGGCUUUUCCGGUGGAUAUCGUGGGCGGUGAGUCGAAGGUCCGAGUUGCUGAGUUGGGCCGAAAUGGCGGAUGAUGUGGUGGUGGUAAAUGGUGGCUGGGGUAAGGUGAUACCUCUUUUGGAUUAGCCCAGCGAAGAGACGUCUUUGAAGAGGUGAGCCAUAGAGGCAAAUAUAGGGGAAGAGAGGAAGAGAUGACGGAGAGCGAGCGUUAGAGAGUUUUCAUUUCUGCAUUUUUUAGAGAUGGGUUUUGCAGUGACUUUGGUUCCUGGGUUUCUGCUGAUUCACGGUGGAUAUUGUGGUGAGGUUUCACAGUGGUGAGAUGAAAAAAAAUGAAAGAGAACCGACAUAACUUUUCGUGUCGUUUCCCACAAACGGCGCCAAAUGUUGAUGCACAAAAUCCGGAGGAUCUUGGACCAAUGUAAAUUCGGCCGUGAAUCACACAAAUGCACAAGAACACAAAGAUGUAUCGUGAUUUACCCUAAUGUUUGGGCUACGUCCACACUGAUGUUGAUUCUGAUUCACUAUAUGAAUGUAUGGAUUACAAUAGAUCGGUAAUGGAGCUCUCUGUGGAUGCAUCCCUUGCCAUUUUGCUCUCUGUUUGGCUGAGAAUGUAUUGCCCUCUAUUGUUGUGAGGGUUGAGACUCUAUUUUCUUUCUGUGAAGGUCAGGCUCCCUUAAUGAGAGUGAGGGAGAGUCCCUUUUAUAGAAUAAGGGCUCCCUCCCCUUUUACAUAAAUCAUGGACUUAGGGAUGAGGCCCAAAGACGAGGCCCAAAGACAAGGCCUAAUAUAUGGUACCAACAUGAAUCAUCAUCACCUCCAUAUUUUGACGUCAAAGUGAAAGAAGUCUCAGUCACUACAAUCCGCGUUCAGAAGCUUAAAACAACGACAUCUCGUUCCGGCUUCAGAAAUUUAAUACAAUUACGAUCUAACCAUCGAGAUGGCGAUUAUAUUAAAUACAUUUAAGUCUUGUAAGUUCUUCGUUAAAGUGAGACUUUAAUUUGAGUUUCAAUAUGAUACUUUAGUCAAAGUGACUUAAAAUUUUAAUUUUAUUCAACCAGAAAAAUAGUAUUUAAGUUUUGACUCCAACCAUCUCUAAUACACGAGAAAAACUUGUAUGAAUUUUAACUUGAUGCAGGACAAUGUUAGACGACACUACUAGCCACUCUAAACUUGCCACUUGUUCAAAUUUAAGCACUAUAACACAACUUGAGGAAAAGAACUCCUCCACCCAUCCUCUAUAGCACGGUUUCCAAAAUCCUUCUGAAGUUUCACUUGCUGAACUCCAAUUUUUGUUAUCAGCCAUUUUCAUUUUGACUAAUCUUCUCUGUAUUUGUUUCAAUUUUAUUGGAUGUCACCGAAGGGACAUUUUGACUAUAAUUCGAAGUUUGCACUUAGUUUUUUUUUGUUUGAUCAGUCAUUUUCAAAUUUGUAAUCUCCGUCAGAUGAGCACAAGGAUUUACCAACUGUUCAUGUAUAAUUGACUUUAAUUUGUAAUCUCCGCUUUGGUUUUUGCUUUCUUUUUUCUUCCAAGUAUUUUAUUCUAUUACUUUUUGUUUUACCAAAUCAAAACUCUGUUUAGGAGUAAAUGUUGAAAUAUCAAGGAGAUAUUCUUGUGUGCGGACUCUCCUAUGAGAUAGAGCACUAAAAGGGAAUGGGGGAAGACGGGUACAAAGAGUCCACCUACUAGAUGUAAGUCGGGGUUGUUUGGUUCCCUUCUCUCAAUACAAAUAAAUUAGAUUUUUUUCGUAUUUCUAAAUUCUUGAGUUUGAAACUUUUUUUAAGUGUAAUUUUAUCUAAGUCUUACAUGUCAAAACAAAUAAUUUUAAAAUUUUUUUUUUUUUUAACUAUAUAGAUGUUAAGACAGAUUUUUUUUUUUAGGUGCCAUAUUUUUUUGUAAAAAAUCUAAGGACUGGCCUGCCAUUUUUGGUGCCAUAUAUUGAAUAUAGAUUUCACAAAAAUCCCUUAAUUUUGAUAUCUUGAAGGGAAAAGGAUUGGAUCCUUUUCCUGGGGAUCCAGAAAUCAUGUAUAUUCAUCAUACAUCAUGUGGUCAGAAAUCAUUUAAAAUUUAAAAUUAAAUAUAAAUAAUAUCUAAAAAAAACUAACCGUACGAUGUACGAUGAACGGACAUGAUUUCUGAAUCAUCCGGAUAAGGAUCCUUCUCCUUCUUGAAGAGCCAUAUCCUUCUUGAAGACCCAUAUCCUCGUUAUGGGCCUGGGUGGCUAGUACAUAGGAGCAAGUCUAGUGGAAACGACAUGGGUUAGGGGUUGGAGGUUUUAUUUGACCUCUCAAAGUAUCAUUAUUUAUGAAAUUCAGCCAUCUCACAAUUUUGUUGCUCUAACGAUAUGAGAGAUUAGAGGUUAAAAAGUGUUGGGUGACUAAUUUUCAUUAGCUACCGGUUUGUUCCUAAGUUGACCCUUCAAGGGCAAUCGGCAAGAUUCGGGGCUAAACUGGCUCCUUGGAGGGCCCUGGGCGAGUUUAGCAUAAACUAGAUAUGUCCCAUUAAAAAUUGAAUUUUAUCAUGUACAGCAUUUUUACCUAAACUAGCUUGCAUGCAUUAGAUAUGCUCGACACACCAAGCUGGCGCACAAGAGAUUUUGUGUUACAGGUAACAAAUGCUAUACAUCUUGAAUUUGGCAUUUUACUUUAAUGAAAUUUUUCAUAAAAAUGGUUUGGUAAUGAAACGAGUAUAUGAACCAACAUGAACGCACCUCGGGGACGCCUCCGAAAAUUGGAACGACAGUAACAAAUAGGAUCAUGUUUACCAAACUCGAAGCUGGUCAUCGAUGCUAUAAAAGGUGUUUGUUCUACUCCUUGGCGUCUGAGGAACAUUUUAGAAGAUAUCAUACGGUUGGCUUCAGCUUUUGAUGUGAUCACUUGGAACCACGUCUAUAAGAAAGACUUUGUUAUUUGACUGUAUUGAUACUGAUUGUAAUAUGAGUGACUUUAUCUAAUGUUAUUCAUUUGGAUAAUGCUAGGGAUAUCAAAAUAUUAAACUAAAUUUGUAAACCAAAUGAUGUGUUACUAAUAUCAAAUAAGCACAUUAAUCAAUAUUUAACUAGUAAUCCAAUGACCAACCAUUACAUCAUUUGAUUUAUAAAUUUAGUUUAAAAGUUUUUAUCUCCUUAGUAUUACCCUAUAUUUUCCUAAAAGAAACUGGAAUUUCCAAAAAUCUAAAAAAAAAAAAAAAAAAAAAAAAAAAAAAAAAAAAAAAAAAAAAAAAAAAAAAAAAAAAAAAGAGAGGCUGUCAUCAUAAAAGCAAUGGUUUAGUCAAAGUUGCCAAUGCUGAAGUUUAUGGGUGUUUUGCCUUUUUCAACAGAUGCUGACUUUUCUCUAUCAAUAGUGCGGGGGCUCACUGUUUGAUGUCCUAUGUAUGACUCUAAAUGGUUCAUAUUUUCAAUAAAAUUUAAUGCUCUCGCACCGUUCACACACUGUCGGUGUAGAGAAAUUAGUGUCCGGCGUCUGGACCACUAGAAACCUACAGCUUAGCGAGCAUUAUUGUUCACCGUCAUAAAUUAUGAUGCAUGCUUAUUAUAUACUUAUUCUUCUAUUAUGUGUCAUUCGUUUAAUUUUUGAUAACGUGAAAUUACAGAUAGUUAGAUAUAUGGUGAACUUGGGCUAUAGGAUGACGGUGAGCAAAUAUACUCUCUACGGAUACACUAGAAAAUCUCCCAUGACCCACCACCCAUCACUGCCCUAAUUUUUGAACCCUCCCACCUUUCUUUCGGUUUUGGCCGGUGCCUGGACAAAAGACCUUCUUGUCAGUAUGGUUCACAAGGUGCAGGCAAAUUGUUAAAAUAAAGGUCAAACUUUCGUGAAACCGUGCUAUUCAGAUCUUGGUUCUGUGGUCUGUAAUAGAGUGCAGUACUUGGUCGUCUCCUUUGUGUUUAAAAAUAAAGAGUGAUGUUGGUGAUGAAUUUCAGGUUCGUUCUUUAUACGAUAUGUUCUAAAUUUAAUUCUUAACGCUGGUGAAUAGCACAAUGGUGGUUAGGGGAGACUGAAAUAUUUAUAUGAGUCUUUCCGGUCCUCGAAUAGUGAACUACCGUGGCGAAGCCACUAGUUGGUCUCCUUUUGAAAAAAUAUAACAAGGAAGACCAAAUUUGUAAACUUAAUUUUGUAAACUUAAUGACAUGGAAGUCCACGAUUUGAUUAUUACUUAAAUGUCGAUUACCGUACUUAUUAUUUACUGAUGACACAUCAUUUAAUUUACAAAUUUAGUCUACCUUGCAUUAAUCAAAAGUCCUCAUAUGUGGCUUUUUUUGGAACUAUACUAGUUUAUUAAUAUUUUGACAAAAGAUGUAACCAUUAUGUGGGAAUUAAGAUCCUCUCCGAACUUUUUUGUCUAGAGUCAACGCAUCCGGAUAUCCGGACCACUCAUUUUAAAUCAUGCGGUUCUCAUUAAUCUAUUUUACUAACCCACCUCACACAAGUCAAGAGUCUGAAUCUUUUUUUUCUCUCUUCAACCACUCGAAUCUUUGAAUCCUUGAGCUCUGAACACAGAGAUCCGAAGAUGAUCUAGACUCAUUCAUUGAUGAGCAUUGAUGAGCGAAGUCACUUUCAAAUAAUAAUACAAUUCUUAAUUGCUUGAAAAAAUGGGUCAAAAUUAUUGUUCGUCCAUGCAAGUUGAACAUUAUUUUGUGUGAUCGAUUAGGGGAAAGUCCACUGUUUAACCACGUAACACAGUUCAUGUAUAUAUAGAUAGAUCCAUCAUCACUCAGAACUCACAAAAGAUAAAGCCUCUCCUGCCCCUCGUAGGCCAACAGAACAAUGGCCAAAAUUCCAGUGGUAGAUUUCUCGAAAGAUGACUGCUUGAAGCCGGGGACAAGUUCUUGGCUCUCGGCACGCAAAGACGUUUGCCGUGCACUGGAAGAUAUCGGCUGUUUCACGGCAAUUCUUCCCAACAAAGUUCCAAAGGAACUUGCCAACACCUUCUUCUCUACAUUUGACGACUUGUUUGAUUUUCCAACCAGUACUCCUGAAAAGCCUUUCUUCUAUGCAACUUCUAAUUCCGGGCAACGAACCUACGGGAUCAUCAACGGCACAAACCCUCAAGAUGUUCAACAAUUCACACAUCUCAUUUGGCCCGAUGGAAAUGAUCAAUUUAGGUAUGAUCGAUCACUUCUGCAUUUCUCAAACAUAUAGAUCUUAAUACAUACAUACAUACAUACAUAUUAUAUUGAUCAUAUACAUCAAUUUAUACAAAUAAUAUGUUCUUUGUUACCCAGUGAGAGUGCUGACUUUUAUGCAAAAGUGCUGUCGGAAUUAGAUCAAACUGUGACAAGAAUGGUGUUUGAAAACUACGGUGUAGAGAAGUACCACGACGAUCACGUUCGAUCGAUGUUUUACGAUUUGAGAAUGAUUAGAUACGAGAAACCCGAGAAACUUGAUAGUGAUGUAGGUUUAAAGAUUCAUACGGACAAGAACUUCUCCACCAUAAUCCAUCAAAACCAUAUCAACGGUCUGGAGAUAAAUACAAAGGAUGAUGAGUGGGUGCUUUUUGAUCCUCCACCUUCAUCCAUUAUAUUCAUAGCAGCUGACGGAUUUCAGGUAUGUCACAUAUUAUUUACCCUUUGAACACGAGUAAUUUGAUAACCGUUUCUUUUUUCCUUUUCCAUCUUUUAGUUAGUUUUGAGUUUUCAAAAUUUGGCUUUCCAUUUUUAUUUUUUUGACAAAUAUUUUAGCAAAGCAAAUUAAGUUUACUUGUUUUCGAUACGAGUAAUUUAUUUUUCAGCAAGGACGUUUGUGUUCUUUUAUUGGCUUAGGUUUGGAGCAAUGACAGAAUCCGACCUUGUAGACAUAUAGAGUGACCUUGACUGAAAAUGUCGUAAGAUACACAUUUGGUGUCUUCUCUGUCAAGAAAGGGGUGAUACGCGUACCAAAUGAGCUCGUGGACGAAGACCACCCGUUACUGUAUAAGCCUUUGAAUCAUGUUGAGUUCCUCAUGGCACAGAGACAUACUGGUGAAACUGAGUAUGCCGCAAAGGCAUAUUGUGCCAUUUGACAUUUUCUUUGGUCCAACGCUCCAAGUCAAUCCCGCUAUGGUUUUCUCUUUCUAUUUUCUUCCAUGUAUUUUAUUAUUCUACUUUUAUUUUUCUAAAACAGUACUAGGUUUAUGGGUAAAUGUUGAAAUAACAAGGAGAUAUUCUUGUGUGCGGAUUCUCCUAUGAGACAUAGAACUCAAGGGGAAGGAGGGAAGACAGAGUACAAGGGGUCCACCUAUUGGAUGAACGCCGGUGAGACUCUCUCAGUAGCGGAGCCAAUGUUGGGGUCACUGGUUGCCCAUGACCCCAACAGCUUCAAAAUUCCUAUAUACAUUUGAAUCUGUAUUUGUAUUUCACCCCUAUAAAUAGUUAUGGCAAACUAAAUCAUAACAACCUCCUCCUACUAAUUAUGUUUUCUUUUGUCAUCCAUAUUUUCCUUUUCUCUUGUCUUGCGUGCCACUUUAUUGUGCGAACCAAUUGCUCGACAAAUGUCUCAGUUGACAACCUUAGCAGUCUUCAACAUCACUCGAUAGUUUCGUAUAGCUACCCUCGAUAAGCCUCUAUUGAUCAUAGUAGUUGUCGAUAUAGGUAAGUGUAAGCUUUUGGCAAAUGUCGGCAAUAAUCGACAAGUGCCCAUCAGGUGCUCGAUGAACUGGUCCAUUGAAGUUUUUUUGUCGAAAUUAUGAUCUCAUUAUUUGAAAAUCUUAACCCCGCCAUUAGACCCUCCAAUAAGUCUUUUGAUAUUGUCUCUGUAUCAAUGGAUUCUCAUUUGCCAUACAUAACUAAGAAGUAAGGCCAUGGCUUCAAUAGGGCACACAUCCAUCUAUUAAAUAGCCAAAGGCCGUAAAUGAUCAAAUAAUGGCCUUGCGCUUGAUUCAACCUGAAAGAAAGGUAGCCACUCUAAGAGCAACUUCACCGUUGCUCAUUGCAUUGGGGUUAGGCAACCCAAUCCACUCCCUCCCCUUUCCCCAAAACACUCAAAUUCACUCAGGCAAUUGGGCUUAAGAUGAGUUCGAUGGAGAAGUCGAGCAAUAAGAGCACGUCCAGUGUGUAAAGGCUCCCCUUGGCAAUAGGCAAUUCAAUCCCCUUAAUUGAAUAGUAAAUGCCCUUAAUGAACAGUAAUUACCUAUUGUAUCUCCACAUAUACUAAAUAGCCUAUGCAAUUCACAUUAAAAUAUUAGUAUUUUUUAUUUUAGAAAACAAUAAAAAAUAAUUUUAUUUUUAAUUUCGGAUAUGAUUUUUAACCGAUCACGUCAUGCCACAUUUCAGUAUCCAAAAGUACGAUUUUUGUGGGUAAAUUUCGAUAAGAUUUUUAACCAAUUCUGUAGCACCUCAUGUCUUUACCUGUUUAGAAUCGUUGAAAAUAUUGAAAUGUGGUGUCUUUCAAUUGUGGCCCAAACCUUGGAAUAUCAUAGGGCGAUAAAAAUUGUAUUCCGAACUUAAUUAAUAUAUUUCAAAUUUUCCUAAGCAAUUUUUGGGCAUAUUUCAAGCAACCAAAGUCCUAGCCUGGAUUGGAGGAAUGUUGCUUAAGUCUUAGUAUUAGAUUAACCUAUACAAUUGCACCAUCGAACUUAAUAAUUAAAAAGUAUUGUUAUGUCCACCCACCUAUCUUAUUUUCUCACCCACUUUAUAAUUAAAGAAUAUAUGUGUGUGUGUAUAUAUAUAAAUAUAUAAUGGAUGAGAAAAUAAGACAAGUGAAUAAACAUAAUAACAAUCUAAUUGAAUAAGCGUAAGAAUAUUAACAAAUAAGACAAGUGAGUAAACAUAAUAACAAUCUAAUUGGCCGUAGGAGGCUUAUCCUUAUUUGCUCGGAUUCUUCCGUUGCGUUCCAAACCAUACAAUAUACCAAUCUCGCAAAAUGCGCCUAUAAAAUUGUCAAGUAUAUGAUUUCAAAACUUAUAAUUUCGAUUACAAAAUUAAGAGUGUUUGGAAAGUAAAAAUAGGCUGUGUCAUACUUACGAGGGUCGUUGAAAGUACUUGGUCAUAGAGAAAGAGCAACACCAGUGAGACCCCAAAUUUGAACAAAACCAAUUUUUAAACAUCCAAAUUAGUUUUAAUAAAAAUAAAAAUAAUAACUUAUUACUUAUGUUUAAUUUUUUAUGCUUGAACCCACAACAUUGCACAUUAUUGAAAACCAAAUUAUUGAAAAUGCAGGGAGAGCAUAAAGUUUAAGUGUUAAGCCACCCCAUUGCAUAUGGUCUAAAAGUGAUGAGAAAAAAUGAAAACCAUAUAAAACAAUGAUAAUGUUAUAAAUGUGAAUGACCCCAUCUAAUGAUAUUGAAUUCAUUCAUACUAGCGCAUCCAUUUGCCUAUAGAACCAAUUCAAACAAAUGUUUCAGACAUACGAGAGAGAAAUAGUAAGCCUCAACAACCAAUAUUCCAUGCUUUGAUAUUUUCCAUGAUAAAUCCAAAAUUAUUAUAUGAAACCAUCCACAUUAGAUUAGCAAUACACUCCAUUAGAUUAGCAAUACAAUGUAGCUAGCAAUACACUCCAUUAGAUUAGCAACACAAUCAAAACAGAAACAAUCAGAUUUUGUGUCUCAGACAUCCAAGGAAGGAAAAAAAGCAGCAUAAGCUCUCAAGCCCGGCGAAAGGCGAAAGCUCUUAGGCGGCCACUGCGAAUGUUCUUGAGAAACAAGCCUUUGGAUUUAUCAUCACAGACCAUAAAUUAUCAAAUUUAACAAAAUAAGACAAGAAAUGUAAAAAAGAAAGAACAAGGGCAUCAGUUCUCCAAGGUGAUUGAUAAAACAUCAAUGAAAUUCAGACGCAAAUUACCCAUAAAUACCAAUUUGAUUCAUCACCUGCCCACAUUCUUUUCAAGCAAAGAAAUAACAAAACGAGUGGGGUUGUGUGUGGGAGUGAAAUUUGAAGUGUGAAAAGCGAUGGAAUUUAGAAAGAAAGCGAUCGGAACCUGUCGGGAUUCACAGUAACAUCAAACUGUUACCAGUCAGUGGAUUGACAGACAUGAAUUUCUAUCGUCACCUCGCUUUCUUCGAUCAAACCCAGUUCCUAAAACAGCUAAAAAAUCAUAAAACAAACUAAAACAUGAAACCAAUAGAAUUAAAGGACGCUCAGAACUUCUUAGAGGGUUGUGACCGUCAUCGACGGAGCUCAAAAGCUGCCGCCUUUGGCACAAAGAGCUUCAUCAAGGCCAUCAUUACAGAGAAUUAAAUGGAAACACACAGAAAUUAGGAGUCAUGAAGGGAAACGGGGAUUGGGUGGAGGCGGGAUGUUGAAGCGGCUAUGGACUUGAAGGAGGAGGAGGAGGAGGUGAGCAGAUGCUUCAAUUUGGGGAGAGUUGUUGCGGAAGAGGCAAUUUAUGGACUCCAUGAGAAAACCCUAGUUUUGUAAACCCUAUGGGCUGAAACGUUGGGCUGCAUUGGGUACCAGGAUUAGGGUGCAGAAAUAAUUUUCUUGGGCUUUAACGGGCUGCUGCUUCAUGAAUAUUUUUGUUUUUACUUUCAAAUUUUCAUUUAUUUAUGGAGAAAAUUCAGCAAUCAGAUUCAAACUGUAUCUAAAGUCUUUUAAAAUUAAAUUAAAAUCAAAUCAAAUAAAACAAAAUACUUAUCAAGAAGUGUUGUUCCAUGACACCAUAUUUUCUACCCAAGUUUCAGACCGUUAGAUCGGUAGAGAUUGAAGCAUUACGGUUAAGGUUGCAGGCAUGGAGGAUUAAUUUUUUAUUCUUCAAAUAGUAAAGCAUAUUUAAUUAUUUUCUUCAGAUGAAAGUUUUUUAUUGGCUUUUUUACUAAUAUGUAAUUGGAAUGAAAGAAAUUGUAUUAAGGAGGAGAUGAAAUGAGGUGAAGCAAAAAAUUAGAGUCAUGUCGAAAUUUUUUACUUCAAUUUGUUGAGGCCCAAAAAAAAAAUAGUCAUGUCGAAGUUUUUUACUUCAAUUUGUUGAGGCCCAAAAAUGUUACACACCAACCCAACCAAUUUUCAAGGCCCAAUUUUCAUAUAAAACCUUCACUCAAGCCCAACACAUGCCAAUGUGCGGGAUCGAUAAGGAAAUAUAUGUACGAACAUGCCACACCACGAUAAUUAAAUUGGAUAUUUAUACAAAUCACGCAAUGCUCAUGCCUAUUCAUGACGCCAAGCUUCCUCGUGCUAGUCACUAUUCAUGCUAAGCCCAAAUCACAUGCUCGAAGCUUGCUAACUGAAUUGUGGUGCGGAUGGUUACAAAAGGUUAUUAGGCCUACCUAAAAUUGAGGUUAUGGAAGACUUUAGGCUGCUUGGGGGCCUAGGAUCCAAGCCAUAUCCUUUGCAUUUCAUGCAGGCAAGCAUUGAGAGAGAACUAGCCUAGUUUACCUCUUUCCCUAGCAAGCUAACCCUCUUAGUUAAGACUAAACUAGAUUCCUACAUUAAAUGUAUGCUAAACCCAGUAAGUCAGGCAUUUACUGUUAAUUUUCCCUUCCUAGCUUGCACAGAUAACCAACACGCAAAAGUCAUAAGACGCGUUACCAAAAGUAGUGUUUGCGAAAGGCUGGCCUGGGAAAGCCGCAUCUCAGGAAGAAGCAAGUUACAGGUUUUAACAAUGUAUUUACCUUACACCAAAAGGGAAACAGUUGGGGGGGUUAGAGAGAAAUGAAGGGGAAUACCAAGCCAAAAAGGGAGAUUCCUUUGAAGUCUAGAUAAUAACCCUUCAUUUACAAAAUGAGAGAGAGAAACCAUUAAAGGGGCAUAAAGAGAACGCAGAUAGACAAAGUCAAGAAGCACCACCCAUGAAGUAAACCUAGAAAGCUCCAUUUAGCCUAGAAACAUACUCCAAGCGUCAAGAAUCAUCAUCCAUGCUACCUUAGAAAUUCCUAGCCUUCUAUUAAAGAUCCCAACCAUUAGAAGCCUUGCUAUCACCCUAGGAAAGCCCAAAUCAUCCAGCCAAGAAUGUCAUGCAAUCAUACAUACCCCUUCUCUCUCAUGUUAAACCGGUAAUCUUUUAGCUUCCACACCACGGCCUUGGAUUCUAUAACCUACAGACAAGGUUAUGCCAAUUGUUGUGAAGUUCAAUAAUGAUUGUGUGCCGAACUUUAAAAGUAACAUGAAAGUAACACUUCACUUCGUCGAGAAAGCUAAUGAAGUGACCUAUUUUAGCAAAAGAAUCAAAGAAGAAACCAGGGCACAAGGCCAAACACUGUUUUCUCUCCAACACUUGACCCCAAUUGACAAUCAGCUAGUACUUUUUUUUUUUUGGUUGAAAGGUGGAUUCAUGGAAGAAACCAGGGCACAAGGCCAAACAAACAAACAGAAAGCUUGUCGGUCAACCAAGAAACCAUGAACACAAAGAUAAACAUGACAUAAGAAGACGCCUUCAAGAAGGACACCAGCAUCAUCCUAUCUACCCACAAGGAACCCCCCACCCUUACACUGGAGGACAUGAGAGACCGUCUUUGAUUGAUAGUCAGCUGGUACCUGAGGUCCUUAGAUUGAGAAAGACUUGUCAAGAGUUUUCGAUCACAUCAUUCGUUGGACAUCUCUCAUAAAAGCAUACAAACACUUGUAUCAUUAUCCCACUGAACUCUAAGUUAGAGUUAGUCUUAAAUUAUAAGCCAUAAGUAAACCAUUAGACUUGGUUUUAGGUCCUUUAGUAGAAAAACUUGUGUAGAAUCUCCAACCUUUCUAAUGAACAAUGUAAAUCCAUAUUUAUAUACCAUUUCCAACCGAAGAGGGCUAUUUUAGCCCUCUCAAUAAUUUAUUAUUUUAAGUUUGUUCUUUAUUUUUAUUGGUUAAUUGAUUUAAACUACCAUAUUAAAAUAAGGUUUUCGGACAUAUUUUGAGUGUCACUUAUCACUAAGUGAAUAAGCCUCCGGAUUUCUUAUUCUUUGGUUGAAGAUAUGGUCAUUUGAAAAAAUAUUGAAAAUUUUGAAUUUAGAUUAUUGGAAGAGGUAAGGGAGGGGUGUUUAUGAAAAGGAUGUGAGAAAUGAUGUAGAAAUCACUUAGGUAUUUAUAGGAAAAAAAAUUAUUUUUUUUUUAAAUUUCGGCCUUAAAAAACAAACAGGCUAUCUGAUUGGCUAAAAAUGCCCAGCAUGAUGGCCAAAGGGCUAAAGCUUGGCCUUGUGGGUCCCUUUUUUUUGGCUCAGCCCUCCAUUAGAGUUGAAUUUUGGAGCAUUUUGGGCUGGAUUUUAGCCUAUAACCUAUAGCCAUCUCCAAUGGAGAUAGCCUUACCAAACUCGAAGCUGGUCAUUGAUGCCAUAAAAGGAGUUUGUUCUACUCUUUGGCGUCUGAGGAACAUUUUAGAAGAUAUCAAAUGGUUGGCUUUGUGUUAAACCCCACCCUCGAAUUUAUAUGUAUUUUUAUAAUUUCCCAAAGUUUUAUUGAAUUUAUCAUUUUGGUUCCCUAGCUUGACUAAAUCUGGACCCUUUAUCUAGAUUCCUAAACUCCCUCAAAUUGCCACGUGGCAGCACCCUAACAAACCUUAUAUAUCUCUCUCUGUUCCCCCCGCCCUCGUGACUUCUUCUUCUUCUUCUUCUUCUUUAUGUUUAUGCUUUCUCUCCCUUCUCUAUUCUUUCCCUCUUUCAUCGAGACACACACACACACACACCCACUUGCACCCAGCUGCAUUCCCUGCUCGAGGAAGACACAACCAUCGUCAUCAUCAGAACCUCUGUAGUUCUCUCUAUCUCAUGUUGCUGUAGGAACGACGAAACCUCAGAAACCUCCAACGAGAAAAUCCGUCGAAGCUCGUACACAAACCCGACCAAUCUUGACCGCAUUUGAGUCUAUUUGUGGUAAAAUCUUGCUUCCCUUCUCUUUCAGCAUCAUUUUUAUGAUUUAACUUCCUAUUUUUACUUAGUUUUAGGUCCAAAUCGGAAUCGGGACGAAUCCCGAUCAAACCUUCUGGUGUUCUUCCUCGAUCACCUAGCAGGCCACCCGCGAGCCUUAACUUGUAUUUGGACAAGCCCAAAACCCUAAAACCCAACCCGUUUCCUCUUAUUUUCUACUAAUUGUUUUAAAGGCCCAAAGGUGCCUCAGACCUAUUUUAUUCAAGUGGGUUUAAGCCCAGCCCUUUUGAUUUUUAGGCCUGCGGGCCGAGUAUGUGGGUGUGUGCAUAUAUGGUGUGUGUGUGUGAGUGUGUGUGGUGCACAUGUAUAUGUGUGUGUUGUGCCGUGUGUGUGUGUGUGCUGGCGUGUGUGUAUGUGUGUUGUGUAGGUUUGGGCUUAAGCCCAAACCACCCUUUUUGUUCCUAAACUAUUCAAACCCAAAACCCAAUAGGUCCUAACCCUAUUUAACCUAAACCUAAACCCUAAUCCGGAUCCAAACCCAAGACCCAUUUCCAUUUCUUGAAAUUUUAUAAUUGGGUAGUAUGAUAAAUUGUACAUUUUUGUGCUUAGGUGAAGUUGCUAGCGGGGAUUUCCCUAAUCCUUUUCCGCACAAUUCUGCUGCUACGGAGUAUCUGUGAGUGGACCCCUUCUAAAAUUUGCAUAAUUUUAUAGUUUAAUUGCAUAAAUGAAUAGCAUGCCUUAUGAGUUUAUGAACUGAUUUUAUGUUAAGCAUGUUUAUGGAAUAUGUUGUUUAUCGUCUCGUUUUUUGUGAGGAAUUAAUUAUUAGCCUAUAUUGAGCUAUAGUUUGAUAUAUCGUAUUUUCUAUAAAAACCAUGAAUUGGUAGACUAUCUGAUGGAUGACGAUAGGAUGCUAGAACAUAUUUUAGAAACCCCUCUUUAUAGUAUAGAUGAUGGAUGACUUUAUACUAUGAAGUGGUUAUUUAUGAGAGGCAUAACUAUUUGUGCGUACCUAGUGGACACUAUGCUGCCUGGGGCGAGGAUCUGGUGUUGGCAGAUAAGCCGGGAGAAAUAAUCCCUAACUACGGGCUGAGGGACAUGGAGCAGGCAUUUGGCCAGGAGUUGGUAAUCUCUGGCUACAGGCGCAGAGACCACGGUGCUGGCAUAAGGUCGAGAGUUAUAUUUAUUCAAUGAUCUUACUGGCAGCACACCCCGCUUACGAGACGAUCUGUGAGACGAUUGAUGUUUUGAUUUCCGCGAUGUUUUUUCGCGAUAUGUCUUUUGAGAUAUUUUUGGCAUGCCAGGGUUUUCAGUAAACCUAUCACUUAUUAUGUUAGUAGUUUUCUUUAUAUAAACUUGGGGGUUAGUAUGUUGAUAACUGUUUUAUUAUAUAUAUAUAUAUAUAUAUAUAUAUAUAUAUAUAUAUAUAUAUAUAUAUAUAUAUAUAUAUAUAUAUAUCAACUUGGUCCACUCACCUUUGUUUUGCGCCCCCAUUCAGGACUUAGAAUUGAGGCAUACAAUCCCGGCGUCAAGGCACUUCCGCAGCGGCAUCUUCGAGUCCUCUUGGUGUAGGACCUACUCCUUUGUUCAUUCAAUUUUAUAUGAUUUCUUUUAGUAUUCUGGUUAGUUGUAUGCUUUGAACACGUUCCUUAAAUGUAUAUUCAUUAUUCUUUUAUAUUUCUAAGUCUUAUCUAUCCCUUGUUUGUAGCAUUUGCACUCAAUAAAUGGCUUUUGUCACCUUCGAGUGUCGGCCAGCACGUGCCUAUCCUAGUAUUAAGGGAAUAUCAGGAUCGGGGAGUGUCACUUUGGCUUUUGAUGAGAUCACUUGGAACCAUGUCUACAGUGAAGAGAAUUUUCUAGCAGAUGUUGUUACUAGUACGAGAUUUAUGUAUCAUAAUUUUCAUGUCUGAACAGAACCUUGCUGCCUCUAGCAAAAAACCUUUCAAAGUACCUCCAAAGGAGACGCCAAAUUCAAAACAUCAAUUUCAAUUUGAUGGCUGACUUGGUAAUUUGACAUAUUGUCAAGAUUUUCCUUCCACCCGAUAUGCCAAAAUUUACUUCUUCAUUUAUGUUUUUUUAAACAAAAUUAAUAAACGUUGGGUUGUUGUUGGUUUAAAAAUAAUAAAAUAAUACUUAAAUAUGUCAGCUUAACUUUCUUUUCCAUGUCAUCUUUGACAUCUCCAUUGAAGUAAAUGAUACGUCAUUUAUUACUGUUAUAUAUCUAUAUGAAAUUUUUAACAUUUCUUUUAAAGAUGGUCUUAGAAGUGACUUUAUCUAAUGUUAUUUCUCUCCUAUAAAAGGAAAUUGGAACUUCCAAAAAUUAAAAAGAAAAGAUAAAGCUUUCAUCAUAAAUGCAAUGUUUAGUCAAGUUGCCAAUGCUUAAGUUUAUGGGUUGUCUGCCUUAUUCAACAGAUGCUGACUUUUCUCCUUGAAUAGUGUGGCGGCUCACCAUUUGAUGCCCAGUGUAUAAAUAAAUAUAGUCCAUAUUGUCAAUAGACUUUUUAUUCAAAAUGAUGUCUGAGAUUUGCAUAACACAUUACCUUGGUCAUUGGGAUUGAAAAUCAAUAAAAAUGGUCUCUGAGAUUGUUCACCAUCCAUUAUUUUGGUCAUUCCGUUAAAAACUCCGUUAAAUGUCCAAGAGCUUUUGGUCGGAAGUUUGGGCAAUUUUCAAAGCUUUGUAACGCAGGCGUUUCUUAACCAAAUUCAACCCAUAAUAUAUCAAAAUGAAGAUAGGAAAGUGUAGAAUAAGAUGAUACCUAUUUGGAAGCCCAAUGGUUUCUGGAGAUGAUUGAAAAAUAGCCUGAACGUUAACUGGUCAGCAGAAAAAUUAUAAAACUCGCCAGAAACUGGGUAAAUUUAAACAUUCAUAACUUCUUCAAUACUUAGCGAAAUAGAGUGGUUCAAAAACAAAAAUCAUACUUCUCGACGAGACAAAGAGAAUGGUACCUUUGUUGAAGGCUAACUCGCCGUGCUUUGGCCGAAAAAAGGCUCGAAAGUGGAUGUCUUGGUCAUCGAGUUAGCCACUUUCGAGCCAUUUUUUUCGGCCAAACCACUGUGAUUUAGCCAUGAAGAAAGGUACCAUUCUCUUCGUCUCGUCGCGAAGUAUGAUUUUUAUUUUUGAAUCAAUCAAUUUCGUUGAGUAUUGAAGAAGUUAUGAAUGUUUCAAGUUUACCCAGUUUCCAGCGAGUUUUCCAGUUUUUCCACAGACCAGUCACCUUUCAGGCUAUUUUCCAGGCAUCUCCAUCAACCAUUGGGCUUCCAAAUAGGUAUAAUCUUAUUCUACACUUUUCUAUCUUCAUUUUGAUAUAUUAUGGGUUGAAUUUGGUUAAGAAACGAUUGAGUUACAAAGCUUUGAAAAUUGCCCAAACUUCUGACCAAGAGCUCUGGGAAACUUAACGGAGUUUUUAAUGGAAUGACCAAAAUAAUGGAUGGUGGACAAUCUUAGGACCAUUUCUAUUGAUUUUCAAUCUCAGGGACCAAAUUGAUGUGUUAUGCAAAUCUCAGAGACCAUUUUGACUAAAAAGCAUUUUCAAUAAAAUUCAAUGCUCUAGUGCACUGUUCACAUAGUGUGUCGUUGUAGCGAAAUUAUAGUGUCCGACGUUCAAACCACUAGAAACAUGCGGCCUAGUGAGCAAUUUUGUUCAUCGACAUAAGUUAUGGUUCAUUAUAUAUCUAUUCAUCUGUCACGUGUUUUUGACUUAAUUUUGGUUAUUUUUCUUUUAAAUUAAAAUAGUAAUACUUAAUGUGAAAGUUAAUUAAGAUUAAAUGAAAUGACAUGUGGUAGAUGCUUAGGUGUAUAAUAAACGUACAUUAUAAUUAUGCUUAGCUGUUCAUCUUCUUGCACUUGAGUUUGAGAAUACUGCAUUGGCGAAAAAUGAUAUUAACAAUUGGACUGUAUUAAUGUCCUUAACGCGCAGCCUGCGAUGGUAUUGUGUGGCCUCGAAAAUGAUUAGCGGCCUAAUUCAAUUGAAAACCAUAAAUGGAGGGAGGACUAGUUGUUGGCGUAGUAAUCACUCCAAAAUUCCAACAAACAAUACAAAAAAACAGUGUUUGGGAAUCAUAGUCAUAUGACCAAACCGACAGCGAAAGGAGUGGACUUUAUUAUUUUACAACAAUUCCUCCUCCUCCUCUCUGUCACUCUCUCACAAUUCACACAAAUUAGCACCCAAUGUCCUUCACCUCUAACAUUAAAAAUACCGUCUAAUUAUUUUUCUCACGUAAAUAUCUGAUAGUUUUUAUUUGGUGUAAUAAAUAUUUGAUAUUUCUUUUAAUAAAUUAAUAUUGGUGAAAGUGCAACAGCACAUUUUAUAUAAAUAAAUAAAUUAUUCAUUCAUAGUUUUCCUUCCUAUUCGGAUCUGUACCUACCUGUGAGGGUGAGGACAUGUUGCCUUGCUUUGGCAUCGUACCCCAUCAUUUUCUUCUUUUGGUCCUACCAAAUGUUCCAAUGAUUUAAUCAUAUAUAAACGCUUCACUUUCUCCAUUUUUAUACUUAUUUUCAUAGGUUUAAUAUCUAAUGAAAAUUGACAUUUUAUUUUUAGACUUUUUUAUACAAUGUAUAUUAUGGCUGUAUGUAUUUUGGGGAUGAAAAAGAAAGACUUGUACCAAAGCAGCAUGUCGAGAUAUGCCUAAUAUGCAUUCCAUAAAACAUUUAGUAAGCACAAAAAUGACUCGUACCAAAUAUUUGGAGGAUCUCGCAUGGUAUCUCCAGCAAUAUGGAGUUGAAAUUGGCUGCAAGAAGAAAACUGCAUCAUUUUUCUUCAAAUAUUCCUUUGAAGGGAGAAUUUUUUCAUUGUGACGGGAAUACGAGUGGUACACCACGUGUUUUUAUGUAAGUGGUGGGAAAUUUUAUUUUUUUAAGUUAUUAACUUUUUAGCACACAUAUCCUACUAUUUGUAUAGUAACACGUAAUGUACCACUCCGUAUGCCAGUCACAUUAAAAAAAUCUCUCCAUCCCCUGUGCCCCUUUUUUGACUUUCUUCAAAGAAAUUGUGCUAACUAACUUAAGAUACUCGCAACCGUGUACGUAAAAUGCGUAAAGGAGCCAUCAUCCCAUGUGCCCCAUUUAGGAAAAGGAUCCUUACCGAAUCAUUUUCUUAGGGAUCAUAGGGAUCCCGUAAUUGUGAUCAUUCAUUGUAAAUCAUGCGAUCAGUUUUCGUUAGGUACUAUUUAUAUUUAAUUUUAAAUUUUAAAAUGAUUUCUAACCGGACGAUGUACGAUGAACAAUCACGAUUAUGGGAUCCCUAUGAUCCCUAGGAAAAGGAUCCGGCGUGGAUCUUUUCCACAACUAUACUCUCCUACUCUCUCUCUCUCUCUCUCUCUCUCUCUCUCUCUCUCUCUCUCUCUCUCUCUCUCUCUCUCUCUCUCUCUCUCUCUCUCUCUCUCUCUCUUCAUUGGAUCUUCCUUACUUCUGAACUAGUCUCUCUCCCUCUCUUGCUUCAUUGGAUCCUCCUUAAUUCUAAACUAGUCUCUUUCUCUCUUUAAUUAACAAAGUAAUCUCUUUGCAACAACUCCUUGGAAGGUGUGUGUUGAAUAAUAUAUACUAAGGGGAUAUUGUGGAUGCAAAUUUCAUCCUCCUUGAUCUUGGACAAAAUUGCACCUACAAAACAAUUAACACCUUAGGUCAAGGCCAAGAGCCUCAUGCGCCCACAAUGAAUGGGGGGGGAGGCUUUGGCUAAAGAACCUCCGAUGCCAAAGUUAGAAUUUAGAGAGAAAAAGUGUUUGAGAAUUCUAGAGAAUUUUAGCAAGAGUUGGAAGUCCCCUUUUGGGAGAGAAUGGUGAGCUAUAUAUAGGGAAUGGAGGUGGCCGGCCCUUAGAGGUUUUUUAUGUGAAAUGGGUGAUUUGAUUGGUGAUUAAUGGAUUAAUUAGGCAUUAAUUAACCAAUUAAUCUCCAUUUAUAUGGAAUAAUUUGUAGGUUAUGAAGUAAUUACCUAAGAUGAGGAUGGAUGAGAUAAUUUGGAAUUGGUUACCUUUUUUGGACACUCUUGGUGAAUGAUUGUCCACUGCUCGCGCGUAGGACAACCGAUGUGUCUCAGUGGUAACUUUGUCCUUUUUACCAAAAAUCCAUGUGUCACCUUGUGAUUAUUUUUUACUCCACUAUAUAUACAAGGGAUAUAUUACACUAAUAUAUACUAAGGGGAUGCAGAAGAGUAAGAACCCAAAAAAUAGUGAAUUGAAGAUAAAUGCCCUAUUUAUAAGGGCAAUCCACCAUCUCUCAUAAUUAGGCUAAACUCUAGUUCACCGAAGCCAAUUUGGGAGGUGUCUGUUCUAUCUCAAGGUUUGCUAGUUCAUUUUCAAAUGUUUUAGUUUGUUUUUAUCUUUAUUUGAAGAUUGGUGACAUUCCUUAUUACUGUGACAUAUUAGAUUAAUAAACAACAAAGAAUUACAUAAUCCAUACGUCUUGUCUUUGUUAAUAUUAAAUUUCAUUGGAUGCUCUGCCGAUCAAAGCUGAAACCAAUGGUGGAACAAGACAAUCCAAUAUUAAAAUUUUAACAAAAUUGGGGGGUGACAUGAGAGUUUUAAUAAAAGUUAUGAACUGAUGAUGCCGUGCCCCUAUUUUGUCUUUCUUAAUACGUGCGAACGCAUUGAAUUAUCGUUGUAUAGAGUAGAAGGACUCGGCUGACUCUGUCCCUCCACUAGCACUAGGAAUUAGGAACUUCCUCGCAUCAGGAGGAGCUGCAUUCAUUCUUAAAUUCACAUUUCUUUGAGUCCUCCACUAAGGAUAUAUUAUAGUGAAUAUUAAUGAAAUAUUUUUGGUACUAUUUACUUUUAAUGUUAAAGAUGUUUUUAUUUUAAAAAGUUAUUCCUGAUACUAUUUAUUUACACUUUUAUUUUAUCUUUUUUAUUAAAAUUAAAGUUUUGAGGAUUUUUCAUUAGUUUUCCUUGUAAUAUAACCUUUUAUUCCUUCUGAACGCACAUGGCUUCUGCAAUGAAAGUGCUGAAUGCACAUGAGCAUUUUUGUUCAUCGACAUAAGUUAUGGUGUAUGUUCACAAUAUAUCGAUUCAUUUGUCACGUGUUCUUAACUUAAUUUUGGUUAACUUUUUUUUUUUAAAUUGAAACAGUGAUAUUUAAAGUGAAAAUUAACUAAAAUUAAGUGAAAUAACAUGUAUUAGAUGCUUAGAUGUAUAAUAAACAUACACUAUAAUUAUGAUAGCAAACAAAAUGUUCUCCACGGGCUACAGUAUAAAAAAACUCCCAUGACACAUCACCUAUCACUGCCCUACUUUUUGGACUGGGAUCACCUCCGGACCCCUCCUGCUGAGCAAAUUGAGCAAAAUAUCUCAUAAAUAAAUUUAAAUUGAAAAAUUCUCACGCAAAAUAAGGUAAGAUGAAAAUGGAAUGAUGAGAUAUUUUGCUCAGUUUGCUUAGCAGGGGGGAUUCGAAAGUGAUCCAUGUCCCUAAACCCUCCCCCACUUUCUCCACUUUUUCCACUAUCUUUUCUUGUUUGAUUUAUCUCCCUUCCUUUUUCAAUUCCCUUCAAUCUUCACUUCUCACACUUUCUAUUUUGUAUUUCUUUUUUUUUAUAAAAAAUUAGUAUAAGAUAUUAAUAUUACUUAAUCAUGACCGUUCAAAUAAGAAGGAAAGGAAGAAGAGAAAAAAAAAGAGAGAGAAAAUCCUUCUCCAUGGACAAAAGACCUUGUCAGUAUGGUUCACCAGGUGCAUGCAAAUUGUUAGAAUAAAGGUCAAAUUUUCUUGAACUGUGCUAUUCAGAUCUUGUUCUGUGGUGUGUAAUAGAGUGCUGCACUCGGUCGUCUCCUUUGUCUCUAAAAAUAAAAGGUAAUGGGGAUAGAUUUUAGAUACGUAUUUCAUAUGGUAUGUUUUGAGUUUAAUUUUGUCAAUGGUGAAUUGCAAAAUGGUGGUUAGAAGAUAUUGAAAUAUAUAUGUGAGUCUUUCCGGCCCUCUGAAUGAUGGGCUGUCGUGGCAAAGUCACAAGCAGGUUCAUUUUUUGAAAAAAUAUAACAAGGAAUACUAAAUUUGUAACUUCAUUUUGUAAAAUAAAUGACAUAGAAGCCGGUGAUUAGGUUAUUACUUAAUUGUCGAUUACCGUGCUUAUUUUUUAUUGAUGACAUAUUAUUUAGUUUGUAAAUUUAGUCUACGUAGUAUUAUGAAAAAUCCUCAUAUAUGGCAUUUUUUGGAACUAUAUUAGUUUAUUAAUAUUUUGACAGAAAACGUACCCAUUCAUUGACAAUUAAUAUGUUCUCUGAAUUAUUGUGUUUCAGUCGAAUUCUGAUAUCUCGACCACUCAAUUUAAAUCAAAUGGUUCUCAUUAGCUUAUUCUAUUUGCCCACCUCAAAUAAAUUAAGAGUCUUAAUCUCUUAAUAGUUUGAAAAAAAUGGGGCCAGAAUUAUUGUUCAUCCAUGCAAGUUGAUCAUUGUUUCUGAGUGAUACGUUAGGGGAAAGUCAAUUGUUUGACCACAUAACACAGUUUGUGCAUAUAUAGAUAGAUCCGUCAUCACUGAGAGAACUCACAAAAGAUAAAGCCUCUCCUGCUCCUCCUAGGCUAGCAGAACAAUGGCCAAAAUUCCAGUGGUAGAUUUCUCGAAAGAUGAUUGCUUGAAGCCGGGGACAAGUUCUUGGCUCUCGGCACGCAGAGAUGUCUGCCGUGCACUGGAAGAUAUCGGCUGUUUCACGGCAAUUCUUCCCAACAAAGUUCCAAAGGAACAUGCCAACACCUUCUUCUCUACAUUUGACGAUUUGUUUGAUUUUCCAACCAGUACUCCUGAAAAGCCCUUCUUCUAUGCAACUUCUAAUUCCGGGCAACGAACCUACGGGAUCAUCAACGGCACAAACCCUCAAGAUGUUCAACAAUUCACACAUCUCAUUUGGCCCGAUGGAAACGAUCAAUUUCGGUAUGAUCGAUCACUACUGCAUUUCUCAAACAUAUAGAUCUCAAUACAUACA